RNAcentral lists this long non-coding RNA (92977 nucleotides) under Vitis vinifera (wine grape). RNAcentral's name for it is "long non-coding RNA (VVIN_LNC000231)". Lineage: Eukaryota; Viridiplantae; Streptophyta; Magnoliopsida; Vitales; Vitaceae. The record is from RNAcentral.
CACACAAACACAAAAUUAAAAUAAAAAUAAAAAAAGGCCAAUAAUAGUUUAACAAACUCAAUAGAACUAAUACUAGAGAACCGCUAAUACUGCAUGGUAGCAGAGCAAACUGUCCUAAUUCUUCCAUAUUAUUAGGUUUAAUGAUAAUUGCUCAAUUAGGUAGGGGAACCCCAACAGGAAGCUCACAUCAAAUCUUUGACUGCUGAGCAAUCUUGAACCAUUCGGUAUGGAAAGAUCCUGUUGUAUCAAUCCUCUCAUAGGUAUGAGCUCCAAAAUAAUCUCUUUGAGCUUGGACCAAAUUAGCAGGCAGCCUGUCCCUCCUGUAGGAAUCAAAGUAAGCAAGACUAGAAGACAUACCCGGAGUGCUAAUGCCUGAGUUGAUGGCAAGGCAAACAACCCUUCGCCAGGCAGACUGUCGCUCAACUAUCUCCUUUGCAAACUCUGGAUCCACAAGAAGGUUAGCAAGAUCUGCAUUCCUAUCAUAGGCCUUCUUGAUACGGUCCAAAAAUAUUGCACGAAUAAUGCAACCUCCCUUCCAAAUCCUGGCAAGCUCACCCAGUUUCAAAUCCCAUCCCUUCUCAAUGCUCUUUGCCCGGAUAAGAUUCAUUCCCUGUGCAUAACUACAAAUUUUGGAUGCAUAAAGUGCCUGCCUCACAUCAUCUAUCAACUUCUUCUUGUCCACAGUCUGGUCAGACAAGACGUUUUCAAAACCACUUGAUUUGAAAACUUUGGCAGCUUCAACACGCUCUUCCUUCAGCCCACUGAGGAACCUUGCAUCCAAAGAGGAUGCUAUAGUUGGGGCUGCAACUGAUAGGUCAGCAGCUUGCUGAACUGUCCAUUUACCAGUCCCUUUCAUGCCAGUUUUGUCCAAAACCUUGUCUACCAAAAAUCCGUCUCCCUUAUCAUCCUUAAUACUGAAGAUAUCUGCAGUAAUCUCAAUCAAGAAGCUCAAAAGCUCCCCCUUGUUCCACUCCGAGAAAACAUUACGCAAUUCCUCAUUGGAGAGCUUACCAACUGAUUUAAGCACAUCAUAGGCCUCUGCAAUCAGCUGCAUAUCACCAUAUUCAAUACCAUUGUGAACCAUCUUAACGAAAUUUCCAGAACCCCCUUUGCCAAUGUAAGUCACACAGGGGCCACUAUCAGGAACUUGAGCAGCCACUUUAAGAAGGAUAUCUUCUAUGUACUUGUAAGCCUCAAAUGAACCUCCAGGCAUCAAAGAUGGCCCAUGACGAGCACCCUCUUCACCACCUGAAACUCCCAUGCCAAGAUAGAGCAGACCCAGUUCAGCCAUGGCUUUCUCUCUCCUCUCCGUGUUCUCAUACCACUCAUUGCCACCAUCAAUGAUACAGUCUCCUUUCUCCAAGUAACCGGACAGGGUUUUGAUGGUCUGGUCAACUGGAGCCCCAGCCUUAACAAGCAUGAUUAUGACACGGGGCUUUUGGAUUGAAUUAACAAAGGAUUCAGGAUCAUGGAAGCCAUAUAAGGGAAGGUUUCCUUCCUGUUUGGCUCGUUCAACGGUUUCAUCGACUUUUGAGGUGGUUCGGUUGUAAACAGAAAUUGGGAAUCCUUUCUCAGCAAUGUUGAGGGCAAGAUUUUGACCCAUGACUGCAAGGCCAGAAAGGCCAAUUCUUGAUACAGGAGCCAUUACUUUUUCCUGUUCAAAGUAUUGGACAAUCUGUGAGAUCGUGGAAACUGCAAAUCUUGCAGCAUAGAACAGCAUAGAAAUGAGAAACAAAGAUAAAAGAACCACAGAAUGACUUGCUGGAAAUCAGGACAGAUUAAUCAAGGAUAAAAGACAGUGUCUACACUCUCCAAAUAUAUGUCUAUGAUGACAAUAGAGUGGUCAAUCUCCAUGAGAAUCUUUCAUGCUACCAACCAAUAGGGAAUAAGACCAGAAACUUCUAAAUUUCUAAUAUUGAAAAAGAAGAUAAGGUAUUGUUAAGAGCAUCUACCAAAUUUAGGGACAGAGAUAUCAGGGGCAGAGAAAUUCACCACCCUGCAAGUAUUCUUCUUAAAGAAUAAAAAUGAAUAACCAAAAAAUAAAUAAAUAAAUCAAUUUCGAACUUCCAACAAAAUUUCAUCUGCAAGCCACAAGUCAUAGGUAUAGGUUUUCAUUCAAUUCAACCAAAAGAAAAAAUAUCAAAUUUCAGUUCCUAAAAAGAGAUUGAUGGUCUAAUAUCAUAAACUCGUAAAGUGCAAAGUGAUAACCCAAAAGGCAAGACCUAAAAACUGAAACCAAGAAUAAUUAAAGCUCCAUCUUCUUCAAUGGCAAAAAAAUUUCCCAAAAUACAUAUCUCCAAACAGUAAAAUGAACAGCAAGCUAUGUUAUGGAAAAUUUGCAUAACCAAUACAAAUAAGGAUGGGCAUGUCCAGCAUAUGCAUUGGAAAAUUUCAUUCCAAAAAUCAAAAUGGAAGCAACUUUUCAUUAUUUUAAAAGUGCAGAACUGUUAGUAGCAUUGUUAGCAAUGACUUAGCAUUUUCCCUGAAUUUUAAACAAAACUUCAUUGAUAGUUUACCAAUACCAUUUACUUUUCAUUAUUUUAAAAGUGCAAAACUGUUAGUAGCAUUGUUAGCAAUGACUUAGCAUUUUCCCUGAAUUUUAAACAAAACUUCAUUGAUAGUUUACCAAUACCAUUUUCCGGCCUGGUUGCAACUUACUAACAGAAAACCUAAUCCUUUAUGGUCCAAAUCUAAGAUUUUUCUGAAUCACCAAAUUUCAGCCAACUUUAGGCAAUCUGAACUAUUCAAUUUUUUGUUUGUUUGUUGUUAUGAUUUUUUUUUUUUAAUACAUCUGAACCGAAAUAAUUCAUUCCAAUUUCUAGCUAAAUACACAAUUUCUACAAAAGCAGCCAACUCAUCCCCUUUUUCUCCAAAUUCCUAAUCCUAAUCUAAACUUUUCAAAUUUACAAUAAAAAAUUUCACCCGAAUGUUAACCUGAUUGGACAAAGGUGGUCUACUCUAUAUCGGAAAAGGAAGAUUGACCAACAUCCAGAAAAUUCUGAACAGUAUUUCAAGGAUCUACUUUUCCCAAACACCAAACAAAAUUGAACUGAAAACCAAUCAAACCAUAAGAAAAGAAAGACCUGAUUCACCAACAACAGGAGAAAUAUGAACAGUAACUUUUCAACAGGAGAAAGAAGAACAGUAACUUUGUGAUCCUAAAGUGGCACUAAAUAAAGGGCUUAGCAGUAGCAACAACACAGAUUCUCCAAACAAGAAUCAAUCAAAUGAUAUCAUCAGAUCAACACACCACAAACCAAACCCACGAAGAAGAAACCCUAGAUCACCAAUUCACCAAUACAUAUGAAGGAUAAACAAACCCAUGUAAAAAACAAAGAUCAGACGCUCUCAUAUUCAACAAUGACUAAAAAGUAGUAAAAGGGAAUCCAUAAUCCUCCUAUACCUCUGAAAGUGCGAACAAAUGACGAUAGCUUGAAAGUGAGACAGACCCAGAAAAAAUGGAGAUCUGGGUUUUGAAGAACACCAACGGUUUGGUUGAAAAAGGGCGAGAGGCUCACCCCUAUGUAUCUCUAAGGCUGCACACAAGGCGGGUCAAAGUUGGCCAACUAAGCACUUUUCCCUUCUGCUUUGGUACAUAUUUAAGUGGUGGAUUUGUAAUUCCCUUUCUCACUGAUUUUUCAUUUUUCAAUAAACCAAUGGAACCCACUCGCCUCACGGUCCACGCUCCCUAUCUCAUCCGCCCUUCUGUUUUCCCAUAUUUUCCCAUCAUUUCCCUUUACUUUCUUGAAUGCUGUUUGGACCACCACUUUAUUUUGGUUGGCUGAGUUCUUAAGGUUUUAUUUUGUAAUUUAAAUGAGAACAAUCUUGAAAAUGGAUAGAAAUGAAAACAAAAUCAAUGUUUAAGACGUUUCAAUUCGAUUUAAAAAAAUGAUAACCUAAAAAACUUUUUUUUUUUCAUAAUAUAUGAUUAAAUACAAGUUAUAUAAUGUAAUUAUAAAAAACGAACUUAAUUACUGUCAAUAACAUAAAAUACAAUAAGUGAUAAGAUUUAUGGAAUAAGAGAUAAAUUAUCACAACUCAUUUUAUAUCCAAUAAGUGAUGAAGUGUAUUAUUCUAAAUUUUAUUAUAUUUUUUAUAGAUGGAUAUAAUAAUUUUAAAUUGAAAUAUGAUAUAUACAUACUCUAUAAAUUUUAAAUUUACCUUGUUUUAUCUAACUUCUUUAUUUUUAUAAAUUUUCUAUAUUUUUAUUUUACAAAAAAAAAAUUGUGAUUAAAAAAAUUUAUUUAAUAAAUCAUAAAUUGUAAAACGAUUUUCAAAUAAUGUGAGAAAUUUAAUUUUUUUUAUAACAAAUAUUACAAUGUAAUAUGAUUUUUAUUUUAAAUAAAUAUCAAAUAUUAAAAAGUAAUAUGUGUUUUCCUUUUUUUAUUUAUUUUAUAAACCAAAUAUAGAUGCCAUAUAUCUUAUUGAAUAUAGUAUUUUAAAAUAUUAUUUUUAUUGGUGUGUCCAGAUGAUAUAAUAUAUCUUAUUCAACAAAAGGUAAGCUUUAUUAAUAUCUCGAAGAAAAAGAUGAAGAAGAGGAAAGAAAAAAGUUAGUGUUACUAUUAGAUUCGACCAAAAAAUGCAUGAAAUAUUAAUUAUUUUUAGAUAGCUAUUUGAAAUUUAUAUUUUAUGAAUUGGGGUUUGUUUAUUUUUUUUUAUUUUUUUUCAUAUAAGUGUAUGAAAAUACAUUUUUCCUGAUUGAUUUUCCAUUUUUACUCUAUAUUUAGGUUUCAAACAUGCUUUAAAAUAUUACCAUUUCUAACUUAUAUUGCCAAUGAAUAAGAAAGUAGGAUUUUUAUUUUUAUUUUUUAUAGAAAGCCAAAACACCAUCCCAAGACUCCUUUGACUUACUUCAAUUUUAUUUAUUUUUCUAGAAAAAUACUAAUUUUGAGAAAAUGUUAUUCAAAACAAUUUCUAGAAUUGCAUUUUUCUUAAUCUCUUUUAAUUUUUUUUUUUAAAUCUAGGACAUCAAAUUGGUAUUUAUCAAAGAUUAAAUUUGUGCCAUUAAAAGUAUAUAGUGAAAUCUAUAUUAUUGGAUGAAGUUAUAAAUAUACGAGACCAAAUAUAAAUAAAUAUGAUAAAAAAAUCAAAUAAUGAGAUUGAAUUUAAGUAUAAAGUAAUAAGAUUUAAAAUGUAUAUAUGGGAACUUUUAAUUUAAUUUAUUUUUUAAUAUGUACUAAAUCCAUAUAGUCAUGAGAUCCUUCAAUCUAUUUAAAUAUCAAAUAUAUUUUUUGUUACAUUUAAAAUCUAAUAUGUAAAUAAAAUAUAAAGGGUGACAUGUGAUGAAAUUUGGAAGGUUACGGGUAAAUAAAUUCAAAUAUUUCCAUUAAAAUUAAAAGAAAAUUUAAAAUAAAUAUCUUUAUUGGAAAAUUUCUAAAUAAAAUUAAUCUUUCGAAUUGAAAUUUUUUAAAAAUAAAUAUUUUCUUCGUUGACAAAUUUUUAAAUAAAACAAAUCUUCCAUUUGAAGUUUUUGAAAAAUAAAUAUUAUCUUAUUAACAAUUUUUUUUAAUAAAGUUGAUAAAUUAUAUUUAAAAUGUAGGAAUGUGAGUUUUUAUUUUCAAAUAAAUCAAAGAAAAAUUGAAAUAACACCAUUUAGCAAUUUUGAGGGAGAAAUGGGCGGAUUUUAAAGAGGGUGCAAAAUGAGAAAGCCCCUCAAAAUCAGGGGCAGAGAGUAUUUAACUCUUCAUUUUAUUUUCAAAAAUAAAAACACUUUUCAUCUCUGCUAUAUUGGAAAUGGAACUCAUCACGUGAUGGUUUUAUUUUCAUUUUAUGCAUAGGGUCAAAAAUAUAUAUGGACAACAAUGUAAGCCCAUGUUUGCAAAUAAGGUAAAAAAUGAAAUCAAAUAUUUUGAAAUUGUUUGAUUUUGCUACUACAAAAUCAUUUCCAUCGCCUACUCAAUGAUGCUAUGUUUGUUUUCCAUUUGUUUUUUUUAAAACAAUAAAUAUAGGCAAAACUAUAUAUUUUUUAGGGUUAAUUCAUUCAUCUUGUCGAGGUUUUGAUUUAAUAUAUUUAGUUUCAAUUCAUUUGAAUUUUUAUCAUAUACUUUUCUUAUUGUGAAUAAGAUGAGAGAUACCUGAAAAUAAAAAAUAAAAUAAAAAAAGAUAUAUAUUUAAUAAAAUUUUAAAUUUAUGGGGUUAAAUAUAUUUAGCCGAAACCUUUGGAGUUGACCCAUAUUUUUUAAUAUGUAAAAUAUUUAUUUAGUGUUUAUUAAAUAUAUCAAAAUAUCUUAAAUAACUUAAAAAUAAAUAUUUCAUUAAAAAAUUGGGAAGCAUGAUGAGCAAUGCAUGAAAUCAUGCUGCAAAUGAAAUUAAAAAUUAAUUUUUUUACUACUAUAUUUACAAAUUUAGCACAAUUAUUGGGACUCCCCACCGAUUAUGAUAAAGCCAUCAAAGGAAGUAGGUGUGUGAAUGCGCAACCUCCCUUUGAAGUUGAAGUGGGUUGGUGGGUGGUUUGGUAAAGAAAAGACAACUAGCUUUCCUAUGACUUGACUUCGUAUUGGGAAAUGAUUUGGUAGAAAGGGAUCCAUUUUCAUGUUCAUGUUAGGUAGAAAUUUUUUUAAUUCAAAUUUGAAUUAGUUUACAUUGGUGGAUGGAAUAAUUCUUUUUUAUUUUUAUAAAUAAUAUAUUUUAUGUUUGGUUUCGAAAAAAAUAGAAAUGAAAAGUAAAGAGCAAAGAAAAAAGAAAAAAAAAAUUAAAGUUGAUACAUUAUCAAUUAAUAAAUUAAUAAAACUAGUUACACUAGUUUAAAUUUUUAAAUAGGAUAAGGGUGAGAAUUAUUUUGAAUAAAUAAGACAAGUUUGAUAAGGGGAUGACUCAUCCUGAACCUAUCUCGUUGCCAUCGUAUCAAACAAUAAAAUAAAAUUAUAGUCCUAUCCAAAUACUGAGUAUAAGUAGUAUGAAUAUUCUUUUCUUAUCUUAGCACACAAUGAAAUUACCGGUUAUACCUAGGGAUGACAAUGGGGUAGGUUCGGGAUAGGUUGCCCCCAUCCCAACCCCACCCUAUUUAUCCGAAAUAAUUCAUAUCCUCAUCCCAUUAAAAAAAUUAAAUGGGCCUAGGCUAAUAUGAGAAAUUCUCAUACUCGCUUGGACCGCCCCCUUUAACUUUUUUAUUUUUUAAAAUUUAAAUUUAAAUUUUUUUAAUAACAUUAAAAUAAAUAUAUUUUAUAAAUAAUUAAAUUAUUGUAAUUUUAAGGACAAGACAAUAUCUAAACUCACUCCAAACUAAAAUUAGUAAGUAAUUAUUUAUUUAUUUAUUAAUAAUAUUUUUAUUAAAAUAUUUAAAAUUUAUAACUAAAAGUUUUCAUAUUAUAUUAUUUAAUACAUAUAAAUAAUUAAUAUUAACAUUAUUUUACACUUUCUUUUUUGUUAUUCUUUUUUAACUACAAAUUUAAUUUGUUUAAAUAAUUUUUUUUUAGUGAGGUUAUGUCUAGCAACUGGGGGAUCAUAGUAAAAUCGCACCUUAGGAUUAAUAUAUCCCAUAUAAAAGCUAUAUAAAGAAAACUUAUUCUAAUAUGAAAUAUGAAAUGAGAUGAGAUUACUGUUCAUAUCUUAUCAUCAAUCAAACAUUAAGUAAUUUAUGUCAUUUCUUAUUUUAUCUCGUACUAUAUUCAACCACCCAAAUAUUAUCAUAGUAUUUAUAGACUUUUUUUCCCUUAAAAUGUCAUUUCAUAUAUUGAAAAUUCUUAAUAUGUUUUAUUCUCUAUAUAUUAUUCUUUUUAUAAAAAAAUAUUCUUUAAUAUAUGUUAUUCUUUUUACAAAGAAUAACUAAUUUACUUAUUCUUCUAUUUUUAUAUUUUUUUUAAAUCUUAUCUUUUCAUAUAUUCCAUAAUAAAUUUAUAUAUAUAUAUAUAUAUAUAUAUAUAUGUAUAUUUUCUCAUAUAACCUUUUGGUGCACUACACUUUUCAUGUUCGAAUAGGCUAGACUCGUCUUUCUCGUCUUUUUAUUUGGUGAAAAAUUGAUAUUUUGAAAAAGACUUUGACCUGCCACUUUUUUUAAGUUUUUUUUUAAGAGAAAACAAAAUAAAAAAGAAAACCUUAUUGACUCCUUAUUUAAAAAAGAUAUAUAUGCUAAAAUCGAGUCCAUAUCUACAAAAAUAUCAAAAUUCAAUCAAAUUUUAUUAAUGCAAAAAGGAUUAUUAAUAGAAAAACAAAAAUUUACAAAAUUAAUUACAAAAAUGUUUCAAUCCCCUUUUUGAUUUAUAAAAAAUUAAAUAUUCUUUGAUUUCAUAUAAUAUAUAUAUAUAUAUAUUAAAAAAUAAAAGAGAGAAAAAAAAGUCUUUGUUUGAUUUAAGAAAAAAGUUUCAUAAUUUUAUUAGAAGAAAAGAAAAAUUAUUUUUGAUUUCAUAGAAAGAAAUUUCAAUUUUAUUGUUAGUCUUUUAAGGUUUUGAAUUUAUUAUAUAUAAAAAAAAAAGAGUUUAACAAAUUUACUUAAAAAGUGAUUUUUCAAAUUUUAUUCAUAAAAGCAUUCCAAUUUGAUUUUUGAUUUAAAAAGGAACUUCAAAAUUCUAUAUUUAGAAAAUUUUACAUUUUCACGGUUUUUAAGAGAAAGAAAUUUUACUUGACCUUUACCAAAUAAAUAAAUAAAUAAAAUAAUUUUUAAGAUUUUGUGUUAAAAAAAAAAGAUCUCAAUUCAAUUUUAUUUUAAAAAACCGUUUACAAUUUUAUUUAUGGAAAAAAGUCUAUUACAAUUUUUAUAUAAGGUAAAAUUUGCUUAACUUUUAUUAAGAAAAGAAAUUUGUCUUUCAUUUUAAAAAAAGAAGAAUUUUUUAUAUUAUAAAUUUAUCUAAAAAUAAAAUUUAAUUAAUCUUUUAUUUCAAAACAAAAACAUUUUCAUAAUUUUAUUUAUAAAAAAAAUCUAGGCUUAAAAAAAAGAUUAUUUUAUUAGUUUAUCCAAAAAAAAUUGUUUAAUACUUAUUGAAAGAAAAUCUUUUACAAAUUUAAUUGGGAAGAAAAAAAAAAGAAAACAAAAUGUUUUUCCUUAAAUAAAUAAAAUACAAGUUUAUCUAAAAGGAAUUUGGUUUAUCUCAUAUUUAUUAAAAAAAAUGUUUUGAUAAUUUAAUUUAUAAAAUAAUUUUAAUCCAAAAUGCUUUUUCAAUGUUUUAGAAAUUGGACUAGUGAUUGAAAUGGAAAAGUUACCAAUUCACAAUUCAUUGGUCCCAGUUCAUUAGAAAAGUUAUUGAUGAUCAAAUCGUGGUCAAACCAGUGACAUCAUAAAUAAUAAUUUAUAUAUUAUAUAAAAUGUUAAAUGAUUAUAAUAAAUUAAAAUUAUAUAUAAUUAAAUAUUUUAUUUUUAUAUUUGAUAUAUCAAAUUAAAUGACGAAAAGAAAUAUAAGUAUAUUAAUAUUUGAAAUUUUAUUAAAUAGAACAUUUAUAACAUUUAAAUAUAAAGAUAUAUUUAAAAUGAAAAAAAAAAAUUUAUUUACAUGUAUUUUGUAUUUUAUUAGUUUGAAAUUAUUAUAUUAAUUAAUUUAUAUUAUUUUUUAAUCACAUUAUAUAAUUUUUAUAAAAAUAAAUGUGAAAGUGUUUUAUAUUUUGUACAAUAAAAUUUUGAAAAAAAUAAUAAUUUUGUUUUAUAUUUUUAUUUGCAAAUAUAAUACAAUGAAGAAGCUUCAUAGCUUAAUGGUUAAGCCUCAAUUUUUACACCUGAAGGUCCCAACUCAACUCUCCAACUUGCAAAAUUUUUUCUUUUUACUAACUAAUCCCACAUAAAAAAUGGAUAAAAAAAUAUGUAGGGAUUGUGGGGUAUAAAAGACAUGCAAAAAUUAUUAACUUGUAAGACUAAAAGCUUAUUGGGUUCGAUGACAAAUGGGUCGGAUGGGCUCCUCAUAGAGUGAUUUGGUUCCUUUAGAAAACAUUGUUGUUUUGGUGCAAAAUGCAUCAAAAUGUUUUUUUGGUUUUAAAAAAAAAAACAAAGAAAAAAGGUUGAACCAUUUGGUUUGAAAGGAACCGGUAGUUUCGUCGAUCCAAUCAUCGGUUCAAUCCUUGGACAACUCAAUUUGCCGGAUCAAACCAGUCGAUUCGGUUUGGUCUUUAAAACCAGUCGAUUCGGUUUGGUUUUUAAAACCAUGCGAUUUUUAACUUAAAACUGAUUUUUUUUUUUCAUUCACCAAAAAUCAACUUUCAUUUGAAUUAUAGAAUAUUUAAAAGUUAUUUUAAUUUCCUUUAAAAAAAAAAUACUUGCAAUUUAUUCAAAAAAGUUACCACGGUUUUAUUAAAAAAAAGAAAAAAGAAGCAUAUUUCAAAUUUAUCAUACAAAGAAAAGUUCAAAUUUAUUAAAAACAUAAUAACAUAUUAUAAAAGAAAGAAAGAAGAUUUCAAUGAGUUAAAAAAGAGAAAUUCCAUUUUAUUAGAAGAGAUUCUUUUUUUCUUUUCUGUUUUAUUCUAAAAACGUCUUUUUUCUUACUUUUAUUAAAAAUGAGUUUUUCAAUUUUAAUAUAUAUAUAUAUCUUAUCAAACAAAGAUUUUAGAAUAGUAAACAAAAAUUUAUUUAAAAGGAUUAAAUUUUUAUUCCAAAAAGAAUUUUGGUUCAAAGAAAAAUAAAAUAUAAUAAAAUAUUUUUCGAACAAAAAAAAAACAUUAUCUUACUAUAAGAUUAUUCUACCAACAGAGAGAUAAAAUACAAAUAAAUUACACCUUUCAUAUAUUUUUCAUUAACAAAAAAAUAAAAAUAAACAAAGGCUAACUAAGCAUAUUGUAGACCCCCCGGAGGCAGAGUUUUUUUUCUUGGGAUUUAUUUUAGGUCUUUUCUUUUUCCUACCUUUUUCUGAGGAGCCGCUCGACAUGAUGGUCAGGAGCUGGUUUUUGGGGUAGAGAGGGGACUCAAGUGGGCGGCUCUCGGGGGGCAGAUUGGACGGGAUACGGCUGGCUUGCUGAGGAAGACACGAACAGAAGAAAAACAGAUGAAAAAAAGUAGAAAAAUAGAGAUCAAGAGGUACGGGGAUGCAGCAGACUGGGGGAGAGGCUUUUCUUCAGCCAGACAUCGAGAUCAGUGGGGGGGCCGGAGGAGGAGACGAGAGGAGCUUUCUUUGGGUAGGGGGAUGGAGAGAUAUUUUCUGGGAUAUUCACCGAGGGGCUCUGGAUCUUGCUGGUAGAGUAGACAGAGGUUGGCGGUAAUCUAAGUGAGCUUCAUUGAAGAGGAGAUUCGCAGGUAUGGAGUAUCGUUUUUUUUUAAGGUCUUCCUCAUUGUCACUGUUCUUCAUCAUAUUCUCUGGCUACUUAGGCAUUGUUAGUUUUCUUGGUUGUGGAUUGAGAUUUGCUGAAUUUGGGUUCGUUUUUGUAAUUGCUCUGUUUUGGUUCUUUUUUGCAUUCUUUGUUUUCUCCUGUCAAUAACUGAUGUAUGGGUUGUUUUUGAGAUUGAUGUUUGAUUAAUCAUGCCCCGACUCCUAGCUUGUCUCACCUUUUUAGACCCAUUGAGUGUAUCAUGAGAUGGAGUCUUGAUCAAUGAACUCUGGGCGUGCCCUGUUUCUUGAGUCUUUCUUUUCUUUUCUUUUUGCCUUUGAAAAAUACCGACCAUUAUUUUGUAAACUACCCGAAAGCUCUUGGGAUGAGGGUAGAAAAUGUUUCUAACUUCAAGUGGUUUCUGGAUUCGACGGACCGGGGAAGUCGAAGGUUCAAGUUAUUGGUCUGGUUUUAGCUGCUGUCGAAAUGGGUGGAGGAACUGGCAGUAGUGAGGCUCCCAUGAUUGCUGGGAGAGGGAGGUUGGGUGCUGAUCAGCCUAUGAUUCUGCACAUGCUGGAUAUCCCUCCUGCUGCAGACGUCUUAAAUGGGGUCAGAAUGGUGGAAUUGAUGGAUGCUGAUUUUCUACUUUCUUAAGGGUGUUGUUGCUAUAGCCGAUGUUGUUGAGGCAUGCACUGUGGACAAUGUUGCUGUCUUGGUUGUUGGCUGGUUGUUGCUAACCCGGCAAACACAAAUUGCCUUAAUCCUGAAGGAAUUUGCACCAUCAAUUCCUGAGAAAAGCAUUAGUUUGAAAGUCUGAACAUUGAGGUGCCCAAGCAUGGAGGAGGAUGUGGAGGGAAUUUAUUAAAAAGAGUCAAUGGCCACGUGCAAGCCAAGGGAAUGUCCUUAGGGUAGCAAUAAAAAAAAACAACCCAGGCCACUUGAUGGUCCAAGUGUUAGCUUAUGAGACAUGAGUUUUAUUUAUUUCUUUAUUAUUGUAUGUGUUUCUAGUUUACCGUGUACCCAUUUAAAUAAUUCCCCCAAGUUCCGGAUUUCAAAUUCUAAUCCCCAAUUCUAAUUUUUCACACUUGUUUAUUUAGUCAUUAUUAUUAUUAUUAUUAUUAUUAUUAUUAUUAUUCUAUAUUUAUUUAAUUAUUUCAUUUAAAAAUUCUAAUCAUUAAAAUUCAGUUAUUCAAAAAUUUGACUUCCCAAUUUAAUGUUCAAUCUCAAAAAUUCCAUAAUUCAUUUUUACUCGUUUAAAUAUUGUUUUAGUUAAUUAGUAUUAUUAACCCAUAUUUAUUUAUUAUUUUGAGCAUUAAAGUCCAAUUCUUCAAAAUCUAACGUCCUAAUUUAACUUUUAAUCCCAAAAAUUUCACUAUUCAUUUUUACUCGUUUAAAUACUAUUUUCGUUAAUUAGUAUUAUUACUCCAUAUUUAUUUAUUAUUUUUAUCAUUAAAAUCCAAUUCUUCAAAAAUCCAGUGUCCUAAUUUAAAUUUCACUAUUCAUUUUGUUCGUUUAAAUAUUAUUUCCGUUAAUUAGCAUUAUUAUUCCAUUAAUUUAUUUUACAAAUUCCAAUAAUUAAAGUUCAAUUUUUCAAAAUUCCGUUUUCCGAAUUUAAUUUUCAAUAAAAAAUUCCGCUAUUCACGUUCAUUCGCUUAACCAUUAUUUUUGUUAUUAUUAUUAUUAUUAUUCCAUAUUUAUUUAUUUAUUUCUUUUAAAGUUCAAAUCAUUAAAAUUCAAUUCUUGAAAAAUCUGACUUCCGAAUUUAAGUUUCAAUCUCAAAGAUUCCACUAUUCACGUUCAUUCGUUUAAAUAUUAUUCUCAUUAUUAUUAUUAUCAUUUCAUUAAUUUAUUUUACAAAUUCCAAUAAUUAAAGUUCUAUUUUUCAAAAUUCCGUUUUCCAAUUUUAAUUUUCAAUCUCAAAAAUUUCACUAUUCACAUUCAGCUGUUUAAUGAUUAUUUUCGUUAUUAUUAUUAUCCCGCUCAUUUAUUUAUUCACUUAUUCAUACAUUUAAAACCUCAUCUCCAAAUAAUUUCCCAAAAUUUAAAUCUCUAAAUUCAAUCUCCAAUCUCUAAAAUUCUAUUUUUUUGCAAUUAUUUACUUAAUAUUUAUUAUUUAAUCAUUAUUAUUAUUCCAUUUAUUUAUUUAUUCACUUAUUUAUUUAUUAAAAUUCCGUCUUUAAAUAAUUCUUCAAAAUUCUAAUUCCCAAAUUUAGUUUUCUGAAAUUCCAAAAUCUUUCAAAUUUAAUUUUUAAAAUUCUCAUUCUUAUACUUAAUUUCUAAAAAUCCAAUUUUCAAAUAAUCUCUAAGACUCCGAUUUUCAAAAAGCUAGUUUUCCUUCGAACAAUCUUAAUUUAUGUUUGGUAAUGCAUGUGAUAUAUUUCGUGUUCUAUAUUGUGCACUGACUCUGUUUCCACGAUAGCGCGUUGCUGUUUGCUGCCCAGGUAAGCAUUCACUCAUUUUGAUCAUUCAUAAUACACAUUCUGAUUCCCAUAUACGCAUGAUUGAUGUGAGUAUCCAUAGACUUUCUUAUUGACUGCCACGUCAGCUUCAUUCUAUUAGUAGAGACCCGACUUUAGGGACUUAGAGGGGUGCUACGGUCUUUACCGUACCUUCCCGAUAAGUAACCUGACCCCCGAACCCGAUCUGGUUUUUCAUAGACCACCUUUUCCAAAAUAAGGAGUCACACUUAGGGUUUUUCUUUCUUAUUUUGUUUACCCUUUAAAAAUAAAACAAAAAUAAGUGGCGACUCCAAGUCAUUUUUCUUAAUCAAUAAAAAUCAAUUUUUCAAAUAAAAAAUCGAGUUUCGCCAUCGAGUGGGAAACGCAUUCGAGCGAUCGAAAUGCGGGGUCCACAAAAUGGCGACUCCGCUGGGGACAUUUUUUUAGAGGGACAAGCUUGAACUUAGAGUGAAGCAAACGUGGCAUUUGAUUGGGCGAUUAGUGGAUGCUCAUCUCUUGAUUGUACAUUGAGGAUUUCUUGAUGCAUGCUUAGAUGUCGUAUUCAUUCGAGAUUUUGGCAUGUUGGAUUAUUGAUGAUUGAUCUUAUUGCAUUGAUUAGCACAUUGAUUCUGAUUUUGCCAUGCUUGUUCUGAUCACUUCACAUGCAUACACUCACCACUGUAUAUCACUCGACUUGACAUGUUAAUUCUCUGACUUGUAAUACUGUUUUGACCGUCCUUGAGCAUGAUGUUUAUAUCACUAUUCGUCUUGAUUGUCGUAUUCUCGCUUAUCUUGUGUGUACAUGAGUGAUAUAUCCUGCUCUGCCUGACUGUAUGAUGCAUGACUGCCCUCCCUCUGCACGAUUGCAUGCCGCUUGUCUAUGUGGGUCUCACUUCUAUCCCCUUACUUCCAAAUCUCUUGGUCUCGGUCAUUCUUUUCAUCUCGGUUCUCACUAUUGCAAGUGUGAAACCUUCUAUAUACUUGCUCUCUGACCGAGCCCGAGAUUAGGAGUAGGGUCUAGCGACGGGCUAUAUCGAUACACGGGAGCAUUCUGGAGGAGAGCGACACUUUGAUGUCGAUUGGAGUCCGAUCAUUGAAGACCUGUAUAGCCCCGAGCUAGGUUUCAUGGAUAGUUGUGCGACCAGUGUGUUCCCUCUUCUGCUCUAGAUUCUUAGGGUUUUCGGAUGCACCCACACCUUUAACUGUGCACUUUAGUUGACCAUUGAGCGUCAAGAGUUUGAGAGGUUUCACCAUAGGAAACCCCCUGGGAUGUCGAGGUAGUGCAUGUGUGGAGGUGAUGACCACCUUGCAUGGAAGCACCCCGUCUCUUUUUGAGGCGUGAAGAUGGUUGCGUACCGCCGGAGGGUACGAUCGCUUCUGCUAGGGAUCUUUUAAAUUCCACCCAUAUCCAUUUAGAGCCACCUUCACCUUGUAGGUUGAGUCGUAGAUCCUUCAAUUAGGACUCCCUCCCUACACGUGGGUGCAUCCGUGGGCCUUCAGAGCCAGUUCAGUAGUAACAGGUUUGGUUACCUUCGCAGUAGUCUCUUAUAUAUCUGCUCAGGGUUGGAUAUCGGUUUGUUCGCUUCCAGGCUACCUUUUGACACAUUUGGUAGACAUUCUUUGUGAAGUUUCCCUUACCCCGCACCUUAUCUAGUAUUUUUACUAUUGUAGGAGUACCGACACGUUCAGUCUGGGUUUGACUUCUUGGAUCAGAGUUGGGGGUAGAUUGAUCAGGGUAUCGGACCAGUUAGGCCAGAGAUCAGAUCAGAGGGAUAUGGAUUCACAGAUAGUUACCGUCGAUCAGUUCGCUGAGGCCAUGGCUUCGAUUCAGGAGGCUAUAGCUAGCCUUGGCCGGAGGAUAGAUGGGCAGCAGGCCCAGCAGGUCCCGCCCCCGGUUGGUGCCCAGUAUGACCCUACAGUGCCACCACCUCCUCCACCCAGUCAGUCAGCGCCACAGGCCAUGCCGUUCACUCUGCAUAGUCAGACCGGGGUUGCCCCGCCUCCCAUCACCGUGCCCACCCCGACCUCAGAGGACCCACAUGCUCGCAUGGAUAGACUUGAGCAGGGUUUGAGACAGUUGAGGGCUUCAGACAGAGCCACUACUUGGGAGGGUUUUGAUGGAGUGCCGGUAGCUAGCUUGCCGGCUAAGUUCAGGAUGCCUGACAUUGAGAGGUAUACUGGCAUUGGUUGUCCACGCCUCCAUCUUCGAUUAUACAGCACCGUGAUGAGGGCUCAUGGACUGGACGAGCCUCAGAUGAUUACUCUUUUCCCACUAUCUUUGAGUCGAGCGGCCCAGCGUUGGUUUGCAUCUCUGGAGGCCUCGAGGCGCCGCACAUGGGACGACUUGGCCCAGGAGUUCCUACGACAGUUUUCGUUUAACACUGUCGUAGAUGUAUCGAGGAGGGAGCUCGAGGCUUUGAGAUAGAGGACGGAGGAGUCUGUUUCUUCUUUCAUUUCUCGCUGGCGUGGGAAGAUAGCUGAGAUUAUCGAUAGACCAUCAGAGAAGGACCAGAUUCAGAUGGUUUUGAGGAGCCUGCAGCCGCGGAUCGCCAGACAUGUGGUAGGGGCCCCGUUCACAGAUUUUGGGUCUCUAGUUAUGGCUCUGUAUGAUGUCGAGGACGGUAUCUCGAGAGGUUUAUGGACAGAUUCUUCCCCUAGUGAUGUUAAGGGGAAGAAACCAUUCGUAGGACAGAGGUCGACAGAUGUUAGUGCUAUCAGUUCAUCCAGUCAGAGGCCUCCUAGACGCUACCAGCCGAUCCCACAGUUUCCCGAGCCUCAUUCGUCCUAUGCCUCUCAUCAGUACAGGCCACGGGCACCUCGACCAGCUUAUGAUCAGGCAUAUACUCCGCAGACUUUGGCUUUGCCUUAUUAUGCCCCCCAAGGCAUUGAGAGACCCCCGGUUUCCUACACGGCCACAGGACAGCCAUGCUAUGCUGCUCAGUUCACUGCGAGACCCGCAGCGCCUUAUCCCCGACCCAGAGCUCAGCAGACUUCUGCUCCCUUUGCUUUGAGGACGCAGAGGCAGUUCUCAUAGAUAGGCAUGCCGUUGAGCCAGGCUCUUCGGAAGCUUACAGAGGCUGGGUUAUUGACUACUCUCACCCCUCGGCCGCCGCCUCAGCCGAUUCCACCUCAGUUCAGGAUGGAUCUACACUGUGCAUACCAUCAGGGGCCUGGGCAUGAGACCGAUCGAUGCACCGCUUUGAGACAUGCCGUUCAGGAUUUGAUCGACCAGGGUUUGGUACACUUAGGUCAGCCGAGUGUGACCACGAACCCGUUGCCUGCUCACACCACACAUGCAGUCCCUCCACCAGCCGAUGACAUUCAUUUCUUAGAGUUUGAUGAGAUCGAUGAUCACAUCCACAUGCUGAGUGAUGAUGAUUCAGACCCAGAGCCCAUCAUGCUAGAUGUGAUUUAUGAGACGAGUGGGGUGACUCUGGGUCCUCGGACGCCUGCUCCCUUCCGAUUAGUUCCCGAGGCGGCGUCCGUGCAGGCUGCCACAGUUGAGCCAUUGAUUUUGCCGCAUUACAGUGUCCAGACGCCUUUCAUCUUGAUCCCGGAUGUUGAGGGGGUUCAGGCUCCGUACGUUGAUGAUUCUCAGACUCUGGACAUUCAGUACGUUCUCCGAGGAGGUAGAGUGAUGAGACAGCCACCUCCAGCUGCUGCCGCUAGACCCUUAGGGGGUACGUCAUCCCAAGAGGAGGUCAGAGUAGAGGAUGACGAGAUUUUGAGGCAGUUGCAGAGCACUCAGGCUCGUAUUUCUAUCUGGAGCCUUUUAGCGUCCUCCAGUACUCAUCGGGAUGCACUGACUCGAGCUCUGAGCCAGAUCAGAGUUGAUACCACGACCACUCCUGAGGGACUCAUUCAUAUGAUGACGGCUGGCAGAGCCACUUGUAUCGUCUUUUCCGAUGACGACUUGCCACCAAAGAGAUCUGGCCACACGCGUCCUCUCUAUAUAUCUGUUGGCUGUUCAGGUCGCCGAGUUCCAUCUGUCCUUCUGGACAAUGGCUCGGCCCUGAACGUAUGUCCUCUGGCCACCGCCAUCGCUCUUGGGUACGCACCAUCCGACUUCGGUCCAUCCACUCAGACCGUUCGAGCUUAUGACAGUACCCGUAGAGAGGUCAUGGGUACAUUGGAGAUUGAGCUCCUGAUAGGUCCGACCACAUUUAUCACUAUCUUUCAGGUUUUGAGGAUUCCUACAUCCUUUAACCUGCUUUUGGGCCGACCGUGGAUUCAUCGAGCUGGAGCCAUUCCUUCUUCACUUCAUCAGAAAGUGAAGUUCAUCCAUGAGGGCCAGGUAGUCGUCGUACAGUCGGCAGGGGACAUGUUCAUUUCCGCUGAGCCCGUGCUCCAGAUCAGCCACAGUGACGAUGAUUUACUACUGACCGGGUUCACUUUUGAUGAGGUACAGACUCUUGAGCUGGGAGACUUUUGCCGAGACUUCAUCGCUAUGUCCUUUGACCAGCAUGGGAGCAUAGUGGUGCUUGAUAUCAUGAGAGGCAUGUCCUAUCUACCCGGCAUGGGGUUGGGUCGACGUCAGCAUGGACCGAGCGAGUUCAUCACCAUCCCUGAUCAUGACGUACCAUUUGGGCUUGGGUUCAUCCCCACCGAGGCUGACUAUCGAUACAUGGCGCGUUUGCGCAAGGAGAGAGCGAGGGCUCGGCUGACCCACACGCCUUUCGACUAUCCUCUUCGCCCAUACACCAGGAGCUUAUCUGAUUACUUUGUGAGGGCAUCGGAGUCACAUGCACCAUCUGAUGGGAUCAUCGGAGGACUCAGCACCACCCAGGAGGCCGAGCUUCAGCGCCUCGUCCAGCAGUUACAGUUGAGUGACGGAGCCCCUGGCCCUUCGGCUUCUGUGUUGAUUGCUCCUCUUUCCCCAGAUCGCACGAGCCUUAUGACGCUUUGCUUCCCGGAUGAGAUCGAUGAUCACGGGACUUUUGCCGAGAUUGGAGACGUAGCGGAUGGAGCCGUGCCGCGUGACGAGUACGUUGAUGAGAUGCUCGCGAUGAGUUUGAGCCAGACCGAGGAGAUGGCCCCGCCGGAGCUCGCUUCACCUUUUGAUCUCUUUGGGGUGUCCGUCCUCGAGAUCGCCGAGGAGAUCCAGGUUGCCCCCACUCCAGAGGCCGUCGAGGAUGUUAUAGUUGCUGUUGAUUUGUUUGAUGGCCCUGUUGGCCUAGUUGAGGGAGCGUCCGACCUUGUGGACCCACCUCUCACCUUUGAUGUUUUAUCGGGAUUUGUCUCCCGUCAUGACUAUGUUUCUGACUUUUCAUCUAUGGAUUUGAGCACCUUUGAGUAUUUGCCUGUCUCUCAUGUUAUUGAUUUAUCUGCACCAUCUUCACCCACAUCACAGAUUUUUGAUAUUGAUGAUGAGAUUGCGCAGCACGACUCAGACGAUGACUCGUCUUCUACUUCCGAUUCAGACCCCGUUGAUCAGAGAGUUUCACCUGCUGUAGGGGACACCGAGAUUGUUGACUUUGGCACGGCAGAUCAGCCUAGGGAGUUGAGGAUCGGAUCGGAUUUGUCUACAGAUGAGAGAGAUAGCCUCAUCCAGCUACUCAGAUCCUACUUGGACGUUUUCGCGUGGUCCUAUGAGGACAUGCCAGGCCUUGAUCCCUCUAUCGUCCAGCAUCGUUUGCCACUUCUGCCCCAGGCCAGACCGGUUAAGCAGAAGUUGAGACGAUUGCACCCUCGUUGGAGCUUACAGGUGAAAGAGGAGAUCCAGAAGCAGCUCAGUGUAGGAUUCUUAUCAGUGGUUGAGUACCCGGAGUGGCUGGCCAAUGUCGUCCCUGUUCCCAAGAAGGACGGCAAGGUGAGAGUCUGUGUUGAUUUCCGAGAUCUCAACAAGGCCAGUCCUAAGGAUGAUUUUCCUCUUCCACACAUCGACAUGCUAGUUGACAGUACGGCAGGUCAUUCGAUGUUGUCCUUUAUGGACGGAUUUUCCGGGUACAGUCAGAUCUUGAUGGCUCCAGAGGACAUGGAGAACACGUCCUUCAUUACCGAGUGGGGCACUUAUUGCUAUAGAGUCAUGCCAUUCGGAUUGAAGAACGCAGGAGCCACAUAUCAGAGAGUAGCGACCACACUCUUCCAUGACAUGAUGCAUCGGGAUGUCGAGGUUUACGUAGACGACAUGAUAGUGAAAUCCCGAGAUAGAUCAGAUCAUUUGGCAGCUCUUGAGAGGUUCUUUGAGAGGAUCAGACAGUUCAGAUUGAGACUGAAUCCCAAGAAGUGCACUUUCGGAGUGACUUCCGGGAAACUCUUGGGAUACAUGGUCAGUGAGCGAGGCAUAGAGGUAGAUCCGGACAAGAUUAGAGUCAUUCUUGACAUGCCUGCGCCGAGGACAGAGAGAGAGGUCAGAGGCUUCCUGGGCAGACUUCAGUAUAUCAGUAGAUUCAUAGCCAGAUUGACAGACAUCUGCGAGCCCAUAUUUCGACUCUUGAAGAAGAGUCAACCUACUGUUUGGGAUGACCAGUGCCAGCGUGCCUUCGAGAGGAUCAGAGAGUACUUGUUAUCACCUCUUGUUUUGGCGCCUCCUACACCAGGCCGUCCUCUACUCUUAUACUUGUCCGUAUCAGACGUGGCCUUGGGUUGCAUGUUAGCUCAGCUCGAUGAUUCGGGCAAGGAUCGAGCCAUUUACUAUUUGAGUAAGAGGAUGUUAGACUACGAGACGAGGUAUGUCAUGAUUGAGCGUUAUCGUUUGGCAUUGGUUUGGGCCACUCGCCGGUUGAGACAUUACAUGACCGAGUAUUCCGUGCAUUUGAUAUCUCGCUUGGAUCCUUUGAGAUAUUUGUUUGACAGACCCGCUCUGGUUGGUCGCCUUAUGAGAUGACUGGUACUUCUUACUGAGUUUGACAUCCAUUAUGUCACUCAGAAGUCCAUCAGAGGGAGCAUUGUAGCAGAUCAUCUAGCCUCAUUACCAGUUUCUGAUGCCAGAGCUAUUGACGAUGAUUUUCCAGACGAGGAUGUCGCUGCUGUGACUAGUCUGUCAGGUUGGCGCAUGUACUUUGAUGGCGCGGCCAACCAUUCCGGAUAUGGGAUAGGCGUCUUGUUGAUAUCCCCUCACGGUGAUCACAUUCCCAGAUCAGUUCGUUUGGCAUUCUCGGAUCGACACCCUGCCACGAACAACAUUGUUGAGUAUGAGGCUUGUAUCUUGGGAUUAGAGACGGCCCUUGAGCUCCGGAUUAGACAGAUGGAGGUGUUUGGUGACUCCAAUCUGGUAUUGAGACAGAUUCAGGGCGAGUGGAAGACUAGAGAUGUGAAGCUUAAGCCUUAUCAUGCAUAUUUGGAGCUACUGGUUGGGAGAUUUGAUGAUUUGAGAUAUACCCAUCUGCCUAGAGCGCAGAACCAGUUUGCUGAUGCUUUAGCUACUCUAGCUUCCAUGAUCGAUAUUCCCGUUGACGCCACUGUUCGACCUUUGUUGAUCGAGUCGAGAUCUGCUCCUGCUUACUGUUGCCUGAUCGAUGAUGUAGAGCCAGAUGAUGGUUUGCCAUGGUAUCACGACAUAUAUCACUUUUUGAGACUCGGCAUAUAUCCUGAGGCCGCCACGGCCAAGGAUAAGAGAGCAUUGAGACAGUUGGCCACUCGUUUCGUGAUUUGUGGCGAGACACUAUAUAGGCGAUCACCUGACGGGAUGCUAUUAUUGUGUUUGGACCGCGCCUCUGCCGAUCGGGUGAUGAGAGAGGUUCAUGCGGGAGUCUGCGGACCACAUAUGGGAGGACAUAUGUUGGCUCGUAAGAUCAUGAGGACAGGAUACUUCUGGUUGACCAUGGAGACAGAUUGCUGCCAGUUUGUUCAGAGGUGUCCCGAGUGUCAGAUACACGGAGAUCUCAUUCACGUGCCGCCCUCCGAGCUGCACGCACUGACUUCACCAUGGCCAUUUUCCGUCUGGGGUAUUGAUAUCAUCGGGAAGAUUUCACCAAAAUCUUCCAGUGGUCAUGAGUUCAUCCUGGUCGCCAUCGAUUACUUCACCAAGUGGGUGGAGGCCGCUUCGUAUGCGAGGUUGACAUCGUCUGGAGUUGCUAGUUUCAUCAGAUCACACAUUAUCUGUCGCUAUGGAGUCCCUCAUGAGUUGAUUUCAGACAGAGGAGUACAUUUCAGAGCAGAGGUUGACACCUUAGUACAGAGAUACAGCAUCCGGCAUCAUAGAUCGUCUGCGUACAGGCCGCAGACGAAUGGGGCAGUAGAGGCCGCAAAUAAGAAUAUCAAGAGGAUAUUACGGAGGAUGGUCGAGACUUCUCGGGAUUGGUCAGAGAAGCUCCCAUUUGCAUUGUGGGCUUAUCGGACUUCUUUUCGCACCUCUACAGGCGCCACACCCUACUCCUUGGUAUAUGGCAUGGAGGCGAUGCUACCCGUUGAGAUUGAGAUGGGUUCGUUGAGAGUAGCAUUGGAGCAGCAGAUUCCCGAGGCAGAUUGGGCUCAGGCUCGAUUUGAUCAGCUCAAUCUCCUAGAUGAGAGGAGAUUGAGAGCAGCAGACCAUGUUCGUGCGUAUCAGAGGAAGAUGGCCCGCGCUUUCAAAAAGCGGGUCAAGCCCAGACCAUUACAGAUAGGUGACUUAGUUCUGAAAGUCAUCAGGGGAUUGAUCAAAGAUCCUAGAGGGAAGUUCAGACCCAACUGGAGCGGACCUUAUUUCAUCAGGGAGUUGACCCCAGAGGGCGCUGCAUGGUUGAUGGAUUUAGAUGGAAACCGAUUCUCAGAGCCAACCAAUGUGGAUCAGCUAAAGAGGUACUAUGUUUGAGACCAUGGUCGCAGGAUGGGUGGCCAUCAUUUCGGUUAGCCAUUUACCUUGUUACUCCCUUUUGAUACAUAGUUCGUUGCUAGCCCAUUGAGCCUCGCAUGCGCAUUAUAGCCUUUCUUUCUUAUCGCCUUGCUCACAUUUUCACACCGGGAUAGGGGCCCUUUAAUGUAUGCAUGCAUUGUUUGGUAGUUUCAUGAGCUUUGGACCUAGAGGCAUGUUUUUUCUCAUUGUCUUUUCCUAUCACUACACCUUUGCAUUUUCAUCUCAUCUUAUUGGUUAUGUUAUUCAUCUCUUCUUCCUUAUCCUAUCUACUAUCUGUUUGUUUCAUAUUUCGCUUCACCCUGGGGGGUGAUCCUCCUCAGUUCAUCACAUGGAGGGUAGUCACAUCAUUUCCGCCAUCUAUCUCGCGGACACUGAUUUAGAGAUCCUUGGUUUGAGAAGGUCAUCUUGUCAGAGAGAGUUUGUUUGUUACCUUAGCACUUGGGGGUGUGUCCAUUUGUUAUCGAUAUCAUCUUUGGGGUUCAUUUGUUCAUGUUCAGGGUACGCGUAUUUGUAUAUAUGUAAAAAAAAAAAAAAAAAAAAAAAGAAAAAAAAAGAAAAAGAAAAUUAUUAUUAUUAUUAUUAGCACAUGUGUGUAUGUGCAUAGUGUUCUCGAUCAUUGGGUAUGUAUAUUGAUGUUUGGGGGUCAUUUUUAUCGAGUAUGUUCGUUAUUGGGAGUUCGUAUGUGAGCUCUCUGAGAUCCCAUGUUAUUUGUAUUACUUCGUCAUAUCUAUUUGUGAGAGAGAUGAGUGACCUUCUCCUAAGGACUCCGAGUCAUUGUCCUUCCCAUCAUUACAUUCAUUAUUGAUGUGACUUCACUUCAUGUUUGAUCUGAGUCGAUCACUACCUUUCUUCACAUAUCCAUUGUUUCGCUGUCGUUUUUAUCGUUGCUUGUGAUUCAUCUCAUUCCCUUCACAUCUUAUUUUCCCCUUACAGUGACCCAUCUCGGGUUCGAUACUUCGCAUCAUCAUUACACAUAUCACUACCAGUUCAUUUUGCUUCAUUUGUCUCCUUGUCGAUAUCAUAUUCACGUUAGGCAUUCUCAGGUCCAUGGCUCAUGGGGUUCACUAUACAUGUUGCAUUUCAUAUAUGAGGGCAUGAGUUUUGAUCAUUGGGUAUUUGAGCCUAGUUUCCUUUCAUUUCUAUCACCCUAUCACCUUGGCCUACGUUACGUCCCGCGUCUUAAGACCACCCUGAGGCCAUGGGAUCAGAUGUCGUAUUCGGCAGCCUCUACUUGGACAGUGAUUGAGAUCUGGUUGAUAUUUAGAUAUUGUCAUGCUUCUUCUUCUGGGAGUCGCCUCUUUGAUGUGUAGGUUUGAUUCAGUUGUGUUCGGAUUACCAGGAUCGUGAGUUUGAUGAUGAUUGAUUUGGUGUCACCUGAUUUUUGACCUAUCAUACCUCUGGUACCACACUGGGGCAUAUCCCAUUUCAUUUAGAGGUUCAUGGAUCCUCACGGACUUGCGCGAUCAUCACUUACUGGAUGCUCAUCGAGACGUGGACAUGAUUGUUUACCUUACGGAGCCUCUGAGAUCCACCCAGCCGGGUCCGCACUUCUCGACACUUGGAUUCCAUCAUACCUCUCCACCUGGGAGGUACAUUUUGGAUAUGUGUGCAUGAUUCAGUUAUGGAUUCGGACGACCAUUGUUACAUGUUCGAUGACAGAUGAUUUCGUGUCGCUCGAUUUCUGACCUGUCGUGCAUCCGAUGCCCAUACUGGGGCAUAUUUUCCGUUUCGGAUGAGAUUUACGGACUUUCAUGGAGGUCACAUGUGCGAUGAUGGAUGAUUUCAUGACAUUUGUUCUUCGGACCUGUCGCGCACCUGAUGCCAUACGGGGGCAUAUUCCGUUUCAGAGGAUCUUUAUGGAUCUUUGCAGAGGUCACAUGUUCGAGGAUAGAUGAUUCCAUGCUAUCUGAUCUCCGACUUAUCAUACAUUUCGAUGUCAUAUAGGAGCAUAUUUCGGUUCGGAUGAGAUUUACAGAUCAUGAGGGAGUCGCGUGCUUAGCCUUAUUUGGCAAGACGUAUGCAGAGAUGAUGAUAUAUUUGCUAUCCUCACGAUGAUUCCUUAGUGGAGCCUAUCGAGAGCCGUCUAGCCAGGCAUGGAUGACCUGAGCUCAUCGGAUUUUUCGACGUAUUGCAUUCUCGAUGCCACAUUAGGGCACAUUCCCCAUUUUGAUCGAGAUUUAUAGAUCCCCACUGGUUUACAUGAUCAUCCACGGUUAUGAGAUACAUGCCAGGUCGAUGUUUGAUAUCAUUUUGUCUGGCUACUCCGAGGAGCCUCUUUUGAGUCAUUCAGCCAGAUUCAUACCCUUUGAUAUAGUCGUAUGGAGUUGUCUCUGGUGCCUGGAUUUCCCGCGUCAUCAUUUCAGAGGGAUACGAUCUGUUACGCGUCCCAUUGGUGUUAUUCUCGGGUCAUCAGGGCAGAUCGGGUACAUCGGGUGUCAUACUGGGACAUAUUUCUGUUUUGGAUGAGAUUUACGGAUCUUCACGGAGGUCACGUGCUCGACGAUAGAUGAUUUCUUGUCGCUUUUCUUCUGACCCGUCCCACAUUUGAUGCCAUACUAGGGCAUAUUUUCCGUUUCGGAUGAGAUUUAUGGAUCUUCACUUAUGUCACAUGAUCGAGGAUAGACGAUUUCAUGCCACCCGAUCUUCGACCUAUCAUACAUUUGAUGUCAUACUGGGGCAUAUUUCCGUUUCGAUUGAGAUUUACGGAUCUUCAUGGAGUUGCAUGCUCAUCCCCACUUACGAGAUACACGUUGACACGAUGUUUCCUCCGUGGAGCCUCUCAGGAGUUACCCAGUUAGGGCUGCGCUUCGCGACGCCUCGAUGUCAUCAUGUUUUCCUUCCGGGGGACGCCCUUUUGAUCUAUGGGUCUGAUUCAGUUGUGCACGUGGAUGAUUUGGAUCGCGCAUUCGAUGACGGGUGAUCUGAGCUCAUCUGGUUCUUCUGACCUAUCACACAUCCGAUGUCAUACUGGGGCAUACCCCCAUCCUUGAGUCCACCAGGUAUUUUGCGAUUUUCUCAUCACUUGAUCCACAUCUGGAUCUUUGCGGGUCGUCAUGCUGGGGCAUCCCCCCGCUGUCAUUUCGUUUGGGGCAUCUCCCCCACUGUCAUUUACGUUUGGGGCAUCCCCCGCUGUCAUUUUCGUUUGGGGCAUCCCCCACUGUCAUUUUCGUUUGGGGCAUCCCCCCACUGUCAUUUACGUUUGGGGCAUCCUCCCAUUGUCAUUUCGUUAGGGGCAUCCCCCCGCUGUCUUUACGUUUGGGGCAUCUCCCCACUGUUAUUUAUGUUUGGGGCAUCCCCCCACUGUCAUUUACGUUUGGGGCAUCCCCCCAUUGUCAUUUCGUUUGGGCCAUCCCCCCACUGUCAUUUUGUUUAGGGCAUUUCCCCACUGUUAUUUACGUUUAAGGCAUCCCCCUAUCUUCAGUUUGUUUAGGGCAUUCCCCUACCGUCAGUUCGCUUAGGGCAUCUCCCUUUGUUUCAGAUUUAUCACCACCGUAGGUCUUCACCUAUGGGCCUUAUAGUUUAGUGUUUAGAGUUAGCUUUUUGGUUUGACUUUCAUAGCUAUCAUUUUUCUCAGUUUAGCAUUUAGAGUUAGCUUUUUGGUUUGGCUUCUAGAGCCAUUAUUCUUCUAGUUUAGUGUUUAGAGUUAGCUUUUUGAUUUGGCUUCUAGAGCUAUUAUUUUCUCAGUAUCAGUGGUCAGAGCCAUCCUCGUCGCUUUUUUUAGCUUCGGCGUUUAGAGCCAUCACUUCUCAGUAUCGACAUUCAGAGCCCAUACUGGGGGAUAUUUUCUGUUUGGGAUGAGAUUUACGGACUUUCAUGGAGGUCACAUGUGCGACGAUGGAUGAUUUCAUGACAUUUGUUCUUCGGACUUGUCGCGCACCUGAUGCCAUACUGGGGCAUAUUCCGUUUUGGAGGAUCUUUAUGGAUCUUCACAGAGGUCACAUGUUCGAGAAUAGAUGAUUCCAUGCUAUUUGAUCUCCAACCUAUCAUACAUUUCGAUGUCAUAUAGGAGCAUAUUUCGGUUCGGAUGAGAUUUACAGAUCGUGAGGGAAUCGCGUGCUUAUCCUUAUUUGGCGAGAUGUAUGCAGAGAUGAUGAUAUAUUCGCUAUCCUCACGAUGAUUCCUUAGUGGAGCCUAUCGAGAGCCAUCUAGCCAGGCAUGGAUGACUUGAGCUCAUCUGAUUUUUCUUGGUGCCACACUGGGGCAUAUUCCCCAUCUUGAUCGACAUUUGUAGAUUCCCCACUGAUUUGCAUGACCACCCUCAGUUAUGAGAUACACGUCAGGUUGAUGAUUCGAUUCCAUUUUAUCCUGAUACUCCGAGGAGCCUCUUUUGAGUCUUUCAGCCAGAUCUUACUCUCUGAUACAGUCGCAGUUCUUGGACGGAGUUAUGUCGAGUGCUUGGAUCCCCACGUCACCAUCUCAGUGGGGGUACAUAUCAGAUCUUUUACGCAUCCCCAUGUUAUUCUCGGGUUAUCAGGACGGAUCGGGUACAUCUGAUGCCAUACUAGGGCAUAUUUCCCUCCUUUAGCCAUGGAGGCGAUCGUUCUCUCACAGACCCGUUAUAGCUUUUGUCACUCAGCCAAGAGAUAUUGUGUUCGCCUCAUUGACCAUUAUUCCUGAGCUCUUCAUCGAGAUAAGCUCUCAGUGGAGCGUUGAUCGAGACUCAUAGAGUCCCUUUCAGCCAUCUUUAGCGGUUUGAGAUUCGCAGCGGCAUGCCACACUGGGGCAUAUUUCCCUCUCAUUGUCUCCUUACGGUCUGGUGUUCAGGGUCGCCGUUCAUUCACGGUUUACGACAUUCAAAGUUAUCAUGUCACACUUUCAGUUCGGCGUUCAGAGCCACUUCUCUAGUUCUUGCCGUUCAGAGUCAUCAUCAUCUCUUUUUAGUUUCGACGUUCCGAGCCAUCAUCGCCUCUUUUCAGUUCGGCUUUUAGAGCCAUCAUUGGUUUUCAGAUCGACAUUCAGAGUCGCAUCCUCAGUUUCGGCGUUCAGAGCCAUCACCGUGUUUUCAGUUCGGCGUUCAGAGCCAUCAUCGGUUUUCAGAUCGACAUUCAGGGUCGCAUCCUCGGUUUCGACGUUCAGAGUCGUUAUCACUUCUCAGUUUGACGUUCAGGGUCAUCGUCAUUACUUUUUAGUUUCGGCGUUCAGAGCCAUCAUCGGUUUUCAGAUCGACAUUCAGAGUCGCAUCCUCAGUUUCGACGUUCCAAGCCAUCAUCACAUCUUCGUUGGCGUUCAGAGCCAUCAUCGCUUCUCAGUUUUGGCAUUCAUAGCCAUCACUGUUUUCGAUUUAGGCUUCCAGAGCCAUUACUGUCAUCUUGUUUAGGCUUUCAGAGCCAUUACUGUCAUCUUGUUUAGGCUUCCGGAGCCAUUAUCGUCAUCUUGUUUAGGCUUCCAGAGCCAUCACCGUCAUCUUGCUUAGGCUUCCAGAGCCAUUAUCGUCAUCUUGCUUAGGCUUCCAGAGUCAUCACUGUCAUCUUAUUUAGGCUUCCAGAGCCAUUUCUAUCAUUUUGUUUAGGUUUCCAGAGCCAUCACCAUCAUCUUGUUUAGGCUUCCAGAGCCACUACUGUCAUCUUGCUUAGGCCUUCAGAGCCAUUACCGUCGUCUUAUUUCGGCUUCCAGAGCCAUCACUAUCAUCUCAUUUAGGCUUCCAGAGCCAUCACUAUCAUCUCAUUUAGGCUUCCAGAGCCGUCACUAUCGUCUCGUUUAGGCUUCCAAAGUCAUCACUGUCAUCUUGUUUAGGCUUCCAGAGCCAUUUCUAUCAUCUUGUUUAGGUUUCCAGAGCCAUUACCAUCAUCUUGUUUAGGCUUCCAGAGCCACUACUGUCAUCUUGCUUAGGCUUUCAGAGCCAUCACUAUCAUCUCAUUUAGGCUUCCAGAGCCAUCACUAUCAUCUCAUUUAGGCAUCCAGAGCCAUCACUAUUGUCUCGUUUAGGCUUCCAAAGCCAUCAUUGUCGUCUUGUUUAGGCUUCCAGAGCUGUUAUUUUCUAGUUUAGCUUUUAGAGUCAGUUUUUUGUUUGGUUUCCAGAGCUUUUACUUUCUUGGUUUAGUGAUUAGAGUUAGCUUUUCGGUUUGGCUUCCAGAGCUUUUAUUUUCUCAGUUUAGUGCCUAGAGUCGGUCUUGUCAUCCAGAGUCACAACUCCUGGCAUUCAUGUCCACUGGCAUUGCACAUCUUACCUUCAGGGUUUUGCAUUCGUCCUCGACUUUCCUCACUUCGUUACCCGGUGCUUAUCCCAUAUUCAUCUCGUACUCCAGGGUGGUUCGACCGUUACUCAUCUUUGACAUUGAUCUCUUGAGUCACCUGUAGAGAUGUCUUAGAGGGAGUCUGGGUCCUCGAUGCAGCUUUCGAGGCGCCUUGAGCCUCUCUUAGAAUUUUAGAGCCUCGAGUGAGUUUGUGUUCUACUUGUACCUUUCGGGUUCGGGGGUCUUUCUUUGUUCUUCGAUAGAGUUCACUUCAUUUCAGUCACUUUUCACACUUCUUUUUCACUCUAGUGUUCACAUUCCUUACACUCGUGAACUCUAUCAAAGAGGGGCAUAUUUGUAGACCCCCCCGGAGGCAGAGUUUUUUUUCUUGGGAUUUAUUUUAGGUCUUUUCUUUUUCCUACCUUUUUCUGAGGAGCCGCUCGCCAUGAUGGUCAGGAGCUGGUUUUUGGGGCAGAGAGGGGACUCAAGUGGGCGGCUCUCGGGGGGCAGAUUGGACGGGAUACGGCUGGCUUGCUGAGGAAGACACGAACAGAAGAAAAACAGAUGAAAAAAAGUAGAAAAAUAGAGAUCAAGAGGUACGGGGAUGCAGCAGACUGGGGGAGAGGCUUUUCUUCAGCCAGACAUCGAGAUCAGUGGGGGGGCCGGAGGAGGAGACGAGAGGAGCUUUCUUUGGGUAGGGGGAUGGAGAGAUAUUUUCUGGGAUAUUCACCGAGGGGCUCUGGAUCUUGCUGGUAGAGUAGACAGAGGUUGGCGGUAAUCUAAGUGAGCUUCAUUGAAGAGGAGAUNNNNNNNNNNNNNNNNNNNNNNNNNNNNNNNNNNNNNNNNNNNNNNNNNNNNNNNNNNNNNNNNNNNNNNNNNNNNNNNNNNNNNNNNNNNNNNNNNNNNNNNNNNNNNNNNNNNNNNNNNNNNNNNNNNNNNNNNNNNNNNNNNNNNNNNNNNNNNNNNNNNNNNNNNNNNNNNNNNNNNNNNNNNNNNNNNNNNNNNNNNNNNNNNNNNNNACUUCCGAAUUUAAGUUUCAAUCUCAAAGAUUCCACUAUUCACGUUCAUUCGUUUAAAUAUUAUUCUCAUUAUUAUUAUUAUCAUUUCAUUAAUUUAUUUUACAAAUUCCAAUAAUUAAAGUUCUAUUUUUCAAAAUUCCGUUUUCCAAUUUUAAUUUUCAAUCUCAAAAAUUUCACUAUUCACAUUCAGCUGUUUAAUGAUUAUUUUCGUUAUUAUUAUUAUCCCGCUCAUUUAUUUAUUCACUUAUUCAUACAUUUAAAACCUCAUCUCCAAAUAAUUUCCCAAAAUUUAAAUCUCUAAAUUCAAUCUCCAAUCUCUAAAAUUCUAUUUUUUUGCAAUUAUUUACUUAAUAUUUAUUAUUUAAUCAUUAUUAUUAUUCCAUUUAUUUAUUUAUUCACUUAUUUAUUUAUUAAAAUUCCGUCUUUAAAUAAUUCUUCAAAAUUCUAAUUCCCAAAUUUAGUUUUCUGAAAUUCCAAAAUCUUUCAAAUUUAAUUUUUAAAAUUCUCAUUCUUAUACUUAAUUUCUAAAAAUCCAAUUUUCAAAUAAUCUCUAAGACUCCGAUUUUCAAAAAGCUAGUUUUCCUUCGAACAAUCUUAAUUUAUGUUUGGUAAUGCAUGUGAUAUAUUUCGUGUUCUAUAUUGUGCACUGACUCUGUUUCCACGAUAGCGCGUUGCUGUUUGCUGCCCAGGUAAGCAUUCACUCAUUUUGAUCAUUCAUAAUACACAUUCUGAUUCCCAUAUACGCAUGAUUGAUGUGAGUAUCCAUAGACUUUCUUAUUGACUGCCACGUCAGCUUCAUUCUAUUAGUAGAGACCCGACUUUAGGGACUUAAAGGGGUGCUACGGUCUUUACCGUACCUUCCCGAUAAGUAACCUGACCCCCGAACCCGAUCUGGUUUUUCACAGACCACAUUUUCCAAAAUAAGGAGUCACACUUAGGGUUUUUCUUUCUUAUUUUGUUUACCCUUUAAAAAUAAAACAAAAAUAAGUGGCGACUCCAAGUCAUUUUUCUUAAUCAAUAAAAAUCAAUUUUUCAAAUAAAAAAUCGAGUUUCGCCAUCGAGUGGGAAACGCAUUCGAGCGAUCGAAAUGCGGGGUCCACACAUAUCAAAUACUUUUAACAAACAAAAUAAAACAAAAAAUAAAUUCAUGAAUAACAAACUAAACGGAUAUGCACAAUGAAAAUCUAAACAAAUCUAUUUCUAUGUAUAUAGAAAGAAAAUUAAAACAAAUAUAUACAACAAAAAUUAGGAGGACAAUGAUGAAUAAGUAAACUUAGCGGUGCAAUCCCAAUAACAAUAAUGACUUCCAAAAGCUUACAAGAUGAAGCUCAAAUAUACAAAAACUUUCAAUCCUCUCACAAAUAUCACAGAAAAUACACAGAAGAUUAAGAAAAGUCCCAAGAGUCGUCCUUCUCCCUUGUUUCUUGCUCUUAUCUUCCUUUUUAAUCCAAAAAUUUUGGUAUUUAGUUAGCCCAACUCAUGCCUUGUCUUCAACUGCUCCAACUACUCCUAUGUUUUUCCACUCUCAUCAUAGUGCUAAAACACUCAUCCAAAUAAGAAAAACGAAUAAGCAUAUAUAUAUAUAUAUAUAUAUAUCAAAGCCCAAUAAAAAUAAAAAGAAAGCUCAAAUGCAAUUCAACCUAAAUAGCAAGUCUAACACAAACAAUAAGCCCAAACCUUGAAUUAGGAAUGAAGCCCAAAUACAAUAAGAAUUAAAGCCUGAGAUUAGGCCUAAAGCUUCCAACAAACACUGUGUAGAUCAAGAAGUGAAAUGUCUCAUAACAAACCCUUAAAACUCAUCUAAAUGAACCAAAAUCAAGGAAAUUAAACUUAUCAAAAUCUGAAACAUAAAAUAAAUAAAUAAAAACAAACAAAUAAACAAAGAAACCGAAGGAAAAGGAAAAAAAACCUGAAAAUUUCUUAGGCAUUAAUAAACUGAGGUAGUGAACUCACAAAGGAAGUGGACAUGGUGAUUGAGUGGCAAAGUGAAGAGCGGUAGCAAUGUCGGUAACAGUGAGGUGUGUGGUUAUGGAUUAGUGGCUAGUUGUGGUAAGAUCUAGUGGCAAUGCUGGAAGAUAAAUAAAUAAGACAAGGGAAAAAGAAAAGGGGAAAUGAGAAAGAAAGAGAGACGAAAGGUUGGCCGAAGUGAGGUGGCUGUCACCGGCGUCGUGGGGCCACCUGAAGCGGCACUGCUGACAUUAUUGUGAGGGGUAGCCAUGUCGUGGGUAUGAUGGGUACAAGGGAUGAGUGAGAGAGAAAAUGAGAUAAAUACGAUGUUUUCAGAAUCGGACUGGUUAUUGAAUCGGAAAAAUUGCCAAUUCACGAUUCACUGGUCGGACCGGCGGUCGAAUCGAUGAUGUCAUAAAUAUACAAUUUAUAAAAUAUUAAAAUUUAAAAUAAUUAUAAAAAUAAAAAUAAUAAUUUAUAUAUUAUUUAAAAAUUAUAAUUUUAUUUAAAAAUAAAAAAUUAGUUUCAAAUUAGAAAUUUAAAUUAAACUCAUAAUUUCAAUUUAAAAUUUAAAAUUUUAAAAUUUAUUUUUAAAUAAAAAAAUUAUUUUAAAAUAAAAAAUUUAUUUAAAAUUGUAAUGUUUUUAAUUUUACCAUUAAAUCAUAUCUCAUACUAUCUAUGUAAAUCCAUAUAAAAGACAUUAAAUCAUAUAUCAUACCAUCCAUGUAAAUCCAUAUAAAAGACAUUUUUUACUUUAUUAAUUUGAGCUCCCAAUUUGAGCUCACAAUCCAUAUAAAAUUGUAAUGUUGUUGAAGACUGAUAAAUAAAUAUUUUUUUAUUUUUUAUUUUAUAAAAAUGGAAUAUUAAACAUAACAUCAUAAUAAUAAUAAAAAAUAUAUUAAAAUUAUGAAGGCGCAUAAUGCACACAGUUGAGUUUUUCGGAGGGGCGCUUUGAUCGCCGGGGAGGGGGGGAGGACGGGUUUGCGGCGUCGGGAGGAGGCUUGGCAACAACGGUGGAAGAAGAUGGGGGAAUUAAUAUAUAUGAGGUCGAGUAAGCAUGAAAGUUGUGGAGUAGUAAAAGAGAUCAUGGAGGUAAUUAGGGUAAAUGAGGAUAAAAGGGUAAAAUGUUGUUUACACUUAUUGUAUAAAAAUAAUUUAUUAAAAAAUUUCAAUUUGGCAACGAAAAUUAUUUUUACUUGAUUUUAUUAGAAAAGAAUAAAUUUUUACAAUUUUAUUUACAAAAGUAUUUUGAUUUAUUUUCAUUUCAAAAAAUGAUUUAUACAAAUUAUUUAAAAAAAUAUAACUUUAUUUGCAAAAGAAUUUUCAAUUAAAAAAAAAAAAGACUUUUAUAGCUUUAUUUAGAAAAAUAUUAAAAUUCAAUCCAAUCCAAUUUUAUGAAGAAAAUGAUUUCUAUAACUUUAAUUUGCAAAAAUAACUCUCAUCCUAUUCUCAUUAAGAAAAAUUAUUUAAAUUUUUUAUUUCUAAAAAUUACUGUUAAUCUCAUUUUAAUUAUGGAAAAAGAAUUUAUUUUUUAAAAAAUUUGGACAAUUUUAUUAAAAAUUAAUAUUUGGGAUAACUUUAUUUACAAAACAAUUUUAAGAAAAUUAUUAUUAAAAAACAAAUCUUUUGAAUUUUAUUAAAAACAAUUUUUUUAGAUUUUCCUAAAAAAAUACUUUUAUGAUUUUUUAUUAAGAAAACUUACUUUUAUUAAAAAUAAUAUUUUCUUAACUAUUAUUUUAUUAAAACAUGUGUGGACCCCGCAUUUUUGCUCAUGCGUUUCCCACUCGAUGGCGAGCUCGAUUUUUAUUUGAAAAUUUGAUUUUUAUUUGAUUAAGAAAAAUGACUUGGAGUCGCCACUCAUUUUUGUUUUAUUUUUAAAAGGGUAAACAAAAUAAGAAAGAAAAACCCUAAGUGUGACUCCUUAUUUGGAAAAGGUGAUCUACGAAAAACCGGAUCGGGUUCGGGGGUCAGGUUACUUAUCGGGAAGGUACGGUAAACACCGUAGCACCCCUCUAGGUCCUUAAAGUUGGGUCUCUACUAAUAAAAUAAAGCUGAUGUGGCAAUUGAUGAGUAAAUCAAUGAAUAUUCUGAAUGAUCAUGCACAUAUGAGAAUCGGAACAUGUAUAGUGAAUUACCAGAAUGAGAGUGUAUGCGUACCUGGGCCACGAGCCACAAUGUGCUAUCAAGAAACGGAGUUAGCACACAAUUAAUGAAUACGGAAUUUAGCUCAUACAUAUCGAAGUGCAAAAUGAAGAUCAGACAAAAUACGUUAAGUACAACAGUUGACAAUCAAAAGGGAUUCAAACAUCGAGCCCCCACCAAAACCCAAUUUAUUAUUCAUGAAUUAGUCUUAUAAAUUUCGCGUUUUGGAUUUAUGAAAAAUUCAUUUUUGCUUAUGUAAAAACAAGAAGAUCAGAAGAUUGUUUAGGAACCGAAAUGGAAUUAAAACUAUUCGAGUGAAAAUUGGAUUCUUGGAGUUUAUUGGAAAAUUGGAGUCUUGGGAAUUAAAUUUGAAAGAUUAGAGCUUCGGUAAUUAAAAUGAAAUUUGCCAGAGAAAAUGAGAAAUGAACUUUAGGGAAUUAAACUGCAAGGAUAUAGAUUUUUAAUGAUUAUAAUAAUAAUAAUAAUAAUAACAAUAAAUGAACUUCAGGAAAUUGAACGGCUAGAGUGUAAAUUUUUAAUAAUAAUGAUAAUAAUAACAUAAUGAACUUUAGGAAAUUAAAUUGCGAGGGUACAAAUUUUUAAUAAUAACAAUUAUAAUAAUAAUAUUAGGAUUUUAAAAGUUGAAUUAAUAAUAAUAAUAAUAAUAAUAAUAAUAAUAAUAAUAAUAAUAAUAAUAAUAAUAAUAAGAUUUUAAAAGUUGAAUUAAUAAUAAUAAUAAUAAUAAGAUUUUAAAAGUUGAAUUAAUAAUAAUAAUAAGAAUAAUCAUAAUAAUAAUAAUAAUAAUAAGAUUUUUGAAAUAAUAAUAAUAAUAAUAAUAAUAAUAGUAAUAAUAAUAAUAAUAAUAAGAUUUUGAAAGUUGAAUUAAUAAUAAUAAUAAUAAUAAUAAUAAGAUUUUAAAAGUUGAAUUAAUAAUAAUAAUAAUAAUAAUAUUUUAAAAGUUGUAUUAAUAAUAAUAAUAAUAAUAAUAAUCAGAUUUUGAAAGUUGAAUUAAUAAUAAUAAUAAUUAUAAGAUUUUGAAAGUGGAAUUAAUAAUAAUAAUAAUAAUAAUAAUAUUUUAAAAGUUGUAUUAAUAAUAAUAAUAAUAAUAAUAAUAACAAUAAAUGAUAAUAAUAAUAUGGACAAACAAAAUGGAUUAAAAGGGUUUUGGAAUUAGAAGGGCCUAGGGUUAUGAGGGCUAUGGAAAUGGGCUUGGGACAUUAUAAACGAAUUGGGCUUUGGAAUUAGAAGAGCCUAGGGUGAUAAUAAUAAGGUUUUGAAAUAAUAAUGAUAAUGAUAAUAAUCAUAAUAAUACUAAUAACAAUAAGAUUUUUGAAAUAAUAAUAAUAAUAAUAAUGAUAACAAGAUUUUGAAAGUUGAAUUAAUAAUAAUAUUUUGAAAGUUGAAUUAAUAAUAAUAAGGAUAAUAAUAUUUUGAAAGUUGAAUUAAUAAUAAUAAUAAUAAUAAUAACCUUUGGAGAAGGGUUUAGGAUGAAGGUUAUACAAAUCUGGGCCUGACCUUUAGGGAUGGACUUGAGCCUUUAAAUCUGGGCCUGGCCUUUAGGGAUGGACUUGGGGGGUUUAGGAUGAAGGUUAUACAAAUCUGGGCCUAGCCUUUAGGUAUGGACUUGGGCUUGUAGAGAUGGACUCGGGCCUUUCUUCCAUGGGCUUGGAGGUGCAUCCUCCAACAGGCGCCACCUCCACCUCCAACCAGCCUCCAUUGCUUAACUGAAGAUGGAGGUGGACGAGCUAGCUGAGAGGCCUAGAGGACGCCUCGAGGUAGCAGUGAAGGGAGUGGCAGUAGAUUCUAUGGCAUGGGCGGCAGGUUCAUCAAGGUUAUGGUGGCGGAAACGGCGAUGGCAGUGGCAGUGGCAGUGGCGGUUUGAUCCGUGGGAGCGGCCACGGCCAUGAUCGGCAUUGCUUCGGACGCCGCUGUCCCCGUGGUGGGAUCUCCCCACACAAAAAAAUUGGCCUGGAAUCAUACACGUGCCCGAAAAUCCUCCAGGGCUUCGACCACAAAACAUACUGCAUGGAUGGCAGCCUCCCGUCGCUGCUCCGCCCAGAUCAGUACCGCCAAGGCCGCUUCGCCCAAGAACGAAGGAGUCGCGGUUCGGGGACCUGGAGCAUCGUCGACAAGCAUUGGUAGGAAAUCAGCCCGGAAGUCUUUUCUACAACAGGUCAGGGAGCUGACUUCCAUCUUUAGUGUAUGAAGAGCGUCAUCAGAUUAUCCAAUGGCGGGGUUUCGGAGGAUUAGAUAGUUUGGAAUCCCAGUAAGUCCUGGGUUCAAGCUUGGAAAUGGGUCAGUCAUCAAAACCAGAAUUUGUCUUAGAAGUUUUCUCAACCGCACACUGAGAGAUAGUGUCCUUUCUCCUUGUAAGGUUAGGAAUCUGCAUGCAUUUUAUGAGGGUGGAUGGAAGGUGCUCCUUUCACAAAGUCACUUCCCCAGUUUCGGUAACUCGGCCAUUGAUGGCCUCAUUCCCACAACCAACAAAGGAGCAAAGCAAUAAACAGAGAGGAGAGACAUCAGAGAACAAAGCAUGAUUUUUAUAUAAUAAGGUUCCAGGAUGAAUUCAUACGUUAGGUACUUAUGGAAGGAGUCAAGAAAACCGGAAUAGAGUCAAACAGAGCAUAUACGCAUAUGAACAAAUUCAGGAAAAAAAAACAAUAAUCCAUGAUAUCCAAACAGACCAACAAAUCACAUCCCGGAAUCAACAGAAGAAGUUAGCAUAAUAAUGUCAUAACGAAGAAAUAUGGAGUUCACAGAAAAUUUUACCUGAAAGUUUUCUCCUUGAGCAAGGUAUCCUUGUCCUCCAACACUUUUCCUCAUUUUCCCCUGCUCUGGUUCUGCCUGCCCAAAGAAAGCUCCUCUGUCGUCUUCUCCUUCGGCCCUCUCACUAAUCUCGAUGUCCCCCCUCAGAUCUCUCUUCUGUUUUCCCUGUUUGUGUUUUCCUCAACAAGCCAUCCUCGGCUCUCCUGCUACCCGUCCCAUCUGGCCGCCCCAUGCAGCUUAAUUUCAGGGUGGUCAGAAGAAUAAAAUAAUAAAAAAAACAACCAAAAACCUUCACCCUGUGGGGGGUCUACAACAUGUUUCCUGAAUUAUUUAUCUUAUUUAAACAAAAUUUUUGGCUUGUUCAAUAUUCAAUUCUGUACGCAACGAAUAGAUAUAUAUAUAUAAACGAAUAUUUAAAAAAAUCAAUAAAAAUAAAACCAAAUAGUAAUGGGAAAUAAAAUGUCUGUCCAAACAAGUUUAUAACAAGCUCAAUGUCUCAUUUAGAGUCUUCCUGAACCUCAUUUUCUUCCAUAAAAUUCAACCCUCGUGUCACAAAUAUGUACUCAAUCAAACAAUUUCAAAAUUUUGAACGGAUGAGAGAGUGGUAGUGGAGAUGCUUGGGAAUAGGAGAAUGGAAAAUGAGAAUAAAAUGAAAGAAAAAAUAAAAUAAAAUGGGUGAGGUGAGAAAGGGAGAAAUCAAGGGAAAUAGAAGAAUAAGAAAGGGGAAGAGGGAGUCAUCGACCAGUAGUGGCUCACCAAUGGCGAUUGGUCGGCUGUGUUGUUGACGACGAAGGGUUGAUGCAUUUUUGGGAAAAAAAUAAAAUAAAAUUGAGAAAUGAGAGUGAUGGGAGAAGAUGGGGGGAGAGAAAGGAAAUGUUGUGCGUGUGAGUGGCUGUCUUUGGGGAGGAAACAUAGAUGAAGAAAUAGGAGUUUUGGGUCAAAAUGGCCCAUUUUAAAAAAAAAUUGUAACAUCUAACCACUUUUUUAAACUUAUGUUCAAAUUAGCCUCUUUGGUGCCAUGUAGGCACCAAGUCAUUAAUUUUAUUUUUAUUUUUUCCGUCAUUUUAGUGAAAGCCGCAGUUGACAACUACGGCUUCAUAUUUGAACUAAAGCCGCAGUUGCCAAUUGCAAUUUUAGUUAUUUUUUUUAAAUUUAAAAUUUAAUUAAAAAUUAUUAAAUUACAAUUUAUGAUUGAAAUUUAAAAAUAUACUUAAAUAAUAAAUUAUUUAUAUUUAAAUUUAAAAAUCUAGUAUUACUUCAACAAACAUAAAUUGAUAAAUAGAAGAUAUUAUAAAUGAAUAUUUCAUUUAUUAAUAAAUUAAUAAUCUUAAAAUAAUAAACUUAUAUAACAUAUAAAUAAUAUAUAAAAUUGUAUAAUUGAUUAAUUUAAGAUAUUUAAUUUGUUGUUUUUUAAGAUAUUAAUUUAUUUGUAUUAUGAUAAAUUUAUCUUUAUCGAAAUAAUAGUAUACUUUUAAGCCGCAGUUGAUAACUGAGAUUUCAAUUAUAAUUUUUUUUACUUUCAAAUUUAAUUAAAAACUAUUAAAUUACAAUUUAUUUUUGAAAUUAAAAAUAUAUACUUUAAUAAUAAAUUAUUUAUAUUAAACUUAAAAAUCUAGUAUUACUUCAACAAACACAAAUUAAUAAAUAGAAGAUAUUAUAAAUGAAUGUUUUAUUUAUUAAUAAAUUAAUAAUCUUAAAAUAAUAAAUUUAUAUAACAUAUAACUAAUAUAUAAAAUUGUAUAAUUUAUUAAUUUAAAAUAUUUAAUUUGUUGUUUUUUAAGAUAUUAAUUUAUUUGUAUUAUGACAAAUUUAUCUUUAUCGAAAUAAUAGUAUACUCUUAAGCUGUAGUUGUCAUAUAUAGAUUUUUUUACAAAAUUAGUUAAUGAAAUUAAUUACAAAAAGUCUACUACAAAAUGUAAUUUUUAAUAGUUUAAUUAAAGUCACAAAAAAUAUCCACUAAACAUUAAUAUAGUGGAAAACAAAAAAACACAUAUAAUCUCACAUGCCUCCACAAGGAGAUAACCUAUGUGUAACUGGUACUCUCUUUCUUUUUGGACGCUCCUCUCUAACUGUAGUAGGUACUACAUGUGACACAUGAAGAACAUCUGUCUGUGAUGGGGCUGGAGCUGGAUAUAGAGGUGGUGGUGGAGGUAGCAAUCUAGGUCGAUGUAGGUCCCGCCUACCCCUCGGAAUGGCUGGCGGUAAAUCUAGCUGAGUAGAUGUGUCAAUCUGCACUGAUGGUGGCUUUGAAGAGGUAGGAGGUUGUAAUGGAGGUAGGUCUAAAGAGGUAGAGGGUUACUGAUGGGUGGGUUUGAAGAGGUAAGGGGUUGGGCUGAUGGUGGGUCUGAAGAAGUAGGAGCCUGAAUUAGAGAUAAGUCUAAAGAAAUAUGAACAUGUACUGAUGGUGGGUUUAAAGAGGUAAAGGGUUGCACUGAUGGUAGGUCUGAAUAAGUAGGGUACUGCACUGAUGGUACGUUUGAAGAGAUGGGUGACUGUACUAAUCGUGAGGAUAAAAAGGUAGGGGACUGUAAUGAUGCUGAUACCGACGAUGUGAUGGGCUGACAACUACUAUAUCUACCUCUCCCUCGAGAUGUUGAUCGACCUCGAACAAGUGGUGGUCGAGCAACUGUUGACUGAGCUGGUGACUUACCUCCUCCAUGCUCUACAUGUGGGAUACGAUAAUCCUCCCUAAUAAUGCACAUAACAUCAAUGGCCAUACGAAUAAUAUCAACAAUACCAGUGCGACAAGCAUCACUAUCAGAGUCCUCCAAUGCAUGACCUCCUCGAGAUAUGAUAGAUGUCAUAGUCUCAAUCUAUCACAUAAAAUGAUAUAUAAUUAUUUGUUGGAAUAAAUAUUAUACACAAUAUGUAUAUAAUAUUAAAGUGAUACAAACCAAUAAGUGGGCAGAUAAGGAAGUAACCUGGUACUGCAUAGGUCCAAAAUCAUCCAUAAGUGUAAUAAAAUGACAUGUAAUACGACGAUACCAUGUCAUGUACGGAGCAUGGUAGUCCAUCUAAGGCUCUAUAAGCUCCGCAAUGACAAUGUGGUCCCUUAUAGCCUCCCAUAAUGCCAUGUAGUGCUCAUGAUACAACCUCCAAUCAAACUAAGGUCGACCUCGUCGAUCUAUAGAGUGAAGGUCAGAAUCUAUAGGGGGUGUCGAAGGAAUACCUUGUAUGAGUCCAAACUGUCGCAACACAUGCUUAGGACGAUGCCACUCAACAAUAUAAAAAAAAAAAAAGUGGUGACAUCGUCCUGAGCGUGUAUGAGGACCUUUGUACUUUGUGAUUCUAAACAUACCCGUAUAUUUCAUUGUCAUUGCCCUUAGUUGCCAUUGGCACUCUAGUGCUUUUUUACAUUGAAGAACUAACACAUUUGCAUUUGAUCUAUAAACAGUAAACUCUUCGUGCGCCUUUAUGGAAAACAUCUUCACAACAUGUUGCAAAUAUGAUUUUGAGGGAAAUAUUUGGCCAAUUGAUAACUCCCCAUCAACAUUUCCUAAAGUUGGCUUUUUCCAUGGAGUCCAAUCACUUACAACACAAUUAAUUGUCUCGUUCAUAUUUAAAAAUUGUGGUGUAGGUGACAUAUGGUAUGAAACAGGUGCAAAUGUUUUCUUUAGGUGGUCAUUAGAGAUAUUAAAUUGGGUGUCAUGUGGGGAGGCAACUAGUGAUGUGUUUUCAACCUCAAACUCAACCUCAGGAUUAUUAGACCUAUCACCAACUUCAAGGUUCACAAAUCUCGUGCUUUCACAUUCCACAAAUCACCAAAUCAAUAUUUUCUCUUUGACAACAAUUUUCAUCAUCAUUAGGUAAAUGAAUCUCAUCUGUGUCGAUUGCAUUAUCUCUAUCAUCUUCCUCUUUUCUCUCAUUUUUAUCAUCAACAUUAGUAUCACCUGUUGAUAAUCGUGUCAAAUGACCCAUUUCAUUACUCAAAUGAUAGUGGUUGGAAGUUUGCUCUAUGAAUAAUUGAACUGAUGACAUUCCAUACUUCAAUGGCACCAGUAGCAUACGUGCAACUGUCCAAUCAUUUCUCACCACUAAUGGUUGAAAUUUGUUCAUUUUAGUUGGAUGUCGACAUUUCAAGACUAAUUGAUAGUCUCUGUCAACACCAAUGAUAUCAUAUAUCAUCUUCAACAACUCCACAAAGGUCGUAUGAAUGGGCACAUCUAUAGGCUCAUCUCUACAUUAUUUCCAAUAUAUCUCAAAUCCAUUUCUGUCCUCAAAAUUGUUCCAUUCCAAUAACAUAGCACUUCUACUGUGGAAUCAGUCAUAAUUGCCUUCACAUAAAUAAUAACAAAAGGUUAUUACAUAAAAAAAAUAAUAUUUAUUCAAGUAAAAAAAUAAUACUUUAUGGUCAAUGAUUCAUAAAAUACAAUAAUAAACCAAAUAAAUAUUUAAAUCGAACAAUAUUGGAUGCUAAUUCUCCCCAUAAAAGGAGUUCGGUGGUUCAGGCUCAAUUGCCCUCUUGCCAAUUUUCUGUCAACUAAAUGAACUGUGAAUUGGAAAUACAUUUAUGCCUUGAGAUCAAUAGUUGCUUAGUUUUUAUUUAUUUUGUUACCCUCCUUAUUGACAUUUCUGAUGAUAAAGCAGCAUUUAUUUUCUUUGUAAACCAUUUUGAAUCACAUUAUUGAGUCUGAUUUGGUUGGAUUAUUUUACAUCAAGGUUUUUAGUGUGAUAUUGUUUCAUUAGUUGUUUCUCUUUGGCUUCAUGUUGUCAUUGGCUUACUAUGUCCAAUUAUUUGAUAUUUUCCUGAUUUUUGUUAGAAUUCUGUUUCUUCGAUGUUUCAGGCUUCACCCAUUACAAUUGGUGGGCGUCAAGCUUUUGUUGAGGAAAAGAGGUCUACAAACAGUUCUAGAGGCAAGUUGGAUUUUAUGUUAAGUUAUUCAUUUAAAAGAAGGAAUGUCUCUAAAAAUGAAAAGUCUAUGAGUUGCAUAGUGAAUGGAUAACAUCUUUUGAUGGAUUGAGGUCUGUCCUUGUCAAGAUAAAGGAAAGACAUGAUAUCUUUUCUUGUGCUUGUGCAACGGGGGGUUAGGGGUGGGGGAACACUGGAGCAUGGGUAUUUGUCAAAAUGAUGCCUUUGAAACCUAUUUUAUCAAAGCAACAAAUUGCAGAAAAAACAUUCUCUCUAGAAUUGGUCUUCUUGAUGCAGAUCAUACAUUUUUAAAUGGUGGAUGGGAAUUGGUUUUAUUCAGUGAAAAUUUGGUUGCAGCUCCCUGCUGGAAGGAAAUUUCACAUCCAGCAUAAUCCAAUUUAUCAAUUGUGCUUUUAAAUUUUUUUAAAAUAGCUAUUUUCCCCCAUUUUUCGCAUCAUGAUCUAAAGGUUAGGCUUCACCCAAUAUUUCCCGAUUGCUUUUAAAUAAAGAAGUAGCUAUUUUUUUUUGUCUUGUAGUGAACAACAGAACACACUUUUCAAAUGGAAGGGAGUUUUUUUCGGAGGGGACACGCGCAGAUUUUGAGAGCAGUAGAGGGAUUCUGACAGAGAUCGAGUUGCCACUUUGAGGAAUCAAAAGAUGAUUUUUUUUUUUUUUUUUAUAGCACAGGUUAGUUUUCACAUAUCCUGGAAUCAUAAUAAAAAAAUAAUAAUGGUAAUAAUAAAAAAAAACACCAAACUCCUAUCAAAGGCAAAGUUGAAGGCAACGACAUUUUGCAUAUUUCUCAAAAAAAUUGUAACCUAAAAAAAAUUCUCAAAAAUUCUUCUCAUGCAACAAAGCACAACACCUAUAACCCAAAAAUAUUUCUCACGCAUAAAUCAAAACCAACCUCAAUUGCAGCUCCAAAAACGUCUCUGCCCCACUGGUGAGGCUAGGGCUUGAAGAUGACCUUUGAAUACGGGAUGAAGCAAAUGGGGAAAGUUAAAAAAAAUUACAGCAGAAAAAGCCAACCGCGGGAUGAAGAAAGGAGAAAGUUAAAAAAAAAAAUGAUGGGGCUAGGGCUUGAAGACGACUUCUGGAUACGGGAUGAAGCAAAUGGAGAAAGUUAAAAAGAAUGACUGCAAAAAAAGCUAACCAGUGAUGAAGAAAGGAGAAAAUUAAAAUAUAUAAAUAUUUUAACAAUUGCUGGCUCUGCUUACAUGGAAAGAAAGGCUAUUUUGAAAUAAAGGGGGGGGGGGGGGGGAAGGUUUGGAGAAAAAAAAAAAAAAAAAAAAAAAAAUAAAAAAAAAUAAAAAAAAAAAAAAAGGGGGAAAAANNNNNNNNNNNNNNNNNNNNNNNNNNNNNNNNNNNNNNNNNNNNNNNNNNNNNNNNNNNNNNNNNNNNNNNNNNNNNNNNNNNNNNNNNNNNNNNNNNNNAAGUUGAGGCCACCCCCAUUUUCUUUUUUUUCCAAAAAAAUUUUACCUUAAAAAAAUUUCUCAAAAUUUUUUUCCCGCCAACAAAGCCCACCCCCUUUACCCCAAAAUUUUUUCUCCCGCAUAAUUCAAACCCACCCCCAAUUCCCCCCCCAAAACCUUUUCUCCCCCCCUGGGGGGGUUGGGGCUUGAAGAUGCCCUUUGAUUCCGGGAUGAACCAAAUGGGGAAAUUUAAAAAAAUUUCCCCCAGAAAAACCCACCCCCGGGAUGAAAAAGGGGAAAAUUUAAAAAAAAAAUUGUGGGGGUUGGGGCUUGAAGACGAUUUCUGGUUCCGGGAUGAACCAAAUGGAAAAAUUUAAAAAGAAUGCCUCCAAAAAAAGCUACCCGGUGAGGAAAAAGGGAAAAAAUUAAAAUUUUUAAUUUUUUUACCAUUUCCUGCUUCUGCUUCCAUGAAAAAAAAGGUUUUUUUAAAUUGGGGGGGGGGGGGAGGAAUGAUUGGAAGAAAAAAAAUAAAAAAAGAAAAAAAAUAAAAAAAAAUAAAAGAAAAAAAAAUGGGGAAGAAAUGAGAGAGGGGGCAUGUCGUGGGAAUGGAGGUAUGAGAUAAAGUGUGGAUAUGUGGGAGUAAGUGGGUAGAGAGAGGUAUGGGUAGGUUGGGGUAAGUAAGAUGAGAAAGGAAAGAAGAAGGAGAGAAGAAAGAAGAAAAAAGGAAAAAGAAAAAAAUGAAAGAAAAAGAAUAAAAAAGAAAAAAAUGAAAAAAGUGAAGAAAAGAAUAAUAAUAAUAAAUACAAUAAUAUGUAAAAUAAAAUGAUAAAAACUAAAAAUUAAAGGAUGAAUUUAAAUGUAAUCAAUAUUUAAAUUUAAGUAUAAAAUUCAAACUUAAAAAUAAUGUAAAAAUAAAUUUAUGACAAAUUUUGGGUACAUAAAAUUUAUCAAUGAUUUGGGUGUAAAAAUGGCCACAAAAAGCUGUAAUAAAAUCACAUCUUAUAUGAUUUUUGCAAUGUCAAACCUUGUCUCAAUUCUUUGUACAUAUGAUCCCAUUCCAUUCCUUAGUCUUCGAAUGACACUCCCAAAUUGUCCAAUUCCACUUCAAAUGAAGGAAUUACAAAUAUUCUCCAGACUUUCUACCCAAACUCUCAUUUGGUUUAUUUAAUAUUUAUCUACUUAUUUAUUUAUAAAAAUUUAAAAUAAAAAUAAAGUUUAAAUUUUUAUUGAAACUUAUAAAAAUGAUUUUUUAUUAAUUUUUUUUUAUAUAUUUUAGUUAUUUUUGAAUAAUUUUAUCUUUUUAAUAAUUUUAAAUUAUAAGCUUAAAAUGAUAAACAUAUAAAAAAUAAAAGGCAAACGUUGGUCAAUCUUUUUAAUUUGAUUCAUGUGAUAAAUAUGGAAAAAUUAAUGUGAUGAAUAAUUUGUCAUAUUUAAUAUUUUAUAUUAUUAUUUUUUUCUUAAUUUUAAUAGCAAGUAAAAUUGAAGUUCUUCAUUCAAACAUAAAAUAACUUUAUCCUUUUAAUAUUUAAAAUUUUAAAAUAAUAUAUAUAUAUAUAUAUAUAUAUAUAUACAAAAUUAAAAGUUGACCUUUCUUUAAAAAAAAAUUGAUUAAUGAGAUAAAUAUGGAAAACGUAAUGUGAUAGAUAUGUAAUUUUCGUAAUUCUUUUAAAAUAAAAUUAAUUUAUAAAUAUAGAAAUAAUUAAAUAUAAAAAGUAUAAGUCAUUGACAUUUUAGCAAAAUCAAGAAAAAUUUGAAUUGAAAAAACUAUUGUGAUAAUUAUGUAAUCUUUUUAAUUUUUGAAAUAAAAUUAAUGUGAUAAAUAUGGGAAAAGUUUAAAAAGAAAAAAAAAGAAAAAAAAGAAGAAGACAAAUCACCAUUUUAUAAUAAAAAUUCCCCAAAAAAUGGUUGAAAAUCAAUAAUAAAUUGCUAUUUUUUUUUGUCUUUUCAACACUCUUUCGAUUUGUCUUACUCUUACUCUAUUCUCAUUUCUUUGUACUGAUUUUAUUUCCUUGUAUCUUAAUCUAAUUUCUUUCAUAUAUUUUGGUCUCAUUCAUUUAUACAUGGAUUGAUUUUUUUACAUGAAAAUUUCAAUUUCUCACCAUUUUAGUGAUUACACUCUCAUAUAUGAUAUAUUUUGAUUUGUACAAAUAUUUAUGUGGACCCCGCAUUUCGACUCAUGCGUUUCCCACUCGAAUGACGAGCUCAAUUUUUUAUUUUGAAAAAUGAUUUUAUUAAUUAAGAAAAAUUGACUUGGAAUCGCCACUUAUUUUUGUUUUAUUUUUAAAGGAUAAACAAAAUAAGAAAGAAAACCCUAAGUGUGACUCCUUAUUUUGGAAAAGGUGGUCUGCGAAAAACCUGAUCGGGCUCGGGGGUCAGGUUACUUAUUGGGAAGGUACGGUAAAGACCAUAGCACCCCUCUAAGUCCCUAAAGUCGGGUCUCUACUAAUAAAAUGAAGCUGACGUGGCAAUUGAUAAGUAAAUCAAUGAAUAUCCUGAAUGAUCAUGCACACAUAAGAAUCGAGACAUGCAUAGACAACGGUUAGAGGGAAAAUGGGUACAUACCUGGGCAACGAGCCACCAUGCGCUAACAAUAGAGAGGGUUAGUGCACCAUAUAGAGCACGAAACAUAUCACAUGCAUCACUAAACAAGGAUUAAAAUUGUUCGAAGGAAAACUGGAUUUUUGAAAUUCAUUUGAGAAUCAGAAUCUUAGAGAUUAUUUGAAAAUUGGAUUCUUAGAAAUUAAAUGUGAGAAUGAGAAUUUUAGAAAUUAAAUUUGAAAGAAAAUUAGGAUUUUGAAGAAUUAUUUGAAAGUUCAGGAUUUUUAAGAAAAAUUAAGUUACGAAAAUUGGGAUUAUGGUAGUUAAAUUUUGAAAGGGAUCAGAAUCGUAAGUUAUUUGAAAAGUAGAAAUUAUGAAAGUUGAUGUAUACAAAUUAGAAAUCUUAGAAAUCAUUCGAAGUCAGAAUUUAUAGAAAUAAUGAAUAAAAUGAUAGUGAUAAUGAUAGUAAGCGGGAUAAAUAUGGGAAUUGGGGCAUGGGAAACUGAAAAUUAAUUUCGGAGAUAGGACAAUUGGAAUUUCAAAUAGCUAAAUUUAGAAAUCAGAAUUUUGAAGAAUUAGACUUUAAUGAUUGAGAUUUUUAAGAGAAAUAAGUGGGUAAGUAUGGAAUAAUGCUACUAAUUAAUCAAAAUGAUAUUGGAACGGAUGAAAGUGAAUAGUAAGAUUUGUGAGAUUAAAAAUUAAAUUUGAAAUAUUGAGAUUUUUAAAAGAAACAGAUAGAUAAAUAUAGAAAAAUAAUUAAUCAAAACGAUAUUUGGACGGAUGAAGAUGAAUAGUGAGAUUGUGAGAUUAAAAAUCAAAUUAGGAAGUCAGAUUUCUAAAGAAUUGGACUUUGAAUAAAUAAAUAAAUAUAGGAUGAUAACUCUGCUUAAUGAAAAUAACAUUUAAACGAAUAAAAAAAGAAUAGUAGAAUUUUUAGGGUUGAAAAUUAAGUUAGGACAUCGGAUUUCUGAAGGAUUUGAUUUUAAAUAAGUAAAUAAAUAUGGGAUACUAAUUCUAAUUAAAGAAAAUAACAUUUAAACGAAUAGUGGAACUUUUAGGAUUGAAAGAUAAAUUAUGACAUUGGGUUUUUUUGAUGGAUUGGAUUUUUAAUAAAUAAACUAAUACAGGAUAAUGAUACUAAUUAACGAAAAUAACACUUGAAACGAAUAAAAAAGGAAUAGUAGAAUUUUUAGGGUUGAAAAUUAAGUUAGGACAUCGGAUUUUUGAAGGAUUGGAUUUUAAAUAAGUAAAUAAAUAUGGGAUACUAAUUCUAAUUAAAGAAAAUAACAUUUAAACGAAUAGUGGAACUUUUAGGAUUGAAAGAUAAAUUAUGACAUUGGGUUUUUUUUUUUUUUUUUAUGGAUUGGAUUUUUAAUAAAUAAACUAAUACAGGAUGAUGAUACUAAUUAACGAAAAUAACACUUGAAACGAAUAAAAAAAGGAAUAGUAGAAUUUUUAGGGUUGAAAAUUAAGUUAGGACAUCUGAUUUCUGAAGGAUUGGAUUUUAAAUAAGUAAAUAAAUAUGGGAUACUAAUUCUAAUUAAAGAAAAUAACAUUUAAACGAAUAGUGGAACUUUUAGGAUUGAAAGAUAAAUUAUGACAUUGGGUUUUUUUUGAUGGAUUGGACUUUAAAUAAGUAAAUAAAUAUGGGAUGCUAAUUCUAAUGGAUGAAAAAUAAGAUUUAGAUGAAUUAUAGUAUUUUUGGGAUUGAAAGAUUAAAUUAUGACAUAGGGUUUUGAAAAAUUACUUAAGGACCUUUGUUUUGAAGAUAGUACGUAAAGUUUAGAAUGCAACAAAUUUAUCGAGACCAACAUAAGUUAAUUUAUAUGAACAUUUUCAUAUAUGGUGAUUAGACAUAACUAAAGAAGGGAAGAUAAGAUAUGGGUUAUUUUAGAUUUUGAAAAGAAUAUUCAACCUUAAUACUUUAUCUUUUUUUUUUAAUUGCCUUUAAGUUGAGUUAACUAAAUGGGAUAACGAAUAAAAGGGAAUGAAUAAAUUAAUUAAUUAUGGAUAUUUAGAGGUUUUUUUCUUUUUUUAAAAAAAAAUUAUUUAGAAUUGGAGUAGCCAAAUGGGCUAUCUUAAAAUGGACAUGGGCCAAUGAGGGUGGCUAGCAUAGGGGGGCAUGAGGCCUUUCAUUAAUGCAAAUGGGCUUGAGCUCCAAUCAGGCCCAUAUCCAUCAUCAUGGACAGACCCAAACUCUAACUCCAUCACAACCCAUUUAUUUGAGAAGACAUGCUACCCUCCAUCAACAUGCUUGGGUUGGGCUCCAACUCAAGCCCAAGUCCACUGCCAAGCAUGAGCAAGCCCAAGCCCGUUACCAACACAAACUCCAUCACGGCCCAAGGCACCCCUCUCCAUCUGGGCAGCUUCCUCAGGCGAGGCCUCCACCAGCAGCGACGUGGAGGAGAGGGAAGGGGUGGCGGCUUCGAGGGCGGCGCCGAGAUGGCGGAGCUGCUGCCGCGAGGAGGUCAGUGACUGCCGCUGCGUCACGACGUGCUCCUAGAGGACGGAGACCCCAUUGAAGGCGUCCACCAAUGAGUCGUUGUUGGAGAGACCGAAGGUGGUGGACGAGGGAUUCAAGGAUGUGGCUAGCAAAUCCUGCUGGGUAUGAGGUGUGAGAAAGUGGAAUGUUGGCAUGAUGAGCUUGAGGACCAAACAAAAUGGAGUGUGGCAAGGGCAGCUGCGUGCAUGGAACAUCGUUUGCAUGGAAAUUCAAGAAUGUAAGAGAAAUGGGUAUGAAGUUGAGCGGGGGGGAAGUAGGUAAUGGAGCAAACUUUCGUGCCGUGUUUCUACACCCAGAAUUCUGGUUAUCAUCGUCAUGGCCACCUCUCAUAGCGCAUGCGCAUGUGGCAGCCUUCCUCGCUGACAACCCUAUGAACAUGGUAUUGCCUCCACACUUGACAAGUGUGUGGUCAACUAGGGCAGCAAGGCAAGGAUUCUGGGCUGUUCUCAGGCCUCAAAGAUCAUUUCCCGUGACACUUUUCUAGCUGGGUCCAAGAAUAUGGGCAAUGGGUAUACAAGAUGGCCAUGCGAAGCCAUGCACAGGUAAGAGGAAAAAUGGGUUUGGUGAUGCGGUUAAGUAGGCGUAUGCAUGGGAACAAGGAUAUGGGUAUCAAAUGAAUUUCCGAAAGGUUUGCAAAGAGCAAUCAAGUCGUGAUGGCCAACAACUCAUGAAAGAAAGAAAGAAAACUCGGAAAAUAAUCCCAUGAGAACGGGUUAGUAAUCACACGCAACGUGAGUGCGAGCAUGCUCCAACACCAAAACAGAGUUUCUUAACAAAAAGAAAAAAUGGCAUUAACACGAAAAUGAGUCAAUAGUUUAUAGGAAUAAUACCUGAGAUGCCUCCUUUCACAGUGACUCCUUUGCGCAUUCCUUCUCCUGGCUGAUCCUCCAGAAUACCCCCCCUCCCGUGGACUCGCCUCUAGUUCCUCAAAAGCACCAGAAAAACCUCCAACAGUCACCACGCCCCUCACCCUCAAGACCUCACUGUAACCUCCUCCUUCUCUUUUUCCCCCUUAGCUUGCUUUCAAGCUCCAACAUCCCUUUCUCUCUCCCCAGAUCCGGAAAACUCGCACCUGCUCUCUUGUUCCCUGCUCAGCAUCUGUGGAGUCCCAACCACCACCAGCAUGGCCCCUGUCAUCUUGACUUGCUGCACAUCCCAUCUCUCGUAGCUGCUUUCAUGCCGAAAGGGAGGUCCCCCCUCCUCACUAAAUCCCACUCCGGGAUCAUCCUUGAAAUGCCACCUUGCUUCAACUUAUAAAAAUAAUAAAAGAAGGCAAUACUAAUAAAAAUCAUAUCAUUGAACCAAUACACUUGGUUUAAAACAGGGGGGUCUACAAUUUACUAUUAUAAUAAUAGUCAUGUUUAAGAUUAACAAAUUCAAAUAAAUAAAAAUGAUUAAGUAAUUAUAAAUGAGACAAUUAAAAUAAUUAUAAAUGAUAAAAUAACUGUUCAACGUAAAAUAAACCCUUUUUUUUUAGGGAGAAUUACCCUUAAGGGUAGGCUGGGGAAAAAAAUGACUGAAAAGGGUGGGUAAAUUUGAUAAUUCUUUUAAAGGCCUUAUAUUUUUAUUAGACUAAUUUACCCUCAAUUGAUUGCUAGUUCUGCCAGUCCCAGAAUUCCAAUUCAUUGGCCCCUUAUCACCACCUCCUUGGCCCCAACUGACAGCACCAUCAUGACCUUUCCACCCUUCCCCAUUAUUGUUUGACUCUUUGUUCCAUUCAAAGGACUUAUUAUUCUCACCAGAAUUGUUUCUGUUGUUCCAGCCACCACUUUGAUCCCUCCUUCCACGGCCCCUACCUCCAAAACCACCCCUGUCUGAAUCACCUCCGCCUCCACCUCCAAAACCACCCCUGUCAGAACCCUUGUCUUUGAACCUUUGGUGACACAUUAUAAUAUAAAAUUGCAUUUACAGUAAAUUGAAAAGUAUGAUUUGAUUUUCUUUUUUUUGGGUUGGCUUUUUUUCUCUUUUUUUGGGCUGACUUGGUUGGUGGAAGCAGUAUGGUCAAUUGAAAAGGUUGAUUUGAUUUUGCUUGUGUGAGGGGUGAUAUAUUUUUGGAGACAAAUUGAAAUGGAAGAUUUUUAUUCCACUAAUUUGAUACCCAAUUGACUAAUUUGAUACCCUAUGGAAAGCAAAUCAGGUUAUAAAUUUACUAAUUUGAUACCCAAUUGACUUAUAAUUUCCUUAAUUACUAUUUGCAGAACGGAUUGUGGCAUAUUUGUAAUGAAGUUUAUGCAAUUAUGGAGUAACCGUGGAAUUUCUCGUGCAAUUGCAAAUGUAUUAUAUUGUGGUGAAUAAAAUAUAUAUAUAUUUUUUUUAUGAUCAUGAAUUUUUCUUAAUAUUAUAUUAUAUACUCUUUUGUACAAGACAAGGUCAUAAAGUACAAGUUAGGGAUAUGCCAAAGAACCCAUAAUUGCCCAGUUUCAUAAUAAAUUUGACAUUUUCAAAAUUUUACCUUAUCGUAAUGUAUCAUAAUGUUAUUGUAUUUGUAUUGUAAUUGUACUGUAUUUUUAUUAUACCUCUAUAUUUUUAUAUAAAAAAAAUUAAUUUUAUAGAUUUUUUUUUUAUCCAUCAUUGGAUUAUCAUCAACAACUAUUUCACAAUAUUACAAUCAAUGAAAAUUGUACAACGAAUACAAAAUAAACAAAUGAAAAUUAUAAUCAAUUGAGAGACAUAUUUUAUAUAAUAAAUAACAAUAUUUGUUGUAUAUUAUAUAUGUUAGGGAUAUGCCAAAGAACCCAUAAUUGCCCAGUUUCAUAAGAAAUUUGACAUUUUCAAAAUUUUACCUUAUCGUAAUGUAUUGCAAUGUUAUUGUAUUUGUAUUGUAAUUGUACUGUAUUUUUAUUAUACCUCUAUAUUUUUAUAUAAAAAAAAUUAAUUUUAUAGAUUUGUUUUUAUCCAUCAUUGGAUUAUCAUCAACAACUAUUUCACAAUAUUACAAUCAAUGAAAAUUUUACAACGAAUACAAAAUAAACAAAUGAAAAUUAUAAUCAAUUGAGACAUAUUUUAUAUAAUAAAUAACAAUAUUUGUUGUAUAUUAUACAUGUUAGGCAUAUGCCAAAGAACCCAUAAUUGCCCAGUUUUAUAAGAAAUUUGACAUUUUCAAAAUUUUACCUUAUCGUAAUGUAUCGUAAUGUUAUUGUAUUUGUAUUGUAAUUGUACUAUAUUUUUAUUAUACCUCUAUAUUUUUAUAUAAAAAAAAUUAAUUUUAUAGAUUUUUUUUAUCCAUCAUUGGAUUAUCAUCAACAACUUCAUGUAUUGAAAUUACAAUAGUGUAUUUUUGUUGUUGUUUUUUUUUUUUUAUAAUUUUGGCUUGCAAGGAUGCUUUAUGAUAGGAAUACAACAUGAUAGCCUAGAAAUGCCAAAUCAGUAAAAAAUAAUUCAAUAUUUUGUCAUUUUGGUAUAUUGUAAUGUAUCAUAAUGUUAAUAUUUUUUCAUUGUAACUAUAUUGCAUUUGUAUUGUACUUAUACUUUAUAACUGAAAUAAUGGUUCUUUUACACAACCUUCAAACUACUAGGCAUUCGACUCAUCAUACUAAAAUAAUACUUAUACAAAAAGGUAACAAAUUUAUAACAAAAAUAUAGUGAUCUUAACUCUUUAACAAAUUCAUAAUAAAAGACAAAGUGGUCUCGUACAAAGGGGAUUUCAGUUUUCAAUGACAAUCCAAAUAUGUUUAUAAAUACACAAACAAAGUGGUCCCAAACAAGUAUGAAAUAACUGAGAACAUUUUUUCUUCAAUCAUGUCAAAAAGUCUUAACAACAAAACUAAAGUGCAAACCUUUUCAAUAGAAAUCAAUAAUAAUCAUAUCAAACAACCCACCCAGCAAAUAAAUUAAAAAUAAAAACACAUCUUCAAUAUGACCUAAAUAAUAUAAAAAAAUUCAAAAUAAUAAAUUUAAAUAACAUUUAAAAAAAAUGUAAUUUCUUUCUGAAAACCUCAUUCAAUAUUUCAGAUCUAAUAUCUUAUAACUACAUUGUUAAAAUUAUUAACUUUUCCUUCAUUCAAUCCGAUUUUUAAAUUAUUUAUUUAUUUUUCCAUAAACUGAUGUUUUUUUUUUUUUGUAUUAAAAAAAAAAAAAACUGACCUUUAAUGGAUUUCUUGCUAGAUUCACCAAAAAAAAACAAGUUUUGUGUAUCGGUUGCAGAGAAUGACCUGAAGUGCGCACCUUUUUCCUUUCCCCUUUUUCUUCUACAACUCGAGGCCUUUGGAGGAAUUAUCAUCAUUUUACCCUACCCUUUACAAGACUUAUCAAAUUUACCUACCCUCAUUGGUCAUUUUUUCCCUCAGCCUACCCUUAAGGGUAAUUCUUCCUUUUUUUUAUGUCAUGUGUUAUUUUCAUUUAUAUUUUAUAUUUUAUUAUAAUUUUUUAUUUAAUUAAAUUUUCUAUGUUCGUUAACCUACUUUCUCCUUUAUUUAUUCACCAAUUCAAAUUGAUAUUUUUUUUUUAUAGGAAAUGAUCAUUUAAAAUUAUUUUAGGAAUUUAAAAUUGAUAUAUUUAUUUAUUUAAAAAAUAUUUAUAACAUAUAAGUUUUUGUUUAAAUAGAUUUCUCGACAAAAAUAUCUAAUACUAUGUCACCAAUUAAUCUAUUAAAUAUUAAAAAUAUCAUUACUAUAUCAAAUAAUUAAUAAUAAUUUUUUUCUGAGCUUUAUUUAACUUAUAUAUACUUAUAUAUUUAUAUGGUUCUUUAUCUAUUUUUCUUGUUGUUUCAUUCAUUGGUAAAAAUAAUAACUUUUGUUAAAAAUUAAAUUUUUGAGUUUAUUGUAGAAGCUUGAUUGUUUUGAUAAAAUUAUUAAAGUUUUAUAUUUUAAAAUUUUAAAUAUAUAUUGUGAAAAUAUAAGUUUUUGUUUUAAUAGACUUCUUGACUAAAAUUUUUAGGAUUAUGUCAUAAGUUAAUAUAACAAAUAUUCAAAAUAUCAUUAAUAUACCAAAUAAUUAAUAAUAAAUUUUUCAUAGCUUUCUAUAUAUGUAUGUGUGUGUGGGUGCAUACAUCUAUCCCUAAAUCUAUCGCAUUGGAAACAUAUGACAUAAAAAAACAUUAUAAAAUAAAGAUCUAGAGAUUGAAAGUUUAAACUUGCAAUUUAGAUGUUCUCCAAUAGAAUCUAAUAUGAAGAAGGUAUUAUAGAACUUGUCUAUCGAACGAUCGUCCAUCUAAUAUCUCCCUUCAUGGAUCCUAACAUAAGAGAAUGAUGGAUUUCUCUAUCUUUAAAGGGUGACAAAGGUUUAUCUCUCUGAAAUUUCAAAAAAAUUGAAUAGAAAGACUGAAACACUAACCCUUAAGAUGGUUUAUAUAGGUUUCCCUAUAGAGUUGAGUGACUUGAGCAUAAAUUAGGCUUAGAUCACCUAAUCCAGUCUAUUUGGGUCAUAAUUAAAUAAUUAGUCUUAAUGAGUUUCAAUUAAUUAAUUAGCCAAUUCUAGAAAGUCAAUUUAUAAGAUCUAUUACAACCUUGUAUUUUUACCAAAGCGCUCUCAUACACACUUAUAAAUUACAUACCCAAAAUACCCUUAAAACAUGUCACUAUGAACUAAGAGCUCGAGCAAGGACCAUUGGGACUCAUCGGAACAUAUUGGCUUCCCCAUAAUCAAAUUCUAAAGUUGACUCAAAACUCCACUAAAGAGAGUUAAUUGCACUAUAGUAAACUAUGAAAUUACAAUGAGACAAAGUUUGGAUCUAUGACCUACCAUUCAUUAUAUGCAAACUCCCUAUGAACUAGUAUCUAUAAUCUAACAAGGUAGUGUUAUCAACUUAUUAGGAUUACCUUUCCAAUCUUCGAGUUACAGUUCUAUCUAUUAUGUGAUUAACUAACAUAUUCAAGCUUCAUAAAACAUAUGUCGAAUUCUACUUAAAGAAUUACUACAACCACAUAUUUCACGAUCACAUGUCCUUUGGAUCACUCAAGGGGACACAUUGUCUCAAUCCCAUGAGAUAUCAUGGUGCCUCUAUUGAAAAUACAUAUUGUCAUUGUCUAUAACCUAACAAGGUAGUGUUAUCAACUUAUCAUGAUUACCUUUCCAAUCCUCGAGUUAUAGAUCCACCUAUUAUGUGAUUAACUGACAUAAUCAAGCUUCAUAGAGCAUAUGUCAAAUUCCACUUAAGGAAUUACUACAACCACAUAUUUCAUUAUCACAUGUACUUUGGAUCACUCAAGGGAACACAUUGUCUCAAUCCCAUGAGAUAUCAUGGUGUCUCUAUUGAAAAUACCUAUUGCCACCAACUUCUAUUAAUAGUGAUCCAAUCCGUAGAUAAUAUAUGACCGCACUAAGGUCUCACCCAUAGGUCAAAGUCUUUUAUUAAUUUCAACACAAACUUAAUAUCUUCUUAAGGUUAAGAGUCUAUGCAACAUAGUAGCUUAGUAAAUCAUGACAACUCAAUGGCCUUAUGUUAUAUUUUACCGUAGGUCCUAUCUAAUGUAAAAUCAUACAAACUAGUACACUCACCAACGGAAACUCAUCUCGAUGACUAAGACAAAUCAUCCCUCUAAUUAGAGGUAGUGUAUUAUAGUUUCUACUAGAUUUCCCAAAUUCAUGAACUGACUAUGAACGAUUUACUAUCUUGUAAGGAACUCAUGACUUAUAUACUUUGUGUAACUCCUGAUACACCUAAGUCAUGUACAAUGCAAACGAUAUGAGCUAAAUGCUUAAAUCAAUAUCAAUGCAUAAAAGAGAUAGUUAUAGGAUAAUCGAGUCUACCUUCGUUACAUCAUAUCUUACUUUUAGGGGCUCAAUCGCAACAAACUCCUACUAGCCUCAAAAGCAAACUAGGCAUCACGAAAAGAAUCUACUCUACAGUCACAUUACUUCUUUCAACUAUCUCACAAAACAAGUAGUACUUCCUCUCUAUGUGUUUUCUUUUCUAGUGGUACUUGGUUCUUUAAACUAUACCAUUGUUCUACUGUUAUCACAUAACAACAUCUUAGACGAUGCAACUAAGGGAAUUGAACAUAAUCCAAAAGGCUUCUUUUGUUGCUUUGAAAACAACAACAAAUACCACGUAAAACAAACACAUACAUGGAGAUAGACCUGCAAGGGUCCUCAUCAAAUUGAAAGCCUAAUUCCCAAUACAUAAGGAAUACUAACUCAUUACAAAGACUUACAAACAUAUAAUCUCUCGUUCUCCAAAGAUAGUCGAGUAUAUGCUUGACAUCCGCCUAAAGCUCCAAUAUUAGAUUGGACUAAUAUCUACUCACCAUCCUUAUAAUAAAACAUAUAUUUGGUUUAACACAUAACAUCACACACAUAAGGCUUCCCAUUACAGAAGUGUAAGAUAUUGCCUUAAUGCAAUUUCCUCAUAUGUAAGAUAUUUUUUAUAUCAAUUUUCUAUUUUUAUUUUGAAAAAAAAAAUUAGUUUCAACACAUGUGGAUAGUGUUUUUUUAAAGUUUAGGUUUAAAAUUCUAUAAAAAUUUAAAAUAUAAAAAUAAAAAAAAUGAAAUCCAUUAUACAAAAAAUAUUAUAAUGGAAUCCAUUAUAAAAAUAUUAUGAAUAGGAAAGAAAAUAAAAUAUUAUAAUUGAAAUCAAUAUUAUUUAAAAUAUUAGUAUUUAUUUAUUUAUUAGAUUAUUAAUUAUUAUAGGUGAAUAUGUUUUUAUAUUAAAAACUAUUUUAAUUUAAUACAUUAAUUACACAUUAUGUUAAAAUAAAAAUUUAAUAAAGAAAAUGAAAUAAAAAUAAAAAUAAAUGAAUUGUAAUUUUAAAAAAUAAAACCAAAAUUUAAAGUUAAAGGCGGGUUUUAUUAGACCAAUCAAGGUAAAAAGAAGUGGAAUGGGAAGAGUUCCUAGAAGAAAAGAGGAAAGGAAGAAGGACAAGAAACAUAGUAUGUGAUGAAAUAAUUUUACUUCGUCAGGUGGCAAACCACUUUUAUGAUUGAAGGGUAGUCUCUAAAAUUAUUAUUCUACUACAGAUUUGAGGAUUAUUUUUUCGAAAAUAUUCUCGGGAUGAAGCCCUUUUUCUAGGUUAUUAAUUCAUUCAUAUUUUUCAAACAAGAAAAGAAUAAUCUUAUUGUAAUUCUCCAACAAUCAAUUCAAAAGCAAAGAAUAAUCUUAAAAAGGAAGGGUGUUUUGGUCAUUAAGACCAACAAGAUUGCAAACCCAAUCUCCCUACUGUCGUUAAAAGCCACAAGUCAAAUUCGGCUCCGAAAUAUCACUCAUCCACCUGCAUUUUUCUUCGUCUCGAUCAUCUCUCCCACAAAACAAAGUACAAGAAUGUUGCUACGUGGCAUCGUAUCGGCCCCUCUACCCUCAACCCUCUCCCUCAAAGCUUCCGCCCGGCCCUCCCAAAACGCCAGCCUUUCCUUCUCCAUCUCCGACCAGGAACUGGAGUCCCGAGGGUUCAGCCUCCGCCGUUCCAUCGCGGACCUGAACCUGGACCACCUGAACUCCGUCUUCGUAGCCGUGGGAUUCCCGAAGCGGGACACGGAGAAGAUCAGAGUAGCUCUGGAGAACACGGAAUCGGUGCAGUGGGUAGAGUACAGGAAGACGCAGAGGCCAGUGGCGUUCGCGAGAGCCACAGGGGACGGGGUGUUCAACGCCAUCAUAUGGGACGUGGUGGUGGACCCGUCUUUCCAAGGGAUUGGUCUGGGGAAGGCUGUGAUGGAGAGGCUGUUGGAGGAGCUGUUAGGGAAAGGCAUCACCAACAUUGGACUGUAUUCGGAGCCCCGCGUGCUGGGGUUUUACAGGCCCCUGGGUUUUGUUGCGGAUCCGGAUGGGAUCCGAGGCAUGGUGUAUUCCAGGAAGCGAAACAAUAAAUUUUAAUUAACAUUCUCUUUUGUUACACAUAAAGGUUGAAUUAUUUGAUUUUUAUUUUAUUUUUCCGUCUCGUCCACAUCACAAACCAGUGUAAAACUCAAGUCGGCCAGUUAUUUCGUUCUUUCCUUAAGGUGUUCUUUUUCUUCUAAUUGCGAGGUUGCUUUUAUAUGAAAUGACCUCCCACCCCCUUACCUUUCUUCAGCCUUAAGUCCGCCCUUCCCAACUUUUCUUCCGCCCUUCCCAACUUUUCUUUGGAAACUUGUGUUUUAGGGCUCUUAUUUAUAAAAUAUAUGAUAUUCAAAUCUCAAGUUUAUAAAAUAUGGAAAGUAAUCAUUAAUAGGCAAAAUAAUAUGAGAAUUGUGCACUCUGUGCUGAGUCAAUUUUAUCUACCCAAAUUGCCCUUGAUGUCUGCUGCAUCAAUAGCCAAAUAGCCUCCAUGUCAGACUUAAAUUUUUUAAAAAAAUUGUGAAACUUGUCAAUUGUAUAAAAAACCACCCGACUUGAAAAAGAACUGGAAAAAAAAAAAAAAACCAAUUCUUUGUUUGAACUAGAAAAAAUUCCCAAAUAUGAUAGUUCUCCAUCCCUAAUUUGCCUUUCCCAAAUCUGAACAUUUUGUCGUCUCUCUCUUUUUCUUUCUUUCUCUCUCAUUUUAGCAAAAAAAAAACCUUGAGCCGAAAUUGGAAUCGACAUCUAACUUUCUUCUCAAAAACUCCCGUAACCCUAAAUGUGCAUUUUAGUUUGUUAACAACCAAACUAAGAUUUUCCCUAAGCCGGAAUCUCAAAAACUUGUCAUUUCAAAAGGUCAUUUGAAAUCUGAAUCGGCGAAAACCUUCAUGUCCAACAAAUUGAACUGAUACCCAGACUGAAAUUUCCCUUUCUUUCGUCCUCUCAAAGUUUAGGAACAUUUCUCUCAUUCGUCUUCAUGUACGCAGUCAGCAGAAGCGGAGACUGUGUUAAAUUUGCAAAAUUUCACACAUUUCAGAGAAUAAACCAUGAAUCGAAAAUUGUGUUUAAAUUUGCAAAAUUUGACACAUUUAUGAGAAGAAACCUUGAAUCAAAAACCUCAAUCUACAUUUUUCUUUGUUGUGCAGUUUUUGAAGAAGCAAAUGAAACACUUCAUGGUAACAACGUCCAGUUAAAAAAUGGUUUUGAGGAGGCAACAGUGUGAUUCAAAUUCUAGUUCAACUGAGUGAACCCGAACGAAAACGGCAAGUGUGAAAUAUUGGCUUCGUGAAGAAGAAAUCUCCUCUUCGUCUGAUUGGGUUGCAUUUCGACCUAACCCCCACCAAAAUCUUAAGGUAAUUAAUUUGUAUUUAGUGUUGUUUUGUUUGUUUGUUUGUUUUUAAUAGAGCAUAGCAGCGAUUGUGGAGUGGUUGUUGGACUUCGAAAUAUGUGUGCAGUGGUGAGGCGAUAGCUUCAUGCACAGGUGGAUUUUGGACCGCAUGCUUGCAGGCUCGAUCCCUGUCUUGUUGAGUAUUUGGACAGUGGUGUAUUUGGAAAUGAGAAUGUUGCACCAAAGGUAACUUCCAUGAUGUGUUACAAUGGUUAUUGUUAGAUAGAAUGAAGAAAAUAUGAUACUCUAUUGCUUUUGUUGUGGUAUGAAUGUUGUGAAAUAUGAAUCCGAUAAUGCUUGAGUAACACUAUAAGGUAAUGUUUAUAAAGGUAGAAUAGAUAAUGAGAAAUAGGAAGUAAUGGCAUUUUCCAUUCAUUAAUUUCUUUAGAUUGUUUUAUAAUAUGAGAAUAUGAAUGAUGUAUUCAUUUUGAUGGGAACCUACUCUCACCCCUACUAGAAUUUUGAUUCAUCUCUUCUAUAUAAUAUUAUGAUUCAACUCCAUUUCCAAUCCAAUUCCCAUAUGUCAAACACAUCCUACAUGCUCUACGUGAAGUCAUGAGGCUAUUUAUGGUCUUAUACCUUAGCAUACCUUGGCUUGUAACUUUGUGAACCUUUGCAAUGUGUGUGGGCAUCAUGUUUUGCAAUUUUUGUGAGUUUGUUCACCUUAGAUGUAAGCACUGCCUGACUGAACCUUAGGUACUACCUUAGUAACCCUUAGGUACUAUCGUAAUAAACUUUAGGUACUACCUUAAUGUACCUUAGGUACUACCUUAUUGUCCUAUACAUAUUACCAUUGUGAAACCUAUAGCCCUACCCUAGCACACUUUGGGUACUUAAUUUCUGAACCAACUGUAGUUACUUUGUCAAUACUAUGUACUACCCGUGUUCAAUCAUAGGAUGUAUCUUUUGCAUUCAAUUCCAUCCAAUUUUGAAGAUGAAUCAAGAAAUGCGUAGAUAAUACAUAAUUUCCUUAAUUGAGCAUGUCAUUUUUAUUUUGUAAUGACAUAGGUGAACAUUUCACCUUAGGCAAAUGGCAGAUUGCCCAUGUGGCUACCUGAAUGUACCUAAGAUGGUACGUAAAUGUACCUAUUGUGCUACCUUAAUGUGCUUUAAGUAUUACCUUAAUGUCUCUUAGGUACUACCUUAAUGUCCCCUAGGUACUACCUGACUAUACCACAUUGUCUCCACAUUUGGGAACCUUAACGAUGCACCCGAGCACAACUUGGCUACUAGCUUCAUAAACACUCAGUGGUUACUUUGUGAAUUCUAGGUACUACUAUGGUCAAUCAUAGGAUGUAUCUUUGUCAUUCAAUUUCAUCCUAGUUUGAUACAUAACCAAGCCAUUUGGUUGAAAAUGUCAGUUUCUUUAAUUGAGCAUGACAUUGUUAAGUUGUAAUAGGUUAGGCAUCCCGUUAACCUUAGGUCAUACCUUAUUGCACCUGAUUAAAUACCUUAAUGUGGCUAAGGUACCACCUUAAAGUGCCUAAGGUACUACUUUAAUGUGCCUAAGGUACUACUUUAAUGUGCCUAAGAUACUACCUUAAUGUGGCUUAGGUACUACCUUAGUGAACCUUAGGAGUACUUCCUUACUGUAGCUUAGGGACUACCCUAAUGAACCUUAGGAGUACUACCUUAUUGCAACUUAUGGACUACCAUUGUGAACCUUAGUUAUUAACUUAAUGAAGCUUAGGUAGUGAGUUUGUGAACCUUGGGUUGUUCAUCAAUCCUAGGUGGCACUUUCCUCAACCAUAGGUCCUAUGCUUGACAUAUAUAUCCAACAUCUUCCCUUAGUACACAAUGUCUUGAAUUGUCUAUGGCAUUAUUUAAAAAUAAUUUAUUUUUUAGGGUCAACAUCUUCCCUAAUGCACUUCACUUACUAUCGUCAUGCACUUUAGGGUCAACCUUAAUACAUCAUAGGUGCAAUCUCACUACUCCUUAUGUAGUAAGGUCUAAUUGGUUAUUGUCCUUAAUGUUGGAGAAAUGUUGCAUUUUCGAAUUGAAGACACAUUUCUUCCAUUCCAUUACAGAUUUGAUAAUGGCAUUACUUUGUCUUAAUUGGUUACUCACCCAAUACGUUAUGUACUCAUAAUAGUAUGAAGAUACUAUCUUAAUGUACCCUAAGUACUAUCUUAAUGUAUCAUAGGUACUACUUUAAUGUCCCCUUAAGUACUACAUUACUAUAACACUUUCUCCACAUUUGGAAACCUGAAUUGUGCAAUCGAGCACAACUUUCCUACUAGCUUUGUUUCCCAAUCUAUAGUUAAUUUGUGAAUCCAACGUACUACCAUGGUCAACCAUAGUAUGUAUGCUUCGACAUUCAAUUUCCAACUAGUUUAAAAAAAACGAAGCAAUUAGACUGAAUAAACAAUUUCCUUAAUUGAGAAUGACAUUGGUAUGUUGCAAUAGGUUAGCCAUCUUUUUCACCUCUGGUAAUACCUUAUGGCAUCUGAGUUACAACCUUUAUGUGGCUAAGGUACUACCUGAAUGUGCCUAAGGUACUACCUUAAUGUGCCUAAGGUACUACCUUAAUGUGCCUAAGGUACUACCUUAAUGUGUCUAAGGCACUACCUUAGUUAACCUUACGAGUACUACCUUACAGCAUCUUAGGGACUACCCUAGUUAACCUUACGACUACUACCUUACUUUUGUUGUUUAUCAAUUCUAGGUAGCACUUUCCUCAACCAUAUGACCAACACUUGACAUUCAAUUCCAUUUUAAUUUCACGUUGAAUGGAAAUAUGUCCAAGCAUUAUGGACUAACCAAUUUUGAUGCCCUAUAGUCCCUGUAUACAAAUUUUCAUCCACAUCUCUCUAUUACUAUAAAGAUAUGUAUACAAUUAUUUGGUACUCUAAUGAUGGCAUAAUUUUAUACGAUAACACAUAUAUGUGGUAUACGCCACUUUGAACAUUUUUUUCCAUAUAUGCAAAUUUUGGUUUGAACUCCACAUUUGUUGGGUUUUCUUUCUUCAUUUUUUGUCCCCUUUUUGUAUUUGCAACUUUCUUUAGCCAAUGUUAAUUGCUUUUUUAUUAGGUAUGCACUAGCCAAGUCAUCUCUAGAUCGUCAUUACAAGCCAAAAUGCAAAGACAUCUUCUCCAUGAACCUUAACAGUAGCUUCCGAUUAUUGUUGCCGCUCUAUCACCUUCUGCUCCUGAUUUGCUUGCAUUUCUGCUCGAUUGGCCCAAUGUUAAAGCUCUAUCACUGGAUACUCUAAACCAAUUUUUCAUAUUAUAUUGUGUUAUAAUAAAAAGUUUUUUGUUUAUCAUACUAUUUUCAUUUUCGUAAUUACAAUUGUAUGUCAUUUGUUGUAAUUUAUUAAUAGUAAAAGUGUUUGUAUAUUUAUACAACAUAUUUUAUAAAACACUAUUAGAAUCAUUUUCUUGAUUCUCAUAAAAGUGUUAUUCACAUCAACACUGCCUAAGGAAACACUGUAAAAAAAAAAACCUUCCAUUAUAAUAAGUGCCAACGGGGCUCUAAGUGUAAUUUUAAUACUAAGCGGAAAACAUUAUUCCACUAAAUUACCAAACUAAUGCCACGUUUGCACAUUUAGUUCGACAUUUUAGUUUCAUUUUUCAAUUCUUCGUCUAUGUUUAACUAAUUUUUGGUUUCCAACCCAGUUAAUUAUAAUAUAACUAAAAUGCCUUGGUAAGUAAGCCGUCAAUUACUCAAUAAAUAAUAACAACAAGAUAUAAAGUAAUGGAAGCUUUUUAUAAAUCAAACGUGUUAUAUGUGAAUAAAAAAAAAUAUUAAAGCAAUUUAUUUUUUGUUACUCUGGUCGUCUAUGAACAUCAUCCAUCCUUAAGAACCUGUUUGUGCUUUAUGUAUAAUUUGCAUAGGUAAAUAUUUAUGCAUAGGAAUAUUUCCAAUGCACCAAUUGAACAACUAUAUAAAAAUAUUUAUCACCAUUAACAACUACAUGUCCUAUCCUACUAUUAAAUGUCUGUCCAUCAUAAUUGCAUUACACAUAAUUUGCUAUCCCUAUGACAUUCAUAUUGGUUUACAACCGUCCGAAUGAAUCACUUUAAACUGUUGGAAAAUUUCCAGAAACACUUUAUUUAAACUGCUACCAUGGAAACAUGACUCCAAUUAUCCUUCUUGUUCUCCUAAGAGUUGCUUGUAAUUUUAUUUGGCUGAACACAAAUAAAAAAAAAUUGUCAUCCUUUCAAUUUAAGUCUUGUUUCUAUGUUGUGCAAAACAUAGUCAUCUCAUUCCAAUAUAAAUCAAAGUACCUUGGCGAAAAGCAGCGAUAUCCUACUCAAGUGAGCAUAAAUUAAAUUUUAGUAAAUCUUAUGAAAAUAAAAGUUACUGAUCAGACACACUGUUAGCAUAUAUGGACAGUAGUAAUUCAUCAAACACGUUCUAAUAUCUUCAAACAAAUGGCAUAGGCAACGCCCCACAUACCAUUCAUCAAACACUAAGGAAAUGAAGAUGAAACAUAUUCGUUUACUACAUAUGGCAUAUACAUGCUCAUAUGCCAAAAUUCAUACUUUCUAAUUCUAUAUUAACCCAAUUUGUUCUAACAUUUUUCUCAUCGUCAUUUGAGAGUAAUUUAUUUUAAUAUGUCAUCUCCUCAAAUAUUGCCUGCUCAGCCUCAUUUUUCCAGCACUUUGAGGUUGUGUUUGUCCAGUUUCUGAAUUCAAUUCUCCAUCUCCAGCAUUUUUUGUCCCUUUUGCCGAAUUUUCUUCGUUCUCUAUCUAGAGAAGGUAACGGAAACCAACCCAUAAUCAACAAAAGGACCACCGACCAAAAGCUAAAAUAAUUUUGAAGUGGAUACCAAGUAAAGACGGACUGAACUAUAGGCCACAAAGCAAGAGCAGUUAUGAGCAUGGUCUUAAAAUCCACAGCUCUCAUAUGAAACCAAAGUACAAUUUCCUGUGAAAUUCAAUUUUUUGUGUCUAAAAUUGAAUGCAUUUGAAACUUUUUUUUUAAUCACACACUAAAUUGCUAAGGUUAUAAAAUCACGCUUGAAAUGCAACUGAAUGUAGACUACAAAUUUGUUUGUCUUUUGAAGUGUAAUCCAUUGUAACCAAAUCUUUUUCAAUUCAUUUUGCACAGUUCAAUUCAUAAUAAAAGAAAAUAUAUGUUGAAAACUGAGCUCAAUGAGGGUGAACUAACCUUUGACCAUGUAACCUUUGUUGAACAAAAAGAAGUUUGUCAAAUAAAUGAUAUUGCAAACUUCCAGAAUUCUUAAAGAAUGACAAAAUUAUACAUGAGGUCGCUUUAUCAUAAGACUUCCCCAUGCAUGUCUCAUAUGAGCAGAAAUAACUAAAGGGAAGUUAUUUCAAACAUGACGUAGUCUACAGUGCAAAAGUUCUUUACACCACAAUAAAGUUGCAUAAUUUGCAACAAUUUGAACUAUUUAUUCCCAAAGCCUCUACCACUAAGGAAAUUGCAACCAACAUAUAGAAUGAACAACUUGACUACUUUAAUGUUAUUAUGAAAGUAAGAAUUCACCAUCCAAGAAAUCAUAACAACGGGAUUUUGACUGUCAAGCACUCUCACACUGAAAAUCGGAUUUACUAUAGGAAAUAACCUAUUAUAGAUUUAAUGGUCCUUCAAAUAAUAGAUUGGAAAAGUUAGAAAAACAAUUCAAAGUAAACAUUCAAAUUUGUUGUUCAAAACACAACUUCAUUACAAGGAUGCAAUUUGUAGCCAUAACAUUCUAAAAACUUAGGUUAUAUACAUUCAAUAAGCAUUACUUCAGACAAAUUUACGUUGAUGGAAAUAACAGAAACAAUAAAAUUAGAAAAUUAUUUUUGGGCCCAUUUCAAUAUUUACCAUUCCUUAUUGCCAUAAUGAACAUAAUGGUUCUCAUAAACAUCUAUAAACCUCAUCGAUUGACCAAAGUAACAGCAAGAUACAACAAACCAUUAAGCACAAAGCAGAACUUAAAAAUCCUGUAAAACAACAUGCAUAAAAACAAGCUCAAAUGGAUUCGAGCAAGAAAACCAACCUUAGAUGAUUCUCAACAAAACUGUUCAGCUUAUAGUUAACACUAACUACUAAUUAAGACAACUCCUCACAAUACUAACAACUGUAACGAAAACCAAAUUUAUAUCAUUCUAUCUGCAUGCUUAACUCUUCCUCUAUACCCAAUAUGUACAACAUUAUUCAAAGCUAUGUUUGUUUUAUGAGAAAAUAUAAAGGACCUCAUAAAAUUGUUUUAAUUUAAAAAUUUUAUUCACCUUAAAACAUUUAUAAAGCUACCAUUACAUAAACCUAAAAACACAAAUCCGAGAAGUAGUUAAAUAACAUUUAUUCAGAAAGUACCUAAAAACCUACCAUUAAUCAGUUGUGAUUAUGAAGAGAAGAUUGAUUGGGGGAUAGAGGUAAUGGAAUAGCCAUUAGGAAGCUUUUUUUUUUCACAGGGACUAGCAUUUCUCCAUAAAGGCCUAACUUACUUGGGACAAAUUUGACAAUGAUUCUUUAGCACUGAAAGGUAUGUCAUACAUGGAAACAAGUGGUAAACGAGAUUGGAAGUGCCCUAGGAAGGCCAGGCAAAUAAGAAGGAAAUAAUUGGAAAUGACCAAUGUUUGAAAUGUCAUAACAUAGGUUUGAGUUAGCUUCGGUUGGUUAUUUGCAGCUAGUAUCCGUAUGUUACCAGAACACUAUGCAAUUGUUCACCAUGCUACUUCUAAUAUGUUCUCCCACUAUUUGCCACAUUUUCCCCCCUUUUUACAACUACCAACAUUUCUCUACUUAAGACAGAGUAAAAAAGUACCACUUCAGAUAUCUCUGUUAUUCUUGCCAUAAAUUGUUAUGGUGUGGAAAUCAUUAUUUACACUAAUUUCUAUAGGUUGGCUAGAUAUAUGGCUCUCAGAUUGGGGAUGUUUUGACUGGUCUGAAGAUGCAUGCUAGAGGAUAGAGAUUUGUAUAUUGUAUGCCAGUUCGUGCUGCCUUUAGAGGAUCAACACCUAUUAAUUUUUCAAAUCGUAUAACCUAGGUGUUUUUUUGGGCCAUUAGCUUUAUUGAAAUUCUUAUCAGUCGACAUUGUCCAAUGUGGUUUGGAUAUGGUGGAAGGCUUAAGUUGUUGGAGAGAGUUGCUUAUAUAAAUGUCGUCAUAUAUCUCAAUUUUUCUGUUCCCCUGCUGAUUUACUGUGCUUUACCUACCAUUUGACAUUGAAACUCAACAGCAACACCUUAGUUUCUUGCGUAUCUCUUUGCGGAACUUGCAUAGGCCAAACCAUGCCUCACUAUGCUCUCCUCCUAUUAUUAAUUUGCAGAUUACUUAUGAGGCAAGCAUUUGCUUCACCUUAAUUUCUGUAUUACUAAGGCAUGACCAAUACUUCACAAACUGUCACUUUUUUUUCAUCCUAAAUUUGUAGUCAACAUUCAUCUUUUACAUGCUUACUGCUAUCAUUUUAUCAUGUCUCAAAUCAAAUUCAUAAAAAAAUAACAAUAACAACAUACAUUCAAUUAUAUCAUGCAAAGACAAAGGACAAAACAAUAACAACACACACACAAUGAAAUCGGUAUUCAAAAUUAGUAAAGCAAUAACAAUGACAAACGACCAAGCAAAUAAUAUGUUUAGUUGCUAGUAGUAACUCUCAUAUAUACCAUUAAAAUUGAAAGAAAAUUUCCAUCGACUAGUAGUAAUACAGAUGAACCAAUUUCCCCAAAAAUCUUAUCACAACAAAAUUCCUGGAAAGCAAAUAAUAAUAAUAAUAAUAAUAAUAAUAAUAAUCUUUUUUCUCUAAAUACGAACAUAUCUUUAACCAAAAAAAAAAAUCCUAUAUUUCAUUAUACUAAAAAUGAAGCUAAAUAUAAGAAACCUCAAAGUAAAACACUUGAAACCUUAAGAUGUUCACACCAUCCAAACAAACUUGUAAAUGAAAACUCACCUGUGAUUGAUUAAUCGGAAAACACGCACAAGAGGGAAAACUCCAGUUCCGUUUCGAGAAACCUUAACAAAAUUCCAACUUUGAUGAUGCAAAAACAAUAUAUGGCUCCCGUUUGGUUUAUUUCAAGGUAUUAGGAAGAUGGACAUCAGUUUCGGCUACUGAUAACAUUAAAAGACAAAUAGGUUCGACUAACCGGGAUGUUAAGAGACAAACAGAGAAAUUUGAGAAUCUAGGAAGAUGGGUAUCAGUUCGGUUUGUUGGACGUGAAGGUUUUGGCCGAUUUAGAUUUCAAAUGACCUUCUGAAAAGGCAAGUUUUUUAGAUUCCAGCUUAGGGAAAAUCUCAAUUUUGAUUGCUGACAAACUAAAAUGCAGAUUUAGGGCUACGAAAGUUUUUGAGAAAAAAGUUAGAUGUCGAUCGACUUAAGGUUUUUUUUUGCUAAAAUGAGAGAGAGAGAGAGAAGAGGACAGCCAAAGUUGGGUUGGGUGGUUUUUUCUGCAAUUAUCAAUUAUCACAAUUUUUUUUUUUAAAUUUAAGUAUGACGUGAAGGCUAUUUGGCUGUUGAUGUAGAAGACAUUGAGGGUAAUUUGGGCAGAUAAAAUUGACUUAGCAAAGGAUGCACAAAUCUAAUAUUAUUUUGUCCAUUAAUAAUUACUUUCCAUAUUUCAUAAACUUGGGGUUUAAAUAUCAUAUAUUUUAUAAAUAAGGGCCCUAAAACACAAGUUUCCCUUUUUCUUUCCUCUUUCCUUCUUCCACUUCCUUUUCUUUUCUUUGCCGAUUAAAAUUUUCAAACUUCAAAUUAAAGAAAAAAAAUAAAAACAAAAACCAAGGUAGAAAAAAUCGAAAACAGGAAAAAUAAAAAUAAAGAGUAAUUUUUUUUUAUAAAAAAUUAAUAAAAUAGAAAUUAAUUAAAAUUCAUAAAAAAUAUUGAAAAUCUCUAAAAAAAUAAUUCAACAAAAUAAAAUUUGUAACGUACAAUGAUAAUAUGUAAACUUAAAAACACAUUUAACACUAAAAUACUAUAUAUGUAUUGAAAAUAAUUAAAAUUUAAUUUACUAGAAUUAUAUUUUAAUAUUUAUUUUAUAUGCAAAUAAAUAUAACAUAUAUCCAUUAUUAUUUAUAAGGGUAGCAUUGCCCUAAUGGCAAAGACCUUUUUUCUCUUUAUUUUUCAAAAAAAUAAAAAUAAAAAGAAAACAUUCCAUGCAUGAAUUUGUAAGAAUUUAAAAAUAUUUAAAUUUUUUAGAAGUAUGGGAAAAUUUUAAUAGGACACAUGGGGGCCUCAAAGGACAUAUGACAGACCCAAUGUUUGAAAUAUCAGUAAACAUGGAUACGUGGGUACUUAAAUUUUAUGAAUAUUUCAGAAAUAUUGGUCAAAUUGAUCGAACAAAAAUGGUUUAUGGCUUAAAAUUCAUGAAAAUGCUUUAAAAAGUUUCAAAAAAUGAUAAAAAAAAAAAUACACACAUCAAAUUUAUUUUAUAAAUGUAAUUGACAUAAAUAUUAUUAAAGAUAAUAUUUAUCAAUUUUUUUUAAAAAUGAUUUAAAUUCCUUUAAUAUAUUUAUAUUCAUUUAUUUUAAAAACUAAAAACAACUUUUAUUAAAACAUAUUUUAUUAAAUUUUAAAUAAAAAAUUAAAUUGAUUUACAUCAAAUAAUUUAUUUGAGAUUUAGUUUCUAAAAUUUUAUUACAAAUUUGUAGUGACAAUUUUUUCUAUUAACAUUAAUUUAUUUAAAUAAUUAAAAUUAUUAAAAAAUUAUAUUAAUAAUUUACCUUAUCAAAUUCAUUUAAAUUUAUAAAAUAUUAGAACUUCAUUAAUUUCUUUUAUAUUUCAACAAUUUUUGAAUAAAAUUAUAAUUUUAAUAUGUUAAAAUGAACAUAUUUAAAAUUAAAUAAAAUUUAAAAUAUUUAAAAUUGAAGUGAUAGUGAUUUUUUAAAAUAUGAUUAAUGAGAUAAAUAUAAAAAGUAGUUAAAAAUAAAAUCAAGAAAAUAUAAAUUUAAAACAAAAGAUAAAUUAGAAAUGAAUAAUUUAAAAACAAAAAUAAAUAAAUAAAUAUAUUUUAAAAAAUUGGCUUUUUUUGGAAAAAGUCGCUAAAAGUAAACUAUUUUUUUCAAAACAAAAAGAUAAAUAUUUAGUAAGAAAUGAAUAAUUAAAAAAUUUUAAAAAGGAUAAAUAUUUUUUUUAAAUGGGUAAUUUUUUAAAAAAAAAUUGCCUAUUUUUUAAAAAAAUUGCCUAUUUUUUUGUGCGCAAUCCUCCCCACAUGCGACUUUCGAUUUUUUCGCCAAAAAAUAGGCCAACACUAAAAUAUUGGCGAUAUUUCGCUGAUUUUUCUAAAAUGUCAACCGUUUAUGCAAAUUAGUUUCCAUGACACUAGACGAUGAAAGAAUUUCAUCUUGGUAAAGACGAUAUUACCAUGACAUGGAGUUUGCAUGAUAUUGAUCGGAAUUAUGAACAUGUCAUGCAUAAGUCUCUUAAAUCCUACCCACUACCUCUUCAUGGAUGAAAAAGUUGAAGUUCAUCCAUGCAUAUAUUUGAAAUCUUCUUUACAUCUGAUUUGGAAUACCAUAUACGAAACUCCUUGGAGCAUUGGGGAGGGGGAGGUGAUAUUGGAUCCGUAGUCCCCGGAUUAGUUCCAAAUUAAGUCUAAUAGGGUAACACCCAAAGGUGGGGAAAGAGAAGAGGGGAAGGGGAACCAAGGGUGGUGUGUUUGGGAUUUGAAUGGGCAUAAAAAAAAUUAAAUUUGCAUGUUAUAACUAACUUUUCCCUAUGAGUAAUUAGAGAUUAUCAAAUUUUCUAAAGUCCACUUAAAUUCACCUUGGCCCACUUAAGUUUACUUAGGCCCAUUCAGAUUCACAGAGGCCAGUUUAGUUUCACCAAGACCCAUUUAGGUUCACCUUGGGAACACUUAGAUUUACCUAGGCCCACUUAGGCACACCUUGGCCCACUUACAAAUGCUUGGCCCUUGUAGGCACACCCAAGCACAUCAAGGAUCACCAUAAGUCACAUUUGCAUGGCUUACAUAGUUCAUAGAAUUUGCAUUUUUAACAUUUACAUGUGCUUGAUUUCUUAUUUAUUUACCUAUUUUUUUAUUUUAUUUAGUUAUUUAUUGAUUAUUAUUUAUUUAGUUAUCUGUUUAUUUUUAUUUAUUUAUUUUCAAAAAAUUACAUGUAAUUGAUUAUCUUAUCUUUUUUUUUUUUUUUUAUCAUUAUCAUUAUUAUUAUGAUUAUGAUUAUGAUUAUUAUUAAAUGUUUUUAGUAUAAAAUUUUUAGUGGUAUGUACAUAAAUAAAUUUUGAUAAAUUAUUUUUUAAAGUAUUUUUAAUAUAAACUUUUUUUAAUGCCAACUUGGUAAGUUAAUUUUUUUUAAAGUUUGUUAAUAUUUUUUAAAUUGUAAUGUACAUAAAAUUUAAACACCACUUUCCAUUACAAAAGCAAAGCCACUUUCUAAUACUAAAUUGAAAAAAUAAAAUAAAAUUCUUCCAUGAUAAAUAUCAAAGUUGUUUCCAUAUAAAAGGAAAACACGUUGCCAUAUUGAUAGGGGGAGUCCAUUAUUCACGGGUUGCACUUAUUUUUAUAGGAAUAUCACGAUGCUUGGGAAGAAGAAAAGAAGCAUUCGCACCAUUUUCCAAGCAAGGUAGAAAUCUUCUCCAUGCAACCACACACAUAAGGACGGAAUCAACGCAACCGCCAUCCAAGAGAUGAGAGAGUUUUGACCCAAAAUGCAACAUUUAAAAAAAAAAAUUCCAUUAAGUAAUGUCUAAUCUAGUGCGUUUGUGCCACGUAGAUUGUCACAUCAUAAAACCGUAGUUAAUGACUACGGUUUUAUUUUUGAAAAAUGGUCAAAAUCGUAGUCACCAACCACAAUUUUGAACUUUAAGUUUAAAAUUAUAGUUGGUGACUACGAUUUUGACUACUUUAAAAAUAGUCAAAGUCGUAGUCAGCAACUACGACUUUAACUUUAAUUUCUUGCACAUAUAUAUAUAUAAAACUAUGUUGUUUGAUUUAAAAUAUUUAAAUUUAAUUUUUUAAAUAAAAAUAUUAUAUUAUUUUGAUUUUAUAUUGACUAAAAAUAUGUGAGUGGUUUAAUAAAAAUAUUUAACUUUAUUGAUCUCAUUAUUUAAAUAAUAGUAAUAUAUGAAAUUAAAUAAUUGAUGUCUUUAAUUUGAUAUAAAAAUAUUUUUGUUUAAUUUUAUUAAAAUAAUUGGCACUAUACUCAAUAUAAAUAUAAUUAGUUAUAAAUAUACUAUUUUAUACCCUCAUAAUGAAGAAUAUAAUAUUAUUUUGUAACUUUGUGCAAAAAUUAAAGUCAAUUAUAGAUUUGUACAAAAUAUAAAAUGACUUCAAGUGGGUAAAUGAUUGGAAAAUUACUUAAAUACAACAAAAGUAUUUUUUUUUUCCAUUUUUUUCCUUUCAAAAUGGAAUGGAAAGGCUUAAAAUUUUAAACUUAAAUUGCCAACCUAAUAGAAUUUGUUUUUCCACUUCUUAAAAUAUAGAAUUCUAGAAAGAAAAUACCUUUAUUUUUCCAAUCAAUUCACUAUUUAGUUUAACUGUUUUGGUAAAUAGAUGAAAAUGCUUUUGGAAUAUUUUUGUAAAUUCAUUGAGAAUAAGAACAAUGUUCCUUAUUAGGUACUAACGAGAGUUUUGGGCAAAAAUGAUUUCUUUAAAACAAAAAAAAUCAUAAAUUAAUUUUAUUCUCAAAAUAAUUUUCAAUGUGAUUUGUGUCUUAUUCAUGUGAGUAUUCACAUCACAAAAUCGUAAUUGGUAAUCACAGUUUUUAUUUUUUAUUUUUAAAAAUAGUCAAAAUAGUAGUUGGUGAUCAUAACUUUAAAUUUAAACCAAAAACCAAUUUUUUAAGUUCAAAUUUCAAAUCAUACGAAUGUUCAAUUUUUUAAGAAUUAUUUUGAUUGGAGAUUUAGAUUGUAAAUUUUUUUUAAUGCAUUAUUUUUUCUAUAUCAAUAUAGUGUUGUUGUUGUAACUAAUUAGUUAUAAAUAUAAUUAGUUUAAAUUUAAACCUAAAACCAAUUUUUUAGAUUAUCAGACUGCUAUAUGUAAGUGGUAUAUAAUAUCAUAUAUAUAUAUAUAUAUAUAUAUAUAUAGAUAUAUAAGUUCAAUUUAAGUUUAAAAUUUAUCAUAUUUUCAUUUAAAUAUAUAAUAAUUUGUUCAUAAUAAAAAAGUUAACAAUAUAAUGCAAAUGAAAAUAAACGAAAAACUAAAAAACAGUCCUCAAUGAGUGCCACAUGAUGGGGCAUUCCUCUUUCUCUACGGACGCCUAUGAUACAGAGACAUCAUUGUUGAAUCUAUCUGUGCAAUCUGCCAUGUCUCAAUAUGUUUAGGUUGAGAUGGAGCUGAUGGAGGCAAGACUCGACGUCUACGUGGACCACGACGUCACCUAGGUGAACAUACAUUUAACUAUGUAACAUGUGUAAGGAUAUGAUGCACAGUAGUCUCUAUGAGAAGAGGUGUAGGUGAUGGUAAGGUGGUAGGUGGUAGGACAAUCUCAAGUACAGUGAUAUCUGAUAUAGUAGCAUCUAGGAGAGGUGAUAUAGGAGAUGGAAGAAUGACAUCUGAUGUAGUGGUAGUUGGUGCAAUAACAUUUGAUAUAAUGGGCUCGAGGAAAUGAUAUAUAAGUGAUGAUGGUGAGGUGACAUGUGGUGUAGUGGUCUCCUCGAGAGAAGGUAGAGGUGAUGGUAGAUUAGUAGAUAGUAAGGUAGUCUCUAGUGUAGUGACAUCAGGUAUAGUGGCUUCUAUGGGAGGAAAUAUAGGUGAUGGUAGAAUGGUAUCUAAUAUAACAUGCUCUAAGGGAGAAGGUCUAGGUGAAGGUGAUGGUAAGGGUGAAAGGGGAAGUGUAGAAGCCUCAAGUGCAAAUAGGGUAGAUGAUGUGGAUGGUGCUAACAUGGUCUCGGGUGGAUGCAUAGAUCGUCAAGGCUAUCGACCAGCUUGCCCACCAUCUCGCCUACUACCUCUCCCUCGGCCUCAAAUAGGUUGCAUCCUAAUUGUAGUGGCCGACACAGGUGGUCUCAUGGAUGGGUAUGAUGAUGUAGAUGACUGACAGACUGAAUGUAUGCGAUGUUCCUCUCUAAUAACAUGCAAAAUAUCAAUAGGAAUCCAAUGAAUGUCGCUUAAUGCACCUGAAGUAGGCCCAACAGAUCCACUAGCAAUCUCAACCAUACCAGUGAUCUAAAAAAAAAAAAAAUUAAACAGACGAAGAUGAUUUUUUAUUAAUUAUAAUUUAAUAAACCAUUUCUAAAUUAAAAAAUCUUACCAACAACUGAGUAGCUGUUAUUGUACUAUGAUACCUCAUCUGAUCUCUAUAGAGAGGGGGUGUGAUCAAACGUCAUGUAAUACUUCGGUACCACUCUAUAUAUGGAUCAUGAAACGGCAUAACACCCACCAUAGGUGGUGUCAUCGCAAUAUGCUCCGCACGACUAGCCCAUAGGUAAUAUGCUGUGCAUAGAAUGCCCCCUAAUCAUACUUAUGUCGUCCUUGCCUUGCCACAACAUGGAGGUCUUGCUCUAUGGAACAAGAUGGAGGUAUUCCUUAUUGGAGGACAAAUUGUCGCAACACUCGCUCCAGUCAAUGCCACUCGACAAUGUCAAAGCAGAUAAGAGGUGACAUCAUCUACUAAAUCUGCUGGUCUGCUAGAGAUAUCGCUAGAAGAUGGAAAACUAAGUCUCCCAUGCAAGGCUCCCAUAAAACUUGUUAAAAUCAACAUUUGAUAUUAAUAAUGUUAAUGUUUAUAUGAUUAACAAUAGCACAUUACAUCUUAUAUUUACCUGAUCAUGAGUUUGUGCAUUGGUCUUGAUAAAAUGUCAACACACUUGAUGGGUUUUGAGCCCAUGAUAAAGGUAAUCUCCACCUACAUCUUAACGAAUCAACUGGUAAACCCUCGUCUAACAAUGCGUCAUCUUGUAAUCUCUGGUCUUUAUCCAAUAAUCCAUGGUGUACCCCAAUAAGACCCUCAACUGGUAAAUCAUCGGCUGCAUCAUGAUCUAAAUGCUAGGCUGCUAGAGGGGCUGGUGGUCGACCAAAAUCAGGUCGACCCAUGUGGAGUCUCUUCCAAGACCAUAACUGGAAAAAAAUGUAACAUUAAAAUUUUACUUAAAUUAUAAACUUGAAGCAACUAGAAAUUUUAAUCUAAUCUAAUAGUGUGACAUAUCUAGCAAUAUUGGUGGCACCAUCCAAACUCACUCGACACAACUCUCUAUAUAGAUGUGCUAAUACUCCACUACCCCAACUAUACAUAGAUGUUUGAGUCAAGUCUCUAAGCAAUGGGAGAUAAUACAUAUGGAUGUGGGUACCCUUCUUGUUUGUAAAUAGCGCUAAACCUAUGAGUGCUAAUAUGAAAGCUCGUGCAUACCGCUCUAAUGUGGCAUCAUCUGAAUCAAUUGGUAGAUGAGAGAACUGGUGACAAAAGUUGGGUUUCAAAACCUUAAUCAUUGUACUCGUUUUGUAAUAUUCAUUCUAUCAGUCAUAGAUUUUUGUCUAAUUUAGUUGAGGUGGUCACCCUAUUGUUUGAUGUGUAACCGCAUCUUUAGUUUUAGAGAACAUGGGUUGUCUCAAUGCUAGAUCCAGAGUCUCAUCAUACAAUAUGAACUUCACUUUGGCUAGAAGGCAGUUUGAUAAAACCUGGAAACUAAUUUGGGACCUUAAAAUAGACGGGACAAAAAAAUUAUGGAAACCAUUUUAUAGUCACUACAGAGUUUUUCUUUGCUUGUUGGAGCAUCUAAAAAUUUUAAUCCCUUUAGGUCUUAUACGUGGAGGGAAUCUUUUUAUAGGUGGUUUUAUCAUGAAAGAUGAUGUUCUACUCUGCAUAUGAAGGAAAUUUUUCCAUACUCUCCUUUCCACCACUCAUGGGGGUUGCUGUCUCUAAUGCUUAAGGGGCAUUGCUUUAGAAUGAUCUCCAAUAUUCAAGAAUGUAAGAUACUCUCAUGAGUUUGAUCAACAACUUAUGUUUGGACAAAACCUGAAAAGAUUGUUGUUCAGGCAGAUGACAAAUGGGGUCUGCUUAUGAAGUUGUGAUGAUAUGAGGAGCACAAGAACUAAAGUCGGUUUCAUAUUUCGUCAACAUUUUUUAAUAAUUUGAAGAGCUUUUCUGGAUUGAAUUAGUGGCUAGGAUUACCCUGCCAGGUGAAUAUGUUAUAAUUAAUGCAACGACUAGGCAAAUUCAAGUGCAAAAUAAGCCUACUAACAUGUCUUAAAGCAAUUAGGACAUCUCAAUUUCCAAACACUUCCACCUCUUGAUUCACACCAAAUUUUUUUCCGAGAAUCAAUGGUGAAGAAAAAUUUAUCAUGACAGGUAUAUAAAUAAGAAACCAAUGUUGUAUAUUCCAGCAGAGAAUAUGAAAUGAAAUCAAAUAGGCUCAAUUGCUUGUUUAUGAGUCGAAAAAGAAGCCUGAUCGUCUACUUCUUAUCAGUAGGGCCAAACAAAAGGUUUGCUUGUUUAUGGGUAAAGACUUAAUUAGCAUUUUUCGACAAGUAAAUGUUGUCCUUGACCUGAGCAUCACAAAAUAAUUCGGUUUGGUUAUUAACUAGAAAUGAGUUAUGGGUUGAAGAGUCAAGAAGUGAUGCAAGAAGAAACCAAAUCUCAAGUAGUGAAAUAAUUCUCCUAUUUCACUAAUGAAAAAGAUCAAAAUACUCAGGGUCACUAAUGAAAUGCAUCAGCUCUAUUUUAUUAUAGAGGAAUGGGUUCAUGGAGUGACUCACAUUGUGAUAACCCGACUCUUGGUAGCUUGGCAUGUAAGGGUAUCAACAAAAUUUAUACCUAAGGUCCUUACACUAAAGUAGCAAAGCUACUAUAGCAUAGUGGCUCUAGGAUCGAACACUGGGAAGGGUUUUUACUUUAACUGGUGAAGUUCGGAGGAUGGAGUGAACUUUUCUUAAUAAAAAUUAGGUUAAGAUGAAAACAUAGAAAGAUAAAGGUGUUGUAAACUAAACUAACAUGAAAAUAGGUUAAAAGAUGGAAAAAGAAGUUUCUCAAAGCUUUGGAUAGCCAUGCUUAACUCACUGUGUAAAAAUGGAGAUUUUGGGACUUUUCACCUCGAGUUGGGGAAGCAACUAAGGUGAUGCUUACUUCCCGAACCGGUAUGAGUUUAACAACUGAGUUUUAGUCCUUGAAAACUUACAAAAAGGGUAGCUAAACCUCAUAAAUACUAUUUUAUUGAUAUAGGUCAUCUCCUCGACUUGCAAUACAAUGGCUCGUAGGAGAUAACUAAUGAACGUCAGUGGAUCUAACAAUAAGAAUCCACUGAGACCAAAAGAUUAUCAAGUAUUGGCCAUUCAAAGCAAGUCAGAGGGAUUAAAAGCUUUACUUUGAAUGAAAACAUUUAUGACGCUCAGCUACUUACAUUUAUGGCUUGGAAAUCUCCAUCCUGACACGGGAGCUUCACAUGGCAUCCAUUACUUCAAGAAACUAAAAGGUUUUAGCCUCUCAUCCUUGGGGAUUUCAUCCUCCAAGGAUGUUUGGCUACUAAGAAAAUGAGAAAGAAAAGAGAAAAGAAGCGUAUGAACAAAAGUGCUCUUCUAACUUAUAAAGUUACAGGUUACAAGAUUAGAUGAUCUGAGGCUCUUCACCUCUAUUUAAAGACAAUAACAAGCUAAAUUACAAGAGCUAUUACAAAAGCAACCUAUUCAUUGGUUGAUUACAAGGGUAAAAUAGGUAUUUACAAAGCUAAAAAUCAAGCAAAAUAUCCUAGAGAACUGGCAGUGGAAUAACAUCAACAACGUCUCAAAACAGGGGAUUCAAAGGAAUUUCGCAAUGUGCCUAAAUCCACUUGCGAAAUUUCGCAAGGGGGUUCUUCAUGGUGCGAAGUGGCCAAAUUUCGCACCAUGAAGAAAAUCUCCUUGCGAAAUUGGUCAUUUGACAUGAUGCAGUUGUCUUCCGAAGGCCAUAUCUUCCUCAUUUCAGCUCCAAAUCAUACACGGUUUGAAGCGUUGGAUUCUUGACUUCCUAAGAUUUCAAAUGGUAUAUAGCAUGCAAAAAAUGGACUUCAGGAAGUGCUUCAAAAGUGUGAAAGAAGACUGCAGCUGUUUUCUUCACUCUGUUUUCCUCUUCUCCAUUGCUUGUGCUCGUGUUUCCACUUGAAAUUCAAGCCUGUAAUCGUCCAAAAUCCUUGCUUAACUCGCCCAAAUAGCUCCUCCAUCAAUUGGCAUGCUUGAAUCGAUUCAUAAGCUGAUAAAAACAUGUAAACUUGCCAAAAAAUGGUUAAAACCAAUUACUAAGGACCUUAAUGAAUUAAUUGGGUUAAAUGAAUAUGAUUACUACUCAAAGGUGCUUAAAACCAUUAUAAUUAGGUCUACAAAAUAGCACUUUUUGGUAGUAAUCACAUUGUAAAGGAACUUUUGAUAUCAUUUUUUGUAGUUUUACCUCACCCAAAGGACAUAUCAAACAUGUAUGCUUUAGCAUUACUUUCCUCUAUUUUCUGGGCAACCAAACAUUCCCAGAAUUUGGAGAAUGAUGUAGAAACUAAAAAUAACCCCACACCUUCAAUCUCCCAGCUUAAGAUAAAACCCUAUUCAUUGGCCCUUGAAAACUGGAAUAUUCUUAUUUUUUCUAUUCCUAUAACAAAAAUCAGCGCUUGUCCCCUUCAUUUUUUGAGUUUUUAAUAGUGGUCCCCUCUAUUUUUGGUAUCUUUAACAAAAAAAAAUUCAUGGUAGCCCUCUAUUCCAUAUCCGUUUCUUUUACCAAAAAAUAAUAUUUUUCUUUCUACUAAGCUCACAAUCAAAAUAAAAUAAAAUAAAAACCAAACACAUCUUUACCAAGCUCAAGAUGAAAAUAAAAUCAGAAACCAAACAGAUUUACAAUAAAAUAAAAUUUACGUUAACUGAAAAACUCAUAAAUCUUACCUGACCAAUGACGAAACAAGAUGAAAAUUUCAAAAAUAUUGAAUUUGAGCCAAAGAUGAACCAAAGACAACCAAAUGUAAAGAGAGACAAUAGGAAAAACGAAACCCUAAAGGUAAAAAAACCUAACCAAAAAGGGAAAGGAAUUGAAAAUGAUAAAAGGGAUUCAAAACCGUAGUUGGUAACUACGGUUUUGACUUUUUUUAAAAAAAAAAAAAAUCAAAACUGUAAUUGGUGACUACAGUUUCUUGACCUGGACUCCUACGUGGCACAAACUCACUAGAUUGGGCAUUAUUUUGGAAAUCGGUUUACUUUUUGAAUUUUUUUUAAAUAUCCUAUUUUGGGUCAAAGCUUAAGACGAGAAGCAUGUCACGGGUUGCAAAGACUUUUGAAUGAAAAUCAUGCACUAACAUUGUGUAGAUCUUCGACAACCGAUAUCUUAGAGGAGUCAUAUGCAACCCACUUUGCGGGAUUUUUUAUUAUUAUUAUUCUAUGAGCAACAUGCCACUUUGGGAGCCCACACACAGCCAUAAAAGAGAGUGGGGCAACCACAAAAUCUCCACAAACAAUGGUAGAUAGAUAAGUGUAUGUUUUUAAAUUUAUUUUAAUUUCAUUUUGAUCCAUCUUUUUUAGUGUUGAGUUUUUAAUGAUUUUAGUUCUUUAAUUUAAUUAAUUCUAUAUAAUAAAUUUCUUGUUUUUAUUUUAUGUUUUUAGUUUGGAUGUGUUUGAGGAUUUAAUUAUUUAGUUUAAUUUAUCUAGUUAGACAAAGUUCACUUUUUUUUAAUUCCAAUUUGAUUUAGUUUUAAUUUAUCUUUUAUGUUUAGACGUGUUUACGGUUUUAAUUCGCUAAUUUAAUUGUUUCUAUUAGAAAAGUUCUUAUUUUUAAUUUCGAUUUAGUUCAAUUUUAAUCUAUCUUUUAUGUUUAAGAUGUAUUUGUAAUUUUUAUUCAUUAGUUUAAUUAACCCUAUUAGAAAAGUUCUUGUUUUUUUUUUUUUUUUAAUUUUGAUUUAAUUUAAUUUUAAUCUAUCUUUUAUGUUUAGGAAUAUUUGUGAUUUUAAUUCAUUAAUUUAAUUAAUCGUGUUAGAUAAAGUUCAUAUUUUAAUUCUGAAUUAAUUUAGUUUUGAUCUAUCUUAUAGUUUAAAUGUGUUAUUAUUUUUUAAUUCAUUAAUUUAAAUAACCCUUCUAGACAAAGUUUAUAUUUUCAAUUCCAAUUUAGUUUAGUUAUAAUUUGUUUAUUUAUUUAGUUUGGAUGUGUUUGUGAUCGUAAUUCAGUAGUUUAAUUAAUUGUAUUAAAUAAAGUUCAUGUUUUUAAUUACGAUUUAAUUUGUUUUUUACUUUGGAUGUGUUUGUGAUUUUAAUACAAUAGUUUAAUUAAUCCCGAUAGAUAAAGUUUAAUUCUGAUUUAAUAUAGUCCCAAUUUAUUUUUUAGUCAAGAAGUGUUUGUGUGUUUAGUUGAUCUUAUGUUAAUUCUUGAUUGUUAUUCUCAAUUUAUAUGUUUCUUGAAUCCUAAUUGCUAAUAUUUUAUGAAUAUUUCAUUAGCUUAUUUGAUCUAAGCAUUAAUAGUUUGUUGCUUUGGUAGUUUUUUUUUUUUUUUUUUUCAAAUUCAAUCUUCGGAGGCCAUGAGAAAAUAAUGAUGAUUGGUCCCUAUGUCACCACUUUAGUUUAUGUGGUUGUCAAAAAUUUUACUUUGUGAUUUUGUUUUGUUUUAUUUUGCUUGGUAUUUUGUUUCUUAUAUUUUGUUGUUUUCAAAUUAAUUUCUUUCGUUUUAAAAGAAAAUACUUUUCCCCAAAGAUCCCUUUGAAAAUCUAUUUUAAAAAUUCAUCUAGAAUCCUUAGGAUCAAAAUCCCUCUUUUUUUUUUUUUCAAAAAUAUUUAACUAUAUCUCAUUCAGUUUGCACCCUUUUAUUUUCGAUAAAAAUUUGAUUUUAAGUCAAACGUGAAUCCAAGCUUGUAGUCCCAAAUAGAUGGAAAUUCAUAGGCUAAAUUGGGGAAUUGGUGGAACCCUUACAUAGAAUCAUUUUUCAAAAGCCUUUUAUUGUUAACUUGUUCAAUUUACUAUGUCUCUAAAAAGAAAAUUUUAUUUGAUCUAUUUAUGAUAUUUAUAAAAUUUUCCUAAUGAUCAUAUGAUAGUGUAGGCAUCUUGAACAUGAAUUUAGAACUUUGUUUGAAUUAAAAAGCAAUUUUAAAAUGGAAGAUAUGAAUGAGUCUUUCAAGUGGUUCUAUUUUCACCCAGCUCUAGACACCCGAAAUAUUUUUGCGAAAAUAAAUUAUUAGGUGACUCUAUAAAUUUGAUUUGAUAUUUUUCCUAAAUUUUGACACCUACAAUAUUAAAAUAUAUGUUUUCUGGAGGGAUAUAUGUUUUUUUUUUUUUUUUCAAGUUGCAUCUAAUAUACAUGGCUGAUUCUGGACAACUAAUAAGUUUGAGUAUUUUAAAAAUAGUUUUGAGUACUCCAUGACCCUAAAUUUAUUUUUUUUACAUAAUUUAGACACUUCAAAUAGCAUGUAUGAUUUUUUGUAUGAUUUUAAGAGACCUUUGAAUAUUUUUUUUAAAUUCGGUAUAUGCAUGUCAUUGUUUUUUACCCAGUUUUAGACCUUCUAGAACUUUUAGGUGUUUUUGUUUAAAUUUUUUAUUUGAAUGAUUGAUUGGCCAUGUGGAUGAUAGACUAGACAUGUAGAAAAUGUUCCCUGGAUUUAUUUUUUAUUUUUUAUUUUAUUUUUUGCAAUUUAAUUCGUAUUCUAAAUAUUUUUUAGCAUUUGUUUUGUGAAAACUUCUAUUCUAACAACAUGCUGGAAAUUGUACAUUGUUUAACUUAUAUUUUAACCUAGUAUUGUUUGACAUAACUUGACUUGGUUUUGGCUUUUAUUCUCUAAUUUAGACAUAAUUAGGAUGUUGUUUAAUUUUUUUCCAUGACAAAAUAAUAUUUUUAGAUUUUUUUUAGGAUUUUUAAAGUGAAUGCAACUGUUCUGUCCCUUAUUGUAUGUUUUUGUCUUAGUCACUAAUUUUGAUACUUAUAACUAUUUUGAGUAUUAGUUUAAAUUUAACAAUGAGUUUGUAUGCAUGUCCUAUAUGAUAGUUGUUGUUUCUUUAGACUCAUACCAUUUCAUUUGAGUUGUAUAUAUACCAUGUAUAUCAGGGUGCAUUGUUAUAGUUAUUUGUUAUUACUUGUGAGCUAACCCUCUCUAGCUACAUGCAAGCGCAUUGUAAGUUAUGUGUGCUAUCUAGGUACAUCCCUUACACCCCUUCUCUUUUCAAUUCUAUAAAUAUGCAAACUUUGUUUGUAAAUACUCUCAUGUUUGAUAUUGUCUUGAUUGCUCUAAUUUAUUGCUUGAUUAUUUGAAUGUUUGGAAUGCAUGGGGUGUGUUGUAUUAUAUUGUCAAACUAACUUUGAUGUCUUAUGAUAGCGCUUAAAAAGUAGUCCAAGUACACAAACUAUCCUUUCUUUAUGAUUGUGAUUUGAAUCCUCAUUUGGCAUGCUAGAAUUAGCAGAAUUUUAAAAUCACUUUAGCUAGUAUCCAUAAUCAAUUGAUUAAUCGUCAUACUUCCCUCAAGUUAGAUAGUAGAGACAUCUUUAGGGCUUAGAGGAGUGUUAUCUCUUUGAGGUACCUUCCCAAUAGGUAAGCCGAUCCCCAAACCUAGACUCAGGCUUUUCAAAGACAUUUUUCCAAAACUACGGAGUCAUAUUUUUUAGGGUUUUUCUUUCUUGUUUUAUUUUCCAUUUUAAAAUAAAAUAAAAUAAGUGGCAACUCAAACUUUUCCAAAAAAUAAUUUUUCACUUAAAAAAAAAAGCGAGUCUAAUCGAUGAAUGGAGUCGCCAAUUUGUGGACCCGUAUUUUUCACAUGCAUCCUCACUCAUUGAUGAGACUCACUUUUUUAAGUGAAAAACUAUUUUUUGGAAAAAUUGGAAUCGCCACUUAUUUUAUUUUAUUUUAAAAGGGAAAAUAAAAUAAGAAAGAAAAAACCUAUAAAAAAAAAAGUGACUCCAUAGUUUUUGAAAAGCAUGUCUUCGAAAAACUGGAGUCUAGGUCUGGGGAUCAGGUUACCUAUUGGGAAGGUACCUCAAAGAGAUAAAACCCCUCUAAGCCCUAAAGAGGUCUCUACUUGCUAACUUGAGAGAAGUAUGACAAUUAAUCAGUUGAUUAUAGAUACCUAGAUUAAGCUAAAGUGAUUUAGAAUUCUACUAAUUCUAGCAUGCCAAACAAGGAUUCAAAUCACAAUCAUAAAGAAAGGAUAAUAUGUGUACUUGAACUGCUUCUUAAGCGCUAUCAUAAGACAUCAAAGUUACUUUGACAAUAUAAUACAACAUACCUCAUGCAUUUAAUCAAUUCAUAUAAUUAAGCAAUAAAUUAGAGCAAUCAAGACAAUAUCAAACAUGAAAGUAUUCACAAACAAAGUUUGCAUAUUUAUAGAAUUGAAAAGAGAAGAGGUGUAAGGGAUGUACUUGGAUAGGACGCAUAACUUACAAUAUGCUUGUAUGUAGCUAGAGAGGGUUAGCUCAUAAGUAAUAACAAAUAACUAUGACAAUAAACCCUAAUAUACAUGGAAUAUAUACAACUCAAAUGAAAUGGUAUGAGUCUAAAGAAACAACAACUAUCAUACAGGACAUGCAUACAAACUCAUUAUUAAAUUUAAACUAAUACUCAAGAUAGUUAUAAGUAUCAAAAUUAGUGACUAAGACAAAAACAUACAGUAAGGGGCAAAACAGUUGCAUUCACUUGAAAAAUCCUAAAAAAAUAUCUAAAAAACAUUAUUUUAUCAUGGAAAAAAUCAAACAACAUCAUCAUUAUGUCUAAAUUAGAGAAUAAAAGUCAAAACCAAGUCAAGAUAUGCCAAACAAUACUAAGUUAAAAUCUAGAAUGAGAAUUAAAAUGCAAAAAAUUCUAGAGAGCAUCGACUACAUCUCUAGUCUAUCAUACACAUCACCAAACAAUCAUUCAAAUAACAAAUUUAAACAAAAACGUCCAAAAGUUUCACUCAAAACAGUAACUAGUGUAAACUGAAUUUUUAAAAAAUAACUAGAGAUCUCUUAAAAUAAUACAAAAAAUAUAGAACAUUUUUUAAAGUUUCUAGAUCCACAAAAAACUAAAUCUAGGGUCAAUUUUUAGUCAAAAUUAUUUUUAAAACACUCAAAUUAUUCAGAUUUUUAGAAUCCAUCAUGUACAGUAGGUUCAAUUUUGAAGAAUCAUACCUCCCUCAAGAAAGCAUGUUUUUUAAUAUUUUAUAUGUCAAAAUUCAAUUUCAAGAAGUUAAGAAUCUGGGAAAAAUAUUCAUUUAAAUUAAAAGAAUAAAAAAUAAUUUAAAUUUUCAAAAUGCUCUUGAGUGCAUAGAAGUAGGCCUAAACGGAACAUGCUAAAAGAGAUUAUCAUAACUGGACUUUGAAAAAAGAUUUUUGACUUAGAUAACAUUCUAGAAUCAAUUUCAAGAAGCAAAGAAAAUUAUAAAAUUUUUUGAAAUUUUUUUAAAGCAUUUUAAAAUGAUCAAAACAAAUUUUAAACCUAAAGAAUCAAUAGUCAAGAGGAAACUGGCAACAAGGAUGAGUUUUGAAAAAAAAAAAAAACUCUUUCAUGUAGGGGUUCCAUCAAAUCCCCACUCAAUAUCCAUAAGUUUUACUUGUGUAUUCCCAUUAGUUUGGGAGUACAAGUUCAAACCUAUGUGAUCAAAACAAAUUUUAAAAAAACAACAAAGGAGAAUGCAACUUAGACGAAAUGAGUUGUAUAAUUUUAGAAGAAAACGAGUUCUUUGCCUAAGUCAAGAACCAUUUUUUUUUCAAAGCCUCUUGAUGAUUUAAAUACUUUUGAAAAUGAUUUUAAGGGAAGCAAAAAGGACCAAGUGACUUGUUAAAUCACAAUCAAUAUACACAAAAUGAGGAUUUUUUAUUUUCUAACUGAAAAGGAUUUGAAAAAAAUAAGAAAAAGUGAACUUGGACCCCUCUUUUGACUACCUUUCAUUUGGGAUCUAGGAGCUAAACUUAUGAUGGAAAAAUUCAUUUUUGAAAAGAAUGAAUUAAUUUUACCCAAAUUAUCAUUUUGAAAAAAAAAAAACACUUUUCUAAAAAAAAAGUUCAAUUAAAAAAAAAAAAAAAGAUCAACCAAGGGCAAAAUUAUCAACUCGAAGACAUUACAAGGAUUUGAACUAAAAUUCUAAACAAUCAAAUGCGAUCUAUCAAGCUAAAAGGAAUCAACUAGGCCUCAAAAUGAUUUUAGCAAAAACCAAAAAUAAAGAAACUAAAGAAUUAUCAUUAUAGCAAAUAAGAAUACCAAAUGAACAUCAUGAUCAACUAACAUACAUACUCACCAAAGAACUUUUCAAAAAAUGAUUUACACUGAAUGUUAUCUAAGUAGGAUCCAAAGGGAUUGUUAAGACAUCCGAACAACAAUUCUUCAUCACAUGAAAGCCAUUAAACUAACGAACUAAAAUAAUAAAAUCAUUUAGACUAACUAAAAUGAAUCAACAUAGACUUAAAAAUAAAAUAUUAUCACAUAGAGUCAAUUAAAUCAAUGAACUAAAAUAGCAAGAAUGUUUGAACUAAUUAAAACGAAUAAGAACAAAUUUAAAUGAAAAAUACAUCACAUGGAAACUAUUAAACUAACAAACUAAAAUAAUAAAAUCAUCUCAACUAACAAAAAUAAACUAAACUGGAUCAAAUCAAAUUUAAAAAUAAAAGUUUAUCACAUUGAAUCAUUUAAUCUAACAAACUAAAAAUUAAAUAAACAUCUAAACUAAAUAAAUAAAAAAUAAAAACUUUAUCUUGUGGAAACAAUAUUACCAAUGAACUAAAAAAUAAAAGUGCCCAAACCAACCAAAUGAACCAAAAUUACCUGAAAACAAUUUUUUUUUCCUUUUUUAAAAAAAGACUUUUUAUUGCAUGGAAACAAUUUUAUUAAUGGACUAGAAAAUUAAUAAAAACAUCUAAAGCACAGGAUAAAUUAAACUAAAAACAAAACAAGUUUAAGAAAGUGUAUUUACCUAUCUUUGUCAAAAAUUGGUUGUAUGGAGUGCCAAUGGUGAGGAUGUGUGCCAUUCUUUUAAUUUUUUAAUAAGCAACCUCUGUGUGGACUGAUUCACCUUAUAGUGUUGUUGCCCCCAAUCUCAAGGUCAGCAUGUGGUGAUGUUUUUAGAUUCAAAAACAAAAUCCCUUAUGGUGUGGCUGUGAAGAACUAAGGGUGCAGGUCGCGUGAUCCCCCAGUAUGGUGCACAGGUUGGUUUUUUUUUUUUUUUCCUUUGGAUUGCAGGCUAUAGCUUCAUAAAUGCAUGGCACUUCUCCUCUGUGGCAUGAUGGUGCUUCCCCUUAAUGAAUGAAAACUCUUCAUGACCUGUGCAUGGAUUCCUACCUUUUAGAUGAUGGUGGAAAGUUUUUCCAUGGGUAGCUACCUCUAGAUUUUUUGUAGGUUGUGUGUACGAUUGUAAAGGGAUCUCUUGGUGCGUCGGUUAAAGAUCCAAUGCAAGCAUGUGUGGUGUUGAAAGGUGGCAGUCUUCAAGUUCUGAAUGGUGCAGUUGUCUUUUGAAUUUGGGAUAGUGUGUGGUGCAAGUGGGUGUAACCCAUGAAGAAACCUGCACGUGGAAUUCUUUGGUGUGCACAACGUUUUUAAAAAAAUUAUGGGGGUUCUCUUAGAAAGUGGAUUGUGUGUGUUAAAAAAUUCUUCAAUGGAUGCAAUUGUGUUCCAGAUGACCUUUCAUAUCACUCUCCUCUCAAGGGCACGUGCUAUGUCUUUCUUUUAAAAUCCUUUUUUGCUCUCCAAAACCACCAACCCAUGUUUUUCUCUCCCAUAGAAAUAUGUCUUUAGCUACCCCUUAAUCUUCAAAACCAUGCACCUCAUUUUCUAUGGCAAGUGGCAACCAUGUAUGCCUGGAAGAAUCUUCCUCUCUCAAAAUUCCAUAUCUUAUCUACCAAAAAAUGAUCUUUCAAAAUCCAAAACUCCUACUUUGGUGUCUUCACCUUCCCUUAGAAUAUUUCUAUGUGUCGUGGACUAAGAGUCUUCCCAAAAGAAAAUACAAAACUAAUUCAUGCAUAUCACCCAAGGAGUCCCACCUUUUUAAAAAACUUCUUAAUCACCAUAUUUAACUCUCCAAAUGUGAUCUUCAAUAACGCCCAAAAAAGUUUCUUUUUUUCUCAAAGUCUAACAAGAAUCAACUUUUCCUUCUCUAUUGGUAAAUUUCUCUUUUAAAAAAUCAAAUUAUUAAAUCAAAUAAAUGAAUAAAAAUUUUAGAGAAUGAUAAAAUAAUAAAUAAAUAAAUAGCAAGAUAAUAAAUAAACAAAAAUGAGUGAUUGAUAAUAAUAAAAAUAUAAAUAAAUAAAUAAAUAAUGAGUCACACAAACCAUGUAAGCCAUGCAACCAUGCAAGUCAUAUAAGUCACACUAAGAAUGCCUAAUGGGUCAAGUGUGCCUAAGUGGGCCUAAGUGAACCUAAAUGGGCCUAAGGUGGUGUCUAACAGGUCAAGUUUGCCUAGAUGGGUCUAGGUGAAUCUAAGUGGGUCAAGGUGAACCUAAGUGGGCCUAGUUGUGCCUAAAAUGGGCUUAGGUGGGCCUAAAACAUGCCCAAGUGACCUAAGGUGAUCAAGACAAUGUCUAAGUGACCUAAAGUGAUCAAGACAGUGCCUAAGUGACCUAAAGUGAUCAGGACAAUGUGCCUAAGUGACCUAUGGUGAGCCUAAAUGUGCCCUAGGUGAAUCUAGGUGAAGUGUAAUGUGCCCAAUGACCUAGGGUGAGCCUAAUGGACCUAAGGUGAGUGUCUGUAAUCUGGAAGGUACCUAGGUGACCUUGGAUGAGUGUGUGUAAGCUAGAAGGUGCCUAAGAAGUGUUUAAGUGUACCUAAGUGAUUUAGGAUGCAUCUAAGUGACCUAAAAAGUGUACCUAAACAGACCUAAGUAUGUUAUCCUAAAGGUGUACCUAAAUAAGCUAUCCUAAAAAAUGAAAGAAAAACCUAAGUCUAAAUCAGGGCUGCCAAAGGUCACAAUGGGGGGCCAGAUAAAUCCCUCAACCAAAGUCUCCAAGGUGGCUAAAAAAAGUAAGCUUGUGUGUGUAGUAAUGGGCCAGUAAAGAACUGUUAUAGAGUACUGAAAAAAUACCUAAGGCGUGUGCUAAGGGGACAAAAUGGAGGGUCUAUAGCAUUGGACAAUGGUCAAGCAUAUAUUCUAGUAUCUUCGUAAAACAAAGGAUUAUAUAUUGGUGUAUUAUGGUGCUGAGUUGAUACCCCUUACAAACACAGGUUUAGAUUUUUAGUCCAAUACAAACUCUUGUAAGUCUAUCUAUGGGUUUGUGUUCACUUUAGGUCAUGAGGUUGUUAAUUGGAGAAGUAUGAACAAUCUUUUAUUACUAACUCUACUAUAGAAGUUGAGUAUGUUGUUGCUCUUAAAGCAGCAUAGGAAGUCAUUUAGCUUAAGAAGUUCCUCAUGGGACUUGGAACAAUACCCUUGGUUGUACCACCCUUGAUAUUAUUUUGUGGUAACAGUAGAGUUAUGACACCAUCUAAAGAAUCAAGAAACCAUCGAAAAGGCAAAUACAUAGAGAUGAAGUAUUACUUAAUACUAAAGACAAUAAUGAGAUGAGAUGUCGUUGUGGAAAAGAUAACUUAUGUAGAAAACUUGGCAGAUCUCUUCACCAAGACUUUAUCUACUAAAGUCUUUUGUGGAUAUAGGAAUAACAUAGGUGUCAAAUGUAUUCCUAAUAGACUUUAGGGCUAGUGAGAGUUUAUUAGGAUAGAGUUCUAGAAAGCAUGACACGAUAUAACAAAUUUUAUUAUCAUUAAUAAAUUUAUUUAUUAUGAUUUUGAUCUCUUUAUCCAUCCUUAUUUUCAUUGACUAUCUUUUGAGCAUUUACACCUCUAUCACUUGCAUUGUACAUAAAUUGGGUGCAUUAAGAGUUGCUAAUAAGACCAAAUCAUGGGUUCCUUGUAUUUUGAUGAGUAGUUCAAAGUCAGUUCAUAUACUUGGGCAAUUCUUUAGAGACUAUAGCGUAAUACCUCCUAAUUGGAAGGAUGACUUAUCUUGGUCAUUUAGAUGGUUUCCAAUGGAGAGUGCACUAGUGUGUACAAUUAUAGAUUAGAUAGGACCUACAUUGAAUCAUGACAUUAACUAUCGAGUAGUCAUGAUUUACUAAGCUAUUAUACUGCAUAGACUCUCAACCUUGAGAGAAUAUUCAGUUUGUAUUGAAAUCAAUAGGAGGCUUUGACUUAUGGGUGACACUCUAAGGUGGUCAUAUAUUCCUUAUGUACUAGGUCACUAUUGAUGAAGGUUGGUGGAACCAUGUAUUCUCAAUAAAGGCACCAUAAUAUCUCAUGGAAUUGAGACAACAUGUUCCCUUAGGUGAUCCUAAGGACACAUAAUCAAGAAAGCUAUAACCAUAGUAAUUCCUUAAGUGGAAUUUGACAUGUAUUCUUUGUGAGUUAGAGUAUGUCAGUUGAUCAUGUAAUAGGAAAAUCUGUAACUUAAAGAUUGGAGAAAUAAUCUUAAGAGAAUGAUAACACAUACCUCCUCAUAUUAUGGACACUAGUUCAAUGGAAGUUUGUCUUGUUGUAAUAUUAUAAGAUAUUGAAGUGCAGUUAAUUAUCUGCAGUAGGAUGUUGAGUCAAUUUCAAAAUUGGACUUUGAGGGAGCUAGUAUUUUCUUGUGCAUCUAAAUAGUGUUUGUUCAACCUUUAGAUUCAUGGUAACAUAGUUUUUUAGGGUAAUUUUAAGGUUUUAAUUUAUGUGUGCAUAAAGGUAUUUUGGUAAAAAUGUAAGGUUGCACUCUAUCAUAUAAAUUGUCCUUCUUAACUACGCUAAUUAAUUAAUUAGACUAUAGUCUAAGUUGGACUCAAGUCACUUAAGGCCACAAGGAAACCUAUAUAAACCCUCUUAAGAGUUUAGAGUUUCACUUUUUGCAUCCUUAUCCGAAGAAAAAAAAAUGAACCUCUCUCUAGCGAAAACAACCUUUCUUUUGUUCCAAAGAUCCAUGAAAUGAGUGAUCAAGCAGAAAAUCUUUGGGUAUACAAGAUUUUCAAUUCUUAUGGUUUAUUUCAUCGAAUUAAAAUCGAUUUAAGAAUAUCUAUAUUGUAGGUAUGAUGUUUUUAUCUAUAGAUCUUUAUUAUUUAUGAUUUUUAUUGCCAUUUUUCUACUAUAAUUAGAUCGAGAGAAGUCUAGUAAUAGUUGGCAUGCACUCUAUAUGAUCCAAGGCUAAGGAAUGGAGUAAUUCGAGUUUCCUUAUAAACUAUGUGAGAAAAUAAAGGCUAAACUUAACAGGAAAAACACCUAAGAGGGGGAAGGAGGUGAAUUGGGGUUUAAAAAAUUCUUUUUCAAACAUAAUAAAUUUAAGCAAAAGAAGCACAAAUACAAAGAGAUAAAGCUAGAAAAAGCAAACUUAGAUUUUAUAGUGGUUUGAUACUUCCUUGGCUACAUUCACUCUCCUCAAGCUCAUAACCGAGUAAGGGUUCCACUAUACUUGAAGUUUGAACAAAGCUUCUAAUCACUUUUACACUUGGAUUCCAGCUCCAAUGGACUCUUACAAAAUCCCUUCAAGUCUCUACUCACUUGAAACUUUUAACACUCAAAUAAUAAGCUAAAACCCCUCAACCUAAAUCAACAAGAGUUUAAAUACAACUUAAAAGCUAGGAAAAAUCACAAAGGUAUAGUAAGGAAUAUGCAAAUGGAGGUUUAAUGCACCAAAGAGAAAAUGAAAGCUUUUGAGGCAAAAACAAGUAGGUAAACAAAUAAAUGUAGGUGCUCUCUUGCUUAUAAAUGAAGUGGAGCUCUCAAUUUAUAGUUUUCUAGCCUCGGGAACCAAAAUGUUAAAAAAUAACCUCGACCGAUCGAGCUGGGGGUCGAUUGGUUCACUAGCCAUUGGCCAUUAAAUUCAUGGUAGGUGACCAUUAAGCCUCCACCAGCCCUUGACCGGACCUCGAUUGGGAAAGUGCAAUCGAUCAACUAGUACCCUAGUCGGUUGAGCCGAUUGGCUACUGUCUUGACCAAUUCACCUUUUUUGGUCCGAAAACAUAUAUUUUUCUAUUUUUUUCUCUUCUAACACUUAAUCAAGGUCUUUAGGUAAAUUAAUAUUCAAAUUUUGAAACGAUUUUCCUAAGGUUCAUUUGAUAAAACUCGGGUUUUGAUGGAAAUGUAACUUUAAUGCAUAAACCGCAUUUUUAAAGAUACUUGAAAAUAUAUGAAAAUACUAAGUACACUCAUGCAUUCAUCUUAUAUAUGUUUUCUAUGAUUAAAGGUUUUCCAAAUGUCUUAAUCAUUCAUUGGAUCCUUUGAUGAAUUUCCAAACUAACACCUGAAAUUCUUUAUAAUUCAAAGCAAUUAGCCACUUAACUAUAAUUUGUUAUCAUCAAAAUGUGAUUAGGAGAACCCUUGGGCUAACACUAUCCUUUAUAUUGGAUUAUAUCCCUUCUCCCCUAAAAAGGUAAAUUUUAGGAUUUUGUAACUCCUGAAGAGUGCAUGUACCCAAUCAAAUCAAUUAAGAUAUGGCUUUUUGUGGAGACUAGGUCCAUACACCUACACAAUUAUGACACUCUAUUCCUUGUCAAUCACUACUAUUGGUAUUAGAGGAAUAUUUACUAGAAGUCUAACUAGGACUCCCUAUUGAACUUAGCCCCCGAGUCUAGGUGGUUGAUUUUCUACACCACCUACUCAAGCUCAAUUAGAGGAUUUCUCUUUAUUAUUUAACUCAAUGGCCUAACUUCAACUCCUUUGCCUCUUUAUAAUACUAAUUAUUGGGUCAAUGGUGGUAUGAUUGGCAGUAAUUAAACCAACUAGUUGAUCAUGACUGCCAUGGUUUGAGGUUGUUCCAUUGUUGAAGUGGUUAUUAUAUAUAUGGGUCUAACUAUGACAUUAAUCAUUCUCUUAAAGCUUCUUUCCAUUAUUAUCAGUAGUUGGUUUAUUUCAUCAACUAAGGUUGCAAGUGAUAACAAAAAAUCCUAGGUACGUUCUUCUACUUAUGUCAUUUUUUAUGACCCAAUCUUUUUAUUUUAUGUCUAAAGGAAUUAAACCUUAGCCUUGGUGAUGAUGGUGGGUCAACCACUAGCUCUACCCUCUUGGUAAUAUAUCAAUCUCCUUGAUCCUAUAAUCUUGUCUAAAUUGCUUUUAAUUCUCUCACAUACUCGAUUAUUUGUUGGCUCUACAGACUUAGUUAAGGUUCCAUCAAACAUUGGUGUUAUGAAAAAAUCUCAGAUCUCCCAUUUUUUACCAAGGAGUAACACUAGGUGUACUUGAAUGUGUUGAUUUGUCACCUGAGCAUGCCAAAUCAAAAUAAUGCUCAAUGAAAUUGGUCCAAUCUUAUUAGAGCAACUAGUUAUUGUCCUCGAAUAUUUUAAUUCUUCUAAGUAGAGUAUAGUGUGUGUGUGAGAAUUCUCUUGUAUUUUUUUUUCCUUGGAUGAUUGUGUGUGCAUGUCGAGGCCUUUCACAUGCACUAGAUCCUUUGUUAUGUCUGAUGUCAAGGCUUUUAAAACAUCAAAUUUGUACCAACACCAAAAUAAUAAAACAAGAACAAUUAUUCAUAAGAAAAAUAACUAGGUGAGAGAAUUAACUAAUUUACUAAGAUUCUCCCAAGUUUAGCUUACUAUAUAUUAGACUUAUAGAGAGUAGUAAUAUAAUAGGAUACUUUUUAUAAAAUUAAUUGAGAAAAAUUAAACUAAAAACCUUUCUCAACAUUGAUGAUGUCAAAUUGCACUUGUCGAUCCCUUUGAAAGGGAAUGUUUCUAAGAGGUAACAUGUUGGGUGCUAUUUUUAUAGCACUUUGACUACAAUGUUUCAACUAUAUCACUUCAUAGCAGUCCUUAGAAUAAGCAUUUAUGGCAUUAAUCAAUCCACACUUUAUGGUUAGAGGAUAAAUGGCAUUGAUGUUAUUCUACUAGUUAUUGUCUAUUGACGCAUGCAUCAAAUAUUAACACAAUUAGGAAUGGUAAAGUUUGAUACGAUUUGUCAAUACGACACAAUCCCAACAUGUUUUUCGUGGGUUUGGGUUAAGCACAAAUUUGGAUCAAAUUCGGGUCAACUAGUAUAACCUAUUUAAUAAAUAGGUAAUUUUUGGGUUACCUGCGUGACACGAAUUUAAUCUUAAUUGACUCAUUUAAUAAUCUCACUAUUAACCUAAUUAUAUUUUUAAACCAUGUAACCCAUAUUUAACUCAUUUUAAAUUUAUUUUAGAUAAAUAGCUCAACUGAGUUAUAAACAUGUUUGGUUGAGACAUUAAUCAUAUACAUAUAUACAAGAUCUAACUCAACCUGAUUAUUGAAUAGGAGGACAUAUUAUUAAAUGAGUUUAAAUAAGUUAAAUGGGUUACAUGACAUGUUACAUGUUUAAUAAUUAGGUAGUAUUUAGGUUUAUAUUUUUAACAUGAUUAUUAUUCAUGUCGGGUUUGGGUUGAGCUAUGUAGUAGAAUACCUAGACUUUGGCACGACACAAACAUGAUCCACCUGUAAGUAAUUCUUUAAUUAUGCACAUCAAUAACCCCACUUUUGCACAAAUCAUAAUAGUCAAAGAUUUUAAAACAAUAUGAUUUUCACAGUUCCAUUAUUGAGAAAAGACAAACCUUUAAUCCAUACAAAAUUUUAGAAGAGACUAAGGACCAAAAAAUAACCGUAGUAGAAACCAUGUUUCUCUUCCUUACCCCCUCUACCCUUAGGUUUUCUCUUAUGCGUGUUAUUGAUGGAAUAAACCCUUAUUUUAUAGAGUGAAAAGAAGACCAAUUUUCUUAUGAAAUUAAAAGUGUACUUCCCAUCAAAGUGCCUUUAAUUUAGGAAAUAACUUAUCAAAAACCGAUCAAUAGGAUUUUAGUUUUAUUAUUUAUUAAACCAUAAUAUUUAAUUUAAUAUUUAAAUAAAUAUCAUAUAAUAAUACACAGGACCACAUAAAAUUCUUACCCACCAACAUGAAUUGUUGGGGCACAAUGAUGGUCUACUGAACUGAUGUGACAUGACCCAUGCUAGAAGAAAUUUCCUUGCACAAGUCCCUAACACAUGAUGCUAAAACAAAUGGUGAAUAUUAAUCAGGUCCUUUCCCCAUUAUCGAUUCAGGAAUAGAUUAUAAGUCUCUCUUGUGCAUUGAUCUAAACUUAGGAAAUAUGAGCAUGUAUGGGAGCAACAUGGAUGCAAUAGUGACUAACCUACUAUUACCUUAUCCUACUAAAAGGAUGGUAGGCUAUCACAACUAACAAAAAGUAUUAUUUUGUUGAGCUAAAGUGGGUGAAUCCAAGAGGCCAUUUACCCAUUUAUACUCGCGUAAUCAUAAUCCCUUAUUUUCUUCAUGUAAACUAAAAUGUUAUUAAUUCUUUUGAUAAAAUUUAAUACUUAUUACUUAAUAAUUUAGGUCGAUCUUAAGUUAAAUUAUAUUUAAAUUAUCGACUUAAAACUUAUUAUAUAAUUUUUACUUUAAGUAUUAAGGUUGUUUGAUAAAAUUAACUUAAAAUUUAUUUUAAAUCAUCAAAUUGACAUAUUUAUUUUCAUAAAUUAUAAUUUGGACAAACGAAGUCAAGUAACAAUAGAGGUCGUAUAGUAAUAAAAGAGAUGGUGAAGGAAAUUAGGACAAAUAACGGUAAAAAAUAAAAUAAAAAUAUGGAUUUAAAAAUAAAUUAAUUAUUUUUACUUAUUACUUAAAGUUAUUUUUAACUUUAAGUCAAGUCAUUAAAUUAUUUUACCAAAUAUACAUAAUUUAGUUAAUGACUUAAAUUAAGUUAUUAAGUCACCUUAAGUUAUUAAAUCACUUUAAGUUAUUAAGUUGGUUUAGCAAACACCUAUUAACAAUAAUUUUAGAAAGUGUUUUGAAAGACAAAAAAAAUUCAAGUUUUAAAAAUAUUAGACGCGUUUUUUGGAAUCACUAUAAGAGUGUGUUUGGUAGCGAUUUUAGGAAGUGUUUCUAACCUUUCUAAUACUUGAAAGAUAAAAAAAUUCAAAUGUUAGAAAGUCUAGAAACACUCCCUAAAACCACUACCAAAUGCACUCUAAACCAACCUUGAUUCACUUCAAAUAAAUCACCAAAGACUAGAUAUCCACUUUUCUUAUCAUUACCCUAGUUUUUAAUCAAUUAAUUGUCAUAAUCAUCAACUAUUCAAUUUUCUUAUUCCUCCUACAUCAUCCAUGAGUGACGUGGCCCCAUUAAAUAAUGAGACUAUUAUCCCAUUAAAUUGUGGUAGGCUAAUGUCAUUCUCCUCCUCAAAAUUUUACUCAACCUUCCUUUGUUCGCUUGUCACAUCAUUAGUCUACUUCAUUUAGGAUUCUACCAUACUCUGCCAUCUUAUUGCUACAUCCACAUAAGGAGUUUUGGGCCAAAAUGGGCUUCUUCCCAAACUUAAUAUUAAAAUCGGGCCUCUUCCAAAACUAUUGUUCAAAGUAGCCCCUAUCUGUCUACAUAAGCACAAAAACCAUUUUUUAUUCUAUUUUUGUUUACUUUCCCAGCUUCCCAUCCCAUUCUCUGUUCAAUUUUUCUCUUCAAGCCCUAGCCCUACCAAUGAGCCACUAUGAGAGAGACAUUGUAAGGGCUACAAUGCAUCAAAGUUGAGGUUGGUCCCAAUCUUCUUUUUGGCUUGUUUUAUGUAAAGUUUUUAGCACUUGCCAUC